RNAcentral lists this long non-coding RNA (109208 nucleotides) under Vitis vinifera (wine grape). RNAcentral's name for it is "long non-coding RNA (VVIN_LNC001426)". The record is from RNAcentral. Lineage: Eukaryota; Viridiplantae; Streptophyta; Magnoliopsida; Vitales; Vitaceae.
CCAACGGAAGCAAUUGACCAGAGAAUGCAAUGGCAAAAACGGGGCUCUUGAUGAAGUGCGAUUUGAACCGUGUGCAUCUAAAAGCCGUAGACAUGAUGGAAGCUCUGUAAUUUGUUCAAGAUUGUUGCAGUGACUAAGGUUAAGGACUUCCAAGCUGGAAAGCUGAUUGAUGGUAGUGGGUAUGCUACUAAAAUGGCCCCGUUCCAGAUUUAGUUUCUGUAAUGAUGAUAAAUGGCAAAUAUCACUAGGAAUUCCUCCUUCCAUUAUGUUGCAGUGACCUAGGUCCAAUACUUCCAAUGAUGAUAAGUGGCAAAUAUGAAUAGGGAUUUUGUGGAGCUUUGAACACUCUUGAAGUAGGAGAGUUUGAAGACCAUUUAGAUGUGUAAUUGAUGAUGGUAAGUCCAUUAUAGCUGUUCCACUCAAAUCAAGUACCCUUAGCUUUCUCAUAUUGCCCUUGAUUUCUGGAAAUCUCUCUAGCUUUGAACAGCCAUUGCAAGACAAAAUUUGAAGGUGUUUCAACUUGUAAAUGUUUCUUGGAAGAAGCUCCAAGUUUACACACCCUGCCAGAUUAAAGGGGGAAAAAAAAAACAAAGUUAGUUUUGGUAGUUUUAAUACUGCUGCACCAAUCUUUUAAGUACCAUGCAUUGUACAACCUAUUAGAAUUAGAAUCUCUAAGUUUGGCACACUUGAGAAGUCUGGGAUUCCGAUGAGAUGGAAAGAGUAACUGAGAUCAAUAACCCUCAACUUGUCAUGAAGCUGUAACAGAACAAUUUUUUUCAAUAGAUGAAUUUACAUAAACGUUAAAAAUGAAUAUAAAAUUAAACUGUAACUAAUUAAUAAUAACAAUACCUUAUUCCCUCUCCAAACUUGCUUUAUAUUGCUGCCUCUUAAUACGAGUUGAACAAGGUUCUUUGCGUGAAAAUUCAUUGGCAAAGAUUCUAAAGGGUAUCCAUCCCAAUGCAGAUAUGUUAACUCAUAAGAAGAGAAUUCAAAGUCCCUUGGAAGAUGGUCUUUAAGAAAUAGCUGGUCUUCACGAGGGUUAUGGAUAUUAAGCAGUCUAAGUCUAUUCAUCUCUUUGAAAGAUUCUGUAGUAAUCUGUAAUGGAUUAAAUUUACAUCUAUCUAAGAAUAGUCCUUCAAUUGCUCGUGUCCCCUGAAAAAUAUAAGACGAGUAGGUGAAACAAAAGAUGCAUUCGACUUAAUUGAGUUAUACACACGACUAAUUUCUGAAAAAAUAAUAAUAGUAUUGAAGCUUGCAUACACACAUAUAAACAAGAUUAUGCAUUUGACUCUUACUUUAUUUCUUAUUAGCACAUCAUUGGCAUUAGAAUCCCACAAUCUACUCCUUCUUCCAGGGUCUUCAGGGCAUUCUUGACGAAUAAUCUCCCAACCCAUUUGUUGUAUUAAAUCAUGCAUAUCUAGCAUGUUUUUUGAAACAGUUAUGAGACAUCUAUCAUCUAGAGUUGUUAUUGCAUGCUCUGCAUGAGGGCCCAAUAUUCUUGAAACAAAAUCUCUAUCAUCUCCUUUGAAAAAGCAUGCAAUAUCCAAAAAUAUCCCCUUUUCUAUAUCAUCAAGUCCAUCAAAACUUAUUCUAAGUACAUUGUGAAUUUCCAUGUGGGGUAUUAUUUUUAGCUUACACAGUGCACUUUCCCAAUUACUUAUUUUCUUUCCAAAAAGAGAAGCACCUAAAACUUUAAGUGCUAACGGAAGGCCAUCAGCAUAAUCUAUGAUAUUGUAUGAGAGGUUUUUAUAAACUUCUUGGGGACGAUUUUGUUUAAAGGCCCACAAACUAAAGAGCUCAAUAGCUUCUUCCUUGUUUAAUUUUGAAACCUCAUAUGGUAUAUCCACUCCAUAUUGAGCAAGCACGUGUUUGUCUCUAGAUGUAAUGAUGAUUGUACUUUUUGCAUGAAACCAAUCUUUCUCUUCAGCCAAAUAUUCUAGUUGUUUCAACUCAUCCACAUCAUCAAAAAUAACAAGAACUCUAUUGGACCUUAGACACCUCUUUAUCAUACUAUUUCCUUCAUUAACAUUGUUUAUUUUAAAAAAUUUUCCCCUUAGGAUACCAUGAAGAAGUUCUUGCUGUAACUGAAGUAUAUCACCUUUGGAUCUCUCUUUGAUAUUUAUAAGAAAGCUACUACCAUCAUAUUGAUGUGAGAUCUCAUUAUAAAUAGCCUUGGCGAUAGUAGUCUUGCCAACCCCACCAAUUCCAUAUAUCCCUAUGACGCUAACCAUAUUUAACUCAGUGUUCAUCAACGAUUUCAAUUUUUCCAAAUGAACACCAAUUCCAACUAUGCUCUUUCCCACACUUAAAGGUUGAUGGUUUAAUCUUCUAAUGAUUGUAUCAACAAUUUCCUUGACAACCUCAGUCUCAUACCUGCCAAUCAUAUAAAUUAAGUAAAAUGAUGAGUUAGAAUGAGUUGCAAAAUAUAAUAAAUUUAGUCGUGUAUGGCCAUGCCCAAUAUUAUUGAAUUAGUAGCAAUGGAAUGAAAAAGAAAGGGGUCAAGCCAAUUUACUUACAUAUUUAAGCUUCAAAAUUUGUAAGUAUCAAACUACUAAUGUGCCAAGUUGCAAAUUUUCAGUACUCUUACUGUUAGAGCAAUGUGUAGGACUCCUCUAUGAACAAGCUAAUGCCUUCUUUCAACUUUUAUUUCACAAACAACUUGCUUAUGAUUCCUCAAUUUCACUUGUCUUUAGGUUUUAUUAACUUACCAAUGUUGCAAAGACUCUGUUUUUAGCCUGCCAAUUAAUUUUGCAUUUCCAUAGAGGAAUCAGGAAACGAGUGAAUGUGGAGAAUUUCAUGAUUUGCUUCUUGAUUGGGACCUUAAAUAUGAUUUGCUUUAGAGAAAAUUAUAGAAAUGAAAGUUAGAUUUUGUUAACAAUUUCAUACUUACUGGUCAUUCACAUGGCAUCCAGAUAGAUUAGCUGCUUCUCUCAAGGCAAUCCUCCACUUUUGUAUCAUCUCCUUCUUUUCUUGAUUUGCAUCUCUUUCAUGGUAGGCAAGUGCGUCUCCGAAACUUCCCCUUUGGUUUCGUACAUCAGAUGGAUCCACAUGGUAGAAAAUUGGUAGAACCAUUGAUUCCUUUUGGCUCUUGCGUUCAAUGAUCUUUACGAGUUCAUUUAAACACCAUCUGGAGUAAGCAUAAUUUUUUGAGAAAAUAAUAAUAAAAAACCUCGAUUCUUCUAUAGCUCUCAAGAGAUCAGAUGCAAUAUCUCCUCCUUUCUCAAGUUCUUCAUCAUCUCUGAAAGUUUGAAUUCCAGAUGCAGUCAAUGUGGUAUAUAGAUGAUCAGUGAAAUUUUUGCGAGUAUCGCCACCUCUAAAACUCAAGAACACAUCAUAAUUACGAGAAAUAGAAGUAGUCGAAGAAGAGGCUCUAUGGGUGCUGGAAGAAGCCAUUUUUGGAUGGCUUGAACCAAAAUUACAAGGGAGUUUGGAGGGUCCUUGGAUGCUCAAUGACUAUUGGCUCCAGACCUCUUCACCAUGAACAAAAAUCCAAGCUGGGAGGGAGGUUCAGCUGAAAAGCUUCAUCUGCAGUCGUAAAAGAAAAGAAAAACAUAUAUAAAGCCCUCUUUGAGAAAUUUCUUCGUAUAUAGAUUCUAAGAGAAACACAUAUUUUACCUUUUGGUUGGGGAAGAUCCUUUCUCCAUUCCCUUUGUGUUGGAGACUGCAUUAAGGGAUGCAGAGAAGAUGGUGGGGAAGGUGUUGAAGAAGAGGCGGUGGGUAGCAGAGGUCUCGUUGACUGGGUGGAUGGAAUCGAGGUAAGGAAUUCUAAUAUUUUGAAAUGAAAUUUCAUGGAAGGUGUUGUUUUCAGUUUUUGUUUCCACAAAUAUUUGUGCGCGGCACCUAUGAUGAUGAGAAAUCCCUAAUUAAGACUAAGUAAUAUUGCUUUCCUUUUUAAUUAAUCAUUUAUACUUAAUUUUUUUCCGUCAACUUAAGUAUUUUGAUAAUAUUAUUUGUUAUAGAUAUUGAUGGGAAAAUUCUAUCAUCUUUCUAAGAGAUUUAUUAGAUUCUUGUUGGAAAUCCACGUCAAAGUAGAGCUCUGUGACUUUCACAUUAAAAAAUAGUUGGAUUGAUGUAGAAAAGGCAAACCUUCCCUCCACACCCAAAUGUAAUAUUUCAUUAUUUUUUGUAAUUUUAUUUUUCUCUCUAGUUCCUAUAUUUGUACAACUUCAUCCUUCUUUAAUUUAGUUCCUUUUCUUUGUAAUAUUUAUUUUGAUAUUUUUACAAUUUAAAUUUAUGAAAUAUCUUUAUUUAAUAAUUUUUAUAAAAAAUAUUAAGUUUUUAUAGAUAUAUCAAUAUAUAGGUUUUAUAUAUAUAUUGGGAUAUAUAAGGAAAUAUCGGUGGAUAUUCUAACACAAAAUAUCGAUAAAAUGGAAAUUGAUAAAAAAUCAUAGAAAUAUUUAAAAUAAUUAAAAAAAUAAAUAUUAGAAAUAAUAAUAAACAUUUUGAUAUUGUUUUUGUUAAAAAAAAAUCGAUAUAUGUAUGAUAUAAUUUAUAACAUUCAAAAAUAAUAAUUAAAAUUUUUAAAAAAAUUAUAUAAAUAUAUCUAAUUUGGAUGUAUUUAAUGACAUUAAAAAAUUAUGAUAAAAGUAUUAGUACUUUUAUUUUAAAAUAUUGACAAUUUUAUUUAUAAAUUUAUAUAUGGUUAUUUUAUAUUUAUUUAUUAUACCAAACAUAUGAUAAUUAAAAUUUGUUCAUUUAUAUAUAUAUACAAAAAAACAUAUAUUAAUUUAUGCAUAUGUAACAUAAUUUAUAAUAUAUCUAUAUAUAUAUAUAUAUAUAUAUAUAUAUAUAUAAAAGAGAAUCUUAAUAUAAUAUACAUAAAUAAACAUUGUAUAAGUCAUGCAUUACAUUAUAAUAUUAACAAAGUUAGGUCGGUGGCGUGCUGCGCUCACGCAAUGCCUGAGGUCAUGGGUUCUCAAACCCAUCCUUCCACUAACGAUUUAAAUCUCUUUUUUAAAGGUAAGGGGUGGAAUCCCACAUCGACCAGCCACAGCACUCAAAGUUUAAAUCUUUUUUUAACGGUAAGAGGUGGUAUCCCACAUCGGCCGGCCACAGCACUUAAAAAACCUGCUCAUAGACCCUUCAGCCGAUGUAGACGGAAUAUUUUCCAAAAAGGCUGAUGUCUCUCCGAGCCGAGAUAUCCACCUGCUGUAUCGUGUCGGAUGUUACGGACAGAAGAAAUAGUUCCAGCUACUUUCAUCUUGAUCAUAUCUUCAUAAUUGAUUAUUCAUUUUGAUGUUUUACUUCUAAUAUACCUGACAUUUUAGUUUGGUGUUUCGCUUAGGCUUUGAUUAUGGAACUAUUUCUUAUAGUUAUUGGUAGGAAAUUUCCAAUGGUCUUCCAAAUAGGCUAUUUACAAAAGAUUGAAAAAUUGAAAAACCUCAAUGUCCUUUCACAUUUGAAGAUAGUGAAAUUCAUAUAAAAACAAUCAAUACUACAAAAAUUUGUAUGAAGAUAAUGCUAUUUAAAGAAGGUUAAUAGACCUUGAUGUCCUUUUAUAUUGAAAGAUAGUGAAAUUCUAUAUAAAAUAUUGAUAAUAAUAACCAACGCUACAAAAGUUUGUAUGAAGGCAGAGACCAUUUACAAAAGGUCAAUAGACCUCAAUGUGCUUUCACAUUGAAAGAUAAUGAAAUUCACAUAAAAAUAAUAAUAAUAUUAACUAAUGCUAUAAAAAUUUGUAUGAAGACAAACUAUUUACAAAUGCUCAAUAGACCUUAAUGUCCUUUUAUAUUGAGAGAUAGUGAAAUUUAUAUAAAAAUAUAUAUAGCCAAUGCUACAAAAGAUUGUAUAAAGGCAAACUAUUUAUAAAAGGUUAAUAGACUUUAAUGUCCUUUUAUAUUGAGAGAUAGUGAAAUUUAUAUAAAAAUAUAGCCAAUGCUACAAAAGUUUGUAUAAAGGCAAACUAUUUAUAAAAGGUUAAUAGACUUUAAUGUCCUUUUAUAUUGAAAGAUAGUGAAAUUCAUAUAUACAUAUAUAUAAUAAUAAUAAUAACCAACACUACAAAAGUUUGUAUGACAGCAAACCAUUUACAAAACCUUAAUAGACCUCAAUGUCCUUUCACAUUGAUAGAUUGUGAAAUUCACAUUAAAAAAAAAAAAAAAAAACCAAGCAUAUAUAUAUAUAUAUAUAUAUAUAUAUAUAUAUAUAUAUAUAUAUAUAUAUAUAUAUAUAUAUAUAUAUAUAUAUGGUAAUGUGAUAUUUCAUCUUAAUUCCUCUUUUAUUUUCAUCUCUUGGUAUUGAAUAAUAUAUUCUUCAUUUCUACAACUCUUUCUUUUUUCUUAACUUUCUUUUUUUUUUUUUUUGUACUCAGUACCAAUGGGUUCAUUUGACAUUCAUUCAAGAUCCUCCUUGUUUUGUUCUCAAAUGAUUCAAAAAAAAUGAUACCAUAUAAGGAAUUUCUUAAAUAGAUGCUUGUAAAAAUUAUAUAAAAUUUAUUAAAAAAAAUUAAAAAUCAAAGAAAUAUCACUCCUUUUCUUUAAUUUUUAUCCUUUAAUCAUUGGUGCAAAAUGAUAAAAGUGCAAUUAUGCUUUAUUUGGUACUAAUAAGAAUUUCAAAAUCUCUUCACCUCAAGAUAUUGAAGUUUAGGUAAGAAAAUAGAUGGAUAAAAGUAUGACAUAAAACUUUUUUUCCCCAUUUGGAAGGUGUUUGUAGUUAAAGUAAAUAUAUAUAUAUAUAUAUCAAGUGGCAUAACAAAAAACAUAGGAUUUCCAAAAAGAACUUAAAAUGCAUUCAUCAUGCAUGUAGCUUGUCCACCAUAUUUCUUCAAAUAAUAUUAUUAUGGUUUGUUUGCACUAUAUUUAUUAACAUAAAAUUUUAAUCAGAGAAAUGCCAAAAAAAAAAAAAACUCAUUUUGAUCAUAUCUUCAUAAUUGAUUAUUCAUUUUGAUGUUUUACUUCUAAUAUACCUGACAUUUUAGUUUGGUGUUUCGCUUAGGCUUUGAUUAUGGAACUAUUUCUUAUAAUUAUUGGUAGGAAAUUUCCAAUGGUCUUCCAAAUAGGCUAUUUACAAAAGAUUGAAAAACCUCAAUGUCCUUUCACAUUUGAAGAUAGUGAAAUUCAUAUAAAAACAAUCAAUACUACAAAAAUUUGUAUGAAGAUAAUGCUAUUUACAAAAGGUUAAUAGACCCUUGAUGUCCUUUUAUAUUGAAAGAUAGUGAAAUUCUAUAUAAAAUAUUAAUAAUAAUAACCAACGCUACAAAAAUUUGUAUGAAGGCAGAGACCAUUUACAAAAGGUCAAUAGACCUCAAUGUGCUUUCACAUUGAAAGAUAGUGAAAUACACAAAAAUAAUAAUAAUAAUAAAUAAUGCUAUAAAAAUUUGUAUGAAGACAAACUAUUUACAAAAGGUCAAUAGACCUCAAUGUCCUUUUAUAUUGAGAGAUAGUGAAAUUUAUAUAAAAAAAACAACCAAUGCUACAAAAGUUUGUAUGAAAGCAAACUAUUUAUAAAAGGUUAAUAGACCUUAAUGUCCUUUUAUAUUAAAAGAUAGUGAAAUUCAUAUAUAUAUAAAUAAUAAUAAUAACCAAUGCUACAAAAGUUUGUAUGAAGGCAAACCAUUUACAAAAGGUUAAUAGACCUCAAUGUCCUUUCACAUUGAAAGAUAGUGAAAUUCACAUCAAAAAAAGAAAAAGAAAAAACCAAGCAUAUAUAUAUAUAGUAAUGUGAUAUUUUAUCUUAAUUCCUCUUUUAUUUUCAUCUUUUGGUAUUGAAUUAUAUAUUCUUCAUUUCUACAACCCUUUCUUUUUUCUUAACUAUUAUUAUUAUUAUUAUUAUUUUGUACUUAGUAACAAUGGGUUCAUUUGACAUUCAUUCAAGAUCCUCCUUGUUUGUUCUCAAAUGAUUCAAAAAAAUGAUAUCAUAUAAGGAAUUUCUUAAAUAGAUGCUUGUAAAAUUAAAAAAACAAAGAAAUAUCAUCUCCUUUUCUUUAAUUUUUAUCCUUCAAUCAUUGGUGCAAAAUGAUAAAAGUGCAAUUAUGCUUUAUUUGGUACUAAUAAGAAUAUCAAAUUUUCUUCACCUCAAGAUAUUGAAGUCUAGCUAAGAAAAUAGAUGGAUAAAAGUAUGACAUAAAACUUUUUUUUUCCCAUUUGGAAGGUGUUUAUAUAUAUAUAUAUAUAUAUAUAUCAAGUGGCAUAACAAAAACAUAGGAUUUCCAAAAAGAACUUAAAAUGCAUUCAUCAUGCAUGUAGAUUGUCUACUGUAUUUCUUCAAAUAAUAUUAUUAUGAAUUUGUUUGUACUAUAUUUAUUAACAUAAAAUUUUAAUAAGAGAAAUACCAAAAGAACUGAAAAAGAUGAAAGCAAAUGUAGAAAAAAAAUUAAAUUAAUUCAUAAGAUAAAACAUACUAAGCAAACAAUUUCUAGGGGAGAAAAUUUUGAAAUUUUUAGUAAAAUUAGAAGUAUAUAAUAACAACAUAUUAAAGACUAGUUGCAUAUUUAUUCUAUGAAAUCAUUUCAAUUCAUGACAAAAUGAUAGUCAAAUGAAAAGAAGUUUGAAUGAGAUUUUAAGAUUAUUGAUAUGUUAAUACAUUAAACUNNNNNNNNNNNNNNNNNNNNNNNNNNNNNNNNNNNNNNNNNNNNNNNNNNNNNNNNNNNNNNNNNNNNNNNNNNNNNNNNNNNNNNNNNNNNNNNNNNNNNNNNNNNNNNNNNNNNNNNNNNNNNNNNNNNNNNNNNNNNNNNNNNNNNNNNNNNNNNNNNNNNNNNNNNNNNNNNNNNNNNNNNNNNNNNNNNNNNNNNNNNNNNNNNNNNNNNNNNNNNNNNNNNNNNNNNNNNNNNNNNNNNNNNNNNNNNNNNNNNNNNNNNNNNNNNNNNNNNNNNNNNNNNNNNNNNNNNNNNNNNNNNNNNNNNNNNNNNNNNNNNNNNNNNNNNNNNNNNNNNNNNNNNNNNNNNNNNNNNNNNNNNNNNNNNNNNNNNNNNNNNNNNNNNNNNNNNNNNNNNNNNNNNNNNNNNNNNNNNNNNNNNNNNNNNNNNNNNNNNNNNNNNNNNNNNNNNNNNNNNNNNNNNNNNNNNNNNNNNNNNNNNNNNNNNNNNNNNNNNNNNNNNNNNNNNNNNNNNNNNNNNNNNNNNNNNNNNNNNNNNNNNNNNNNNNNNNNNNNNNNNNNNNNNNNNNNNNNNNNNNNNNNNNNNNNNNNNNNNNNNNNNNNNNNNNNNNNNNNNNNNNNNNNNNNNNNNNNNNNNNNNNNNNNNNNNNNNNNNNNNNNNNNNNNNNNNNNNNNNNNNNNNNNNNNNNNNNNNNNNNNNNNNNNNNNNNNNNNNNNNNNNNNNNNNNNNNNNNNNNNNNNNNNNNNNNNNNNNNNNNNNNNNNNNNNNNNNNNNNNNNNNNNNNNNNNNNNNNNNNNNNNNNNNNNNNNNNNNNNNNNNNNNNNNNNNNNNNNNNNNNNNNNNNNNNNNNNNNNNNNNNNNNNNNNNNNNNNNNNNNNNNNNNNNNNNNNNNNNNNNNNNNNNNNNNNNNNNNNNNNNNNNNNNNNCCUUUUUGACACUAAUUAGUAGUCUCACAUACAUGGAAUGCUCCCUACUAGAUCAUAUAUCCACAUCAAAAGUUAGAUUCAUUAAUCAUAGAAAGAAAAUUAGUAGCCUCACAUAACACUUAAAACAUUGUGAAAAGGUGAAUCUCAAUGAUGGACUACACCUAGAGGGGGGAGGAGGGGGGUGAAUAGGUGUUGUAGAACAAUUUAAAAAUUCUCCCAACAAAGAUUACCUAACCUUAGACUAUCUCAAUGUUAAGAAACUUCUCUUCCAACAACUUUUCAACAAAGCAUAACAUCCACAAGCAAGAGUGAAUGCAUCAACACUCUCCCAACAAUUUAUAAAUGCAAAACACAUGCAAAUGCUUCAACACUCAAAAAUAAAUCAAAAGAACAAUCAUCUCCUCAACUCAUAUCAAUUGACUCCAUGAUAUCAUUAAACAAAAUGAACAGAAAAAAUAUUAAAGAUAUUCCAUGGAUCAUCACACUUAUAUCACCUCAUAUUUCUUCCAUUCAAUAUGUAUGCCCAAGUAAUCAAUGAUAUCAAAAACAGAAAAUAAAUCAAAGUGUAGAGUGAGAGAAAUAGACAAUGAACACCAGAUUUUUAAUGUGAAAAACCUCUAAAGAGAUAAAAAAAAAACUACAGACCUAUCACCAAUUGAAAACUCCAUUAUGAAGAAUAAAAGUUGAGUGCAAGGUUUUACCUAGCUCAAGCCAACCAAUCCUUCCCAGACUACUUGACUAGUACCUUCACUUUCAGCUUCUCACCUUCUUCUUUCGGAGCACACUUGGAGUCCGCACCAAGCUCAAUCACGACCUCUUCUUGAAUCCACACAAGAAGAAAAUGGGUUUUUGCACAAACCCAAAUAGAAUAAGAGAUUGAGAUAUGAAUGAAGGAAUGAAUCAACCCAUUUAUUGCUCAAGAAAAUCCAUUAAAAACUAGUUUGGAAAACAUUAAGAGAAGUGGAUUUUCUUUGCAAUCAAAAACCCCAAAUUAGGAAAACAAGAUGAGAAAAUGAAGAACACAUGGAGUGGAUACUCUCUUCACGUUUUCUGCAGUCCUUGCCUAAAAAAAUGAGAGAAGAUUGUUUUUUUAAAAUAUAAAAAGAAGCCCUUAAUCUAAUGGCUAAUAUUUGAUCUAAAAAAAAUUAGUUGGAUCGAUCCACCCCUGCACCUAGAUUGAUCCAGAAAUAGGGGAAUAAAAGUCUUGCACCAAAAACAUUUCUCCCAACUUUCUAACAUAUUUAAAUAUAAAANNNNNNNNNNNNNNNNNNNNNNNNNNNNNNNNNNNNNNNNNNNNNNNNNNNNNNNNNNNNNNNNNNNNNNNNNNNNNNNNNNNNNNNNNNNNNNNNNNNNNNNNNNNNNNNNNNNNNNNNNNNNNNNNNNNNNNNNNNNNNNNNNNNNNNNNNNNNNNNNNNNNNNNNNNNNNNNNNNNNNNNNNNNNNNNNNNNNNNNNNNNNNNNNNNNNNNNNNNNNNNNNNNNNNNNNNNNNNNNNNNNNNNNNNNNNNNNNNNNNNNNNNNNNNNNNNNNNNNNNNNNNNNNNNNNNNNNNNNNNNNNNNNNNNNNNNNNNNNNNNNNNNNNNNNNNNNNNNNNNNNNNNNNNNNNNNNNNNNNNNNNNNNNNNNNNNNNNNNNNNNNNNNNNNNNNNNNNNNNNNNNNNNNNNNNNNNNNNNNNNNNNNNNNNNNNNNNNNNNNNNNNNNNNNNNNNNNNNNNNNNNNNNNNNNNNNNNNNNNNNNNNNNNNNNNNNNNNNNNNNNNNNNNNNNNNNNNNNNNNNNNNNNNNNNNNNNNNNNNNNNNNNNNNNNNNNNNNNNNNNNNNNNNNNNNNNNNNNNNNNNNNNNNNNNNNNNNNNNNNNNNNNNNNNNNNNNNNNNNNNNNNNNNNNNNNNNNNNNNNNNNNNNNNNNNNNNNNNNNNNNNNNNNNNNNNNNNNNNNNNNNNNNNNNNNNNNNNNNNNNNNNNNNNNNNNNNNNNNNNNNNNNNNNNNNNNNNNNNNNNNNNNNNNNNNNNNNNNNNNNNNNNNNNNNNNNNNNNNNNNNNNNNNNNNNNNNNNNNNNNNNNNNNNNNNNNNNNNNNNNNNNNNNNNNNNNNNNNNNNNNNNNNNNNNNNNNNNNNNNNNNNNNNNNNNNNNNNNNNNNNNNNNNNNNNNNNNNNNNNNNNNNNNNNNNNNNNNNNNNNNNNNNNNNNNNNNNNNNNNNNNNNNNNNNNNNNNNNNNNNNNNNNNNNNNNNNNNNNNNNNNNNNNNNNNNNNNNNNNNNNNNNNNNNNNNNNNNNNNNNNNNNNNNNNNNNNNNNNNNNNNNNNNNNNNNNNNNNNNNNNNNNNNNNNNNNNNNNNNNNNNNNNNNNNNNNNNNNNNNNNNNNNNNNNNNNNNNNNNNNNNNNNNNNNNNNNNNNNNNNNNNNNNNNNNNNNNNNNNNNNNNNNNNNNNNNNNNNNNNNNNNNNNNNNNNNNNNNNNNNNNNNNNNNNNNNNNNNNNNNNNNNNNNNNNNNNNNNNNNNNNNNNNNNNNNNNNNNNNNNNNNNNNNNNNNNNNNNNNNNNNNNNNNNNNNNNNNNNNNNNNNNNNNNNNNNNNNNNNNNNNNNNNNNNNNNNNNNNNNNNNNNNNNNNNNNNNNNNNNNNNNNNNNNNNNNNNNNNNNNNNNNNNNNNNNNNNNNNNNNNNNNNNNNNNNNNNNNNNNNNNNNNNNNNNNNNNNNNNNNNNNNNNNNNNNNNNNNNNNNNNNNNNNNNNNNNNNNNNNNNNNNNNNNNNNNNNNNNNNNNNNNNNNNNNNNNNNNNNNNNNNNNNNNNNNNNNNNNNNNNNNNNNNNNNNNNNNNNNNNNNNNNNNNNNNNNNNNNNNNNNNNNNNNNNNNNNNNNNNNNNNNNNNNNNNNNNNNNNNNNNNNNNNNNNNNNNNNNNNNNNNNNNNNNNNNNNNNNNNNNNNNNNNNNNNNNNNNNNNNNNNNNNNNNNNNNNNNNNNNNNNNNNNNNNNNNNNNNNNNNNNNNNNNNNNNNNNNNNNNNNNNNNNNNNNNNNNNNNNNNNNNNNNNNNNNNNNNNNNNNNNNNNNNNNNNNNNNNNNNNNNNNNNNNNNNNNNNNNNNNNNNNNNNNNNNNNNNNNNNNNNNNNNNNNNNNNNNNNNNNNNNNNNNNNNNNNNNNNNNNNNNNNNNNNNNNNNNNNNNNNNNNNNNNNNNNNNNNNNNNNNNNNNNNNNNNNNNNNNNNNNNNNNNNNNNNNNNNNNNNNNNNNNNNNNNNNNNNNNNNNNNNNNNNNNNNNNNNNNNNNNNNNNNNNNNNNNNNNNNNNNNNNNNNNNNNNNNNNNNNNNNNNNNNNNNNNNNNNNNNNNNNNNNNNNNNNNNNNNNNNNNUAGUUACAACAACCCAAGGAAGUUAGAACAACUGUAUAGUAGAGUAGAUUCAACUGGUAUAAAAACCAUGAUGUUGCUAUUAUAUUCAAGAGAUGAAAUGAAAAACACGGUUUUCAGUUCAGUUUCUAUCAUGGUAUCAGAGCAGAACGAGCUCUUGAAAGAAGUCUUCUUGAAAAGAUAAGCUUCAGGCUGCACAAUACGCUCAUCUCUCAAAAAACAAAAAAAAGAUUUAAAAAGUCUACAAAUUCUUUUCAUUUUAAUCAUAUGUAUUAAUGGGAGAUUUCAAUUUUAAAAAGUAUCAUGGCUAAUUUUUGGAUCACUUCAAUAAAUUUUUACAGAUAGCUAAUUAGAAAUUCACUAAUGAAUACUUUCACAAAUGACUGAAACCAAGAAAUGGGCUAUGAAAGCUAGAUGGAGAGCUUUCAUAUAUUUCAGUCUUGCAAAAGAUUCGGAAAUUAAAUCAUAAGAAUUGAUAAUAAAAACAAGAUUAGUGAGUUAAACCUACAUUUGAUUCUCCAAAAUUGAUCCAAAACCGAGCCAUGGCUCUCUCAUAUGCAUCUGUCGGCAGCAGUACAUUCUCUGGCCAUGUUUCUUCGAAUUAUUCGAGGAUUACAAGGGACUCGGCUACUGCUUUGUCACCAUGAAGAAGCACCAGAAUCUUCUUAUGAACUGGAUUGUGGUGUAACUGCAACUGGCCCUUGUUACCAAGGUCUUCCUCUAUAUACUCAUAGUUUAUGCCCUUGAGUUUUAGAGUCCAAAUCACUCCGUAACCAAAAGGGCUUGCCCAAAACUCUAAUAUCUUCACUCCUGCCAUUGUUUUCUAGUAUGCCAGCUCAAUUUGCAGGGCUAUUAGUUUCAAAUAUUUGAACUUGGAGGAAGAUGGGACCCUUCUCUUCAACUAAGGAUUUUCAGCUUGUGUAAGGAGGAUUAUUUUUCAUGGCAUGCCUAGUUUUAUGGACUUCUUUUAAAAGGCAGAUAUGAGAAUUUUUUUGAAGAUGACAUCAAUUGUUUUUAAAAGAAGAAAGGAAAACAUUUAAAAGGAAUAAAGAUAUGAAAUUUUUUGAAGAUGACACCAAUUCUUUUUUUAAGGAGAGGAGAUUUUUUUUUUUUUUUUUUUAAAGGAAUAGGAGAUAUGAAUUUUUAUUUUGGAAGAUGACGUCUUUUUUUUUUUUAAGGAGAACGAGAAUUUUUUAAAAUGGAAUAUGAGUUUUUUGGAAGAGGAUAUCAUAAUUCUUUUUUAGAGGAUAUUUAUUGUAUAUUGUUUCAUGUUAAUAAAGUUUUGAUUUUUAUUGAGUGCUUAUAAAAUUGUUAGGACUUAUUUUUCUGGUUGUUAUGUAGUAUCUCUGAUUUUGUAUAUUGUUUCAUGUUAUUUAAGCUUUGAGUUCUAUUGAAUGCUUGUACUAUUUAUCUAAUUUUAUUAAAAAUCAAAUUUUGAAAAAUUUUGGUUUAAGUUUUAAAUUUUUGGAUAUUAUUCAUGUAAUUAGAAUUUUAUUAAAAAUCAAAAUUUGAAAAGUUUUGUUUGAGUUUUAAUUUUCUGGAUAUUAUUAUUCAUUUCAUUAGAGUUUUAUUAAAAAUCAAAAUUUGAAAAGUUUUGGUUUAAUUUAAUUUUCUUGAUAUUAUUCAUGUAAUUAGAAUCUUAUUAAAAAUCAAAAUUUGAAAAGUUUAGUUUGAGUUUUAAUUUUUUGGUACUAUUUAUUUCAUUAAAAUUUUAUUAAAAGUCAAAUUUUGAAAAGUUUAGUUUGAAUUUGAAUUUUUUGGAUACUAUUCAUGUAAUUAGAAUUUUAUUAAAAAUCAAAAUUUGAAAAGUUUAGUUUGAGUUUUAAUUUUCUGGUAUUAUUCACUGCAUGAGGAGUCUUAGUGUAAUGGAUAGUAGGUCACAGACUCAAGCUUUGUCUUGUUGUUAUUUACAUAGGAUACUAGCGUUCUCUUUAAUAGAAUUUUAAAUCAAUUUCAAAAUUGGAUUCUAAAUGAGCCAAUAUUCCUAUGGGCCUUAGUGUUACUACUCCGAGCUCAUAUACCAUGAUGAUAUGAUUUGAAGGGAGGGCUAGUUUGACUCUAGGUUUAUUCUUGUGCAUAAGAGUGUUUUGGUAAUUAUACUAGGUUGCAUAGGAGAUAGUGAACAAGGCCUUUGGUUUGAGUUAAUUGAUUAAUUAGAUGACCCUAUGUGAUUAAUUAAUCAAUUAGAACUCGUUUUGGGCUAGAUUAAGUGACCUAGGCCUUGAUGGACUUAAGUCACUUAAGCCUAAUGGACAAUCCUAUAAAUACCCCUUUAUGGAUUAGGGUUUCAUAAUGACUUGUGGUGAGAGUUGUCUUCCAACCCUAGAGAGAGAGUUAUAGCCUCCUCUUUUUCAAAACCCACACUUUGGAGUGUUAAGAUUGUGGUUCGCGUCCUCGAGUAGAAGAUCUUGGGUGUGCAAGACCUCAUUGGAUGAAGGCUUACAACACUUAGACGUGCAUAGGUCGCGUGCAUGAGAAGUGCAUGGGAUGCACAUAGGCGUGUGCAUGAGAAGUGCACGAGACAUGCACAAGCCUUGCGCACAAGAAUUGCAUGGGAUGCGCACGUGGGCAACAACAUGAGGAACAUCCAUACAUGUUCUUCACAGUAAGGAAUUUAUUUGGGAACAUCCAAAUCCAAGGAUGAACACUUUUUCUCUAUAUCUUUAUUCUAAUAUGGUUUUUAUAGCCAUAUGUUUUGACUAUAAUAGAUUUAGAGAAGCUUAGAAUAGUUUACAUUCACCCUAUGAUAUCUAGAGCAUGAGAACGGAGUAGUCUAGGGUUUCCAACACUAGUAACUCUAUUUUAAGAGUGUUGAUUUAUCACAUGGCCCAUAAAAGUGAAUACAUGGACAUUUAUUUUUAAUAUGAAUGAAUGGAUGCAUGUUGAUUUUUUCUUUUUUUUUUUUCUUUUUUCUCUUUAGAUUAGGUUGUAAACUUCUUAAGGAGUAUAGAAUUUUAAAUUUCUCCAUAAAAUAUUUUUCUUUUAAUGGAUGAGUUGUAAGCUCCAUUUUGAGAGCAUAAGGGUUUGUAUUCUUUGUAAAAAUUUUAAACUUUGGUCUAUCUAUGGUGACCCAAAAAAGGGAUCAGAGCUUAUGAUUCAUUCAAGGGCAUUCAGAUAGAAAAACCAAUCAAGAAAAGUGAGUUUUUUGAGAAAAAAAAAAUUGAAAAAAAUGGAGAAUCAAGCUCUCAGCAUAGUAGUCCAAGUGGUAACGCUCAAACGCUACAAAUCACAACUUAAGCGCUUGAGUGCUCCUUUAGGUGGUUUGAGUACUCUUAUUAUGGUAGCUAUAAUUUCUCCAACAUGAUUUUUUUUUUUUAAGGUUUUUCUAUAAUUUUAGGGGUUUUUUUUCCAAUAUUUUUAAAAUCAAACUGGUCAUUGAAUUGAAAAAGUUGACCAGUGGUCGAAGAACUAUUAAACCGAUGACAUCAUAAAUAUAUUAUUAAUAAAUAUAUAUAUAUAUAUAUAUAUAUAAAAAUUAAAAAUCAAUAAUAUUAAUUAUAUCUUUGAUAAAAGAUAAAAAUAAUUAAUAUUUUGAAUUUUGUUAAAUGAAAUAUGUAUAACAUUUUAAUGUGAAUAUAUUCAAAAUGAAAGGAAAUCUGAUUAUCAGAUUUUAACUAAUUUUAUAAUUUUAGAAAAUAUUAUAUUAUUUUUAUUUAAUAUUAUAAAUCCUUUUAAAAACAAAUAUAUUUUUUCAUUCGCCAUUUUAAUAAACAAGAUGCAUGCAGCCGAGCGGUGCUGUACAUCUUUUGUUCAGCAUACAUCGAAUGUGGAUAAGUUAAAAAAGGCCCUUAUAUUCCCAACUUACCCAAGUCACAUGUGCAGCACAGGAAACCAAGGUGCAGCCCAUCCAAUAGUGUUUGGAUUGGGCUUUUAUUUGGGCCUCAUGGAAUUAAAAAAGAGGGGAAGCUUGGGUCCAUUUUAAUGAAAGAACAGUUGGGAUAUGUGAAACCGCCCAGUCCAGGUGGUUCACUAGUUCAACCACUGAUUCGGGCAGCUUGUGACCGAUUCAAUUGCCUAGCGGUUUAACAAGGUGGACUAGACUAGAAGUCCACCGGUCCAACUGAUUGGAGUGGCCGGAUUGGUUCGGUUUUUAAAAGAAUGUUUUUUUAUUUCUCUAACUUAAUUUUGGUUGCAUGGGUAUAUUGGUAAAUUUUUUAAUAAAUUGGAUUCUAAAUGUUUUUGCUACCAAAAUUUGUGACAAGAUGCCUAAGGCGGGGAGGAAUUAUUUUAAUUUUCCUUUUUAUAUUCUUAAGCUUACAUAUAUAUGGCAUGUUGUGCAUGAAAAUUUGAUUUUUAGUAAUUUUGAUAGAAAUAAAUUUCCUUGAAAAUUAGAUUUCAAAAGGAUAUUUUUAUUAAAUUGGAAAAGUAGUGACUAAAGAAAGAACUUUUUAUCAAAAUAAAAUUUAAAUAAAGAGAGAAAUUUUUCCUUUUAUAAAAUCAUUUGGAAGGAUUUUAAUUUUUUUUUUUACUUAAAAAAUUAUUUUAUAAGAUUCCUAAAAAAUAAAAGCUUUCUUUUUGGAUAAGAUACACUCUAUAGUUUAAUUUUUUCAUUUUUAGAAAUUUUCUUAUUUUGAGAAUUUUUCAAUUAGAAUAAUAAAUAAUUUUGGAAAAUUUCAGGAUAGGCAAUAAUAAGAUAUUACUAAAAAGUUUUGGAAACUUAGUAAUUUAAUGAGCAAUAAAUUUCUAUAAAAAUACUAAUUUCAAGAUCAGACACUUAUUACAUUGGAGUGGUGUAUGAGAAAGGAAAAUUUUAUAUGAAUUGAUUUAAAACUUUGAGAGCAUCUUUGUUAUCAAAUUAAUUUAGGAUAAAAUGCUCUUACAAAAAUUUUAUAAUUUCCAAAGUUACAUUCUCUUAUCUCCCUUGUGUUUCUAAUUACAAAAUUAAUAAUUUUAAAAUUUUUUAUAGAAGAUAAUUAUUUAUCAAGGGAAUUACCAAGGAACUAAAAAGCUCUAAUCAACUCAAAAUAUAAAGUGGGCAAGGCCUUAGCAAAACCCACAACCUUCAUUAUCAAGUCCAUCUUGGUUUUAUGUCAUUGUCACCCCAACACUGAGUUGGCUAAGAAAUCAAAUGAUAUGAAAUUUCCAAUUGGCGAGACUAGAUAUGUUAGUAGAGCAACCACCUCAACAAUGAGUUUUUUUUUUACUAAUAUUAAUAUUAAAGAUAGUAAUCACACACUUAACUUAAAAGUAAAGUGGUUGAAUCAGCCAACGUGAUCCCACUUACAUAAUUAAGGGUUAAAUAAAAGGAUGUGUUGAUCUUGCCUUUUUAAGAUAAGAAGAUCAAUAUGAAAGGGUCUCUACCUGGUAAUAAGAUCAUGCCCAACCUAAGGUGGCAUUAAUACUUAUGAUUCUAUGAUAUCUAGCAAAAGCUAUGUAAUCAUAAGAGCUCUAGAUUUUGCUAAAUCUAUUAUCUUGCUUUAGGGUUAAUGCAUGUUGUUUAUUUUUGUUACAUUAAUCAUGUCCUUUAAUUCAAUUACUCCCAUUCUCACAACAAACAAAUUAAUUAAGCAUAACUAUGUGAAUUAAAAGAAAAACUUUUAUAUAGUGCUUACGUCAAAGGAACUUAAAUGGGUGUUUUAGGAAUUUAAUCUUGUUGGAGUUGGGUUUGGGUGCCCAGAUGGGCUGACCUAACCCUAUCCAAUAAAUGAGAAAAUGUGGGAGCAGUUUCUGGGAGUUUUAAAACUACCCAAAAACUGUCACUAUUAAAAGAUUAAAAAAAAAAAGUGUUUUUUUUCUCUUCUCUCUUUGUGAAAACUCUCUCAUUGAGAAUUCUCUCUCUCCAUGGAAAACCAAAGAGAGAAAGAGUACAUUUUCUUUCUUCCUAAAAACAAAUGUGAAGAAAUACGUUUUCUUCUUUCCCUAGAAAACAUAAGAAAGAAUAUUUUUUUCCUCUAAAGAAACAAAAAGUUAUUUCUCUUAAAGUCAUUCCUAUUUUCUCCAUAAAAACAAAGGUUAAGGCUCUUGUGCUGUGAGAAAAGAAUGGUUAUCAUAUUUGUAGUUCCAUUCACAACUUGAGGCGAGAAAAUUAGUUAGUGAAACAACCAAUUUGGAUCUUGGGUAUUUCAAAAGGUAACUCGGAAUUUUCUACCUUUUUUUUGUUUAUUUUUUUGUGUUUUAGAGAAAAAAGAAUAUUUUUUUUGGAAACAAAUGAACAAAGAAGAAACUUUUUUUUUUUUUUUUAUGGUUGUGGUUUCAAAAAAACUAAAAAAUAAAUAAACAAAAAAAAAUGGAUAAAUAUGAUUUUGGAUAUUGUUCCAAAUUAUUAAUAAUAAUAAUAAAAGCAAUGUUCUAGAAAAAAAAAACCACUUGGAGAAAAAAUAUGUGUAAAGUGCACCCCGCUGUAGGAGUUUUGGAUGAAUUGUAAAAAUAGGUGCAAAGUGCAUCCACUGUAGGAGUCUUAGACGAAUUGAAAUGGACAAUUAAAAACAAAAAAAAGAAAAAGAAAAAGACAAGAGCCACAAUUUUCUGGUUAUGGUUCCAGAAAAGCCUUUCUCCAAGACAAACAAAGUGGAAUAUUUUUCUGGAAUUUUUUUUUUAAAAAAGUAAUAAUAAUACUAAACAAGUUAAAUAUGUUUUAGUUUACUUAUUGACAUCAAAGUGUAAUUACUCUUGUGGGUUAGAACUCCUCUCAUGCUCACUUCAAACCCAAGUUCGAGCUUUGAGGUCCUCAUUCCUAUUUCAAGUUUUUGAGUUGAAGUCAAAUUAUGUUGAUUUGUUCAAAUAUAAUUAGACUAUAAAAAAAUAAAAUAAAAAAUGUAUGUUACUCAUUAUAAAUAAAUAAAUAAAAAUGAAGGAGGGAUUGCUUAUGAAAAGGCUUGAUCCUUGACCAUAAGAGUAAGAGUCUUGUACUCUACAAACUAGGCUAGAUGUUUUUUGUUUUCAUAGAAAGACUGAUUAUUGAAAAUAACAUUAUAAAAGACAUUGUGAAUAUUCCUAAUAUUGUUGUUCCUUCUAGCUUCAAGAGAAAAGAUUAGUUCUUUUUCUAAAUGUUACUUUUUUAUGCUUUAUACAUGAAAUGUAUAUAUCUUAUUUGCAAGAUAUGACAUGAAUAUUUAUUGUUUGAUAAAUGAGUAUGUCUUUUUUGUACAUGUGUGUCUUCAAUUCUUUUGUAUAUAUUAUUGAUACAUGCUAGUUGUAUUAUAUUUUUUAUGGAGUGGGAGGUUUUAGGCUAAAAAGAAAUUUAAGUAAUUUCUUGGCCAAAAUUAGAAAUACUUGAAUAGAUUAUUUCUAAUUUGUAAUAAUUAAAAUUGUAUAUAGGAGUUGAUUGGGAACAUAGUGAACUUUCGUUUCUAUUGCAAUUUAAGGUUAUUACACAUUAGAAGAUGAUUAGAGCAGGUAAAAUCAUUAAUAUCCAAAAAAGUACCAAUUAAUAAGAUUGUGCAAUAUCUCUAAGUAGUUGAAUAUGUCAACUACAACUAGAAACAUCAUAGUAGAACUAAACAAGGAUGAGAAACUGAAUUGCGAUAACUACGAGGUUUGGUAUUGCAAAGUUCAAUAUAUCCUUGUCGAGCAAGAGACUCUUGAUACACUGAAUCAUAUCAUGUAAGAACCUAAAUAAGGAAACUUUGCUCAACAUAGAAAGAUCAAGAGGCUCAAAUGGCCUAGAAGAAAAAGAAUUUUUUAGCUCACAUUACAUUAUUAGACUAUAUGCAAGAUGAUCUCUUGAUUGAGUAUAAGGUUUACGAAACUUCUCAUGAAACGUGGCAAGCUCUAAAGGAAAAGUGUGGUGGACUUUCAAUUACUAAACUGAGAGAACUUGUAAUGAAAUUUGAAAAUUACAAGAUGCGACCAAACUAUACAAUGAAACAACAUCUCAGGGGGAUGAAAAGAAUGAUAAGAGAUCUUAAGACAUCUGGGCAUGUCUUCACUGAUAAGCAACAAGUUGAGGCAGUCAUCAAAUCUCUACCAAAGAGCUAGGAACAUUUGGCUAUGAACAUGACACAAAAUGAGAGUGUCAAGACUUUUGAUAAUACAGUUCGUCAUUUCGAAUUGGAAACCGAGUGACUUAUGGUUGCUAGGCCUAAUGAACAAACUCAUGUAAGUGAAUCCAAUUCUCACAAACUUCCGGCUUUAAGUGUGAUAGAAAAUUCUUUAAGAAGAAUAAGAAAUCUAAUGAGGCUUCAAAGAAAUGAAAGAUUAAGACACAUAAGAAGUUUAAGCGUGCCAAGAAGGAUAAAAACAAGUUGAAAUGUUAUAACUAUGGCAAUAAAGGUCACUUUACUCGUGAGUGUACUAAGUCAAAGUAGACUUAGUCCCCACUAACCGAAUAGCUAGAGGCCAAAGAGCAUAUGUAGAGUUUAGGUGAAUUAGUUUCGAUACAAGAUGAAUCUAUGUAGGGAACAACUCCAAAGUUGAGGUCAAGAGUAUUGGAACGUGUAAAUUGGAGUUGCGUAAAGAAUGGACCCUAUUCCUGCAUGAUGUUAUUUAAAUUCUGGAUAUUCGAUGGAAUUUGGUCUCUAUGUUAGUCCUUUUUGGUUUAGGUUUCAAUUUGAAUUUUCAUAAUUCAAUAAUGAAGUUGUAUUUGGGAACAACAUAAUAUGGUUUUGGAUUUAUUUUGAAUGGUUUUAUAGUUCUUGACAUUGAUAACUAUGUGUUGUCUAAUACUAAUGAUAGUUAUUAUUUGUUGAUGAGUACUUCUAGAAAUGCAUGUGAUAAUGUGAUCAUAUGGCAUGCUAGACUUAGGCAUAUUGGACAAGAAAGAAUAAAUAGACUAGCUAGAGAAAAUCUUUUUGGUCAAUUCACUAAAGAUUGAUAUGCCAACUUGUGAAUAUUGUCUAGCUGAUAAAACUGCAAGAAAACCAUUCGGAAAAGGAACUAGAACUAAAACACCAUUUCAAUUAAUUCGUUUUUGACAUUGGUGAUCCUAUGAGUGUUAGAGCAAGGUAUGGGGCCUUGUACUUCAUCACAUUUAUAGAUGACUUUAAUCGUUAUGGUCAUGUUUAUCUGAUUUCUCAUAAGUCAGAAACAUUAGAUUGUUUCAGUCGCUACAUUAAUUUAGUUGAGAAUCAGUUGGACAAAAGGAAUAAAACAUAAAGAACAGAUCUGGGUAAAGAAUAUCAAUUAGAACAAUUUAAAGAUUUAUGUGAUGAAAAGGGUAUUGGUACACAAUAGACUAUUCCAAGGACUCCACAACAAAAUGUUGUUGCUAAGAGGAAGAAUAGAAUGUUGUUACACAUGGUUAUGUCAAUGGUGGCUCAAGCAAAUCUUGUUAUUUCAUAUUGAGGAGACGCAUUGUUGACUACUUCUCAUGUACUUAACCAAGUACCCUCAAAGUUUGUUUCAUCUACUCUAUAUGAGUUUUGGAAUAACCGAAAGCCUGAUCCUAGCAAUUUGCGACCUUAGGGGUCGGUGGCUUAUGUUCACAAUCCUUCUCAUAAAUAUGGAAACUUAGGUCAUAGAGGAAGGAAAUGUGUCUUUAUAAGAUACAGUGAACACUCCAAAGGGUAUGUGUUCAUAGGUGAGCAUGAAGAUGGUAUAGUAACUGAAUUAGAAUCACGAGAUGUCAAGUUCUUAGAGGAUGAUUUCCCAUGUAUGGGUGAGAUUGAUAGAGAUUUACAUCUUUAUGAAAUGAUGGAUCCCGACAUAAGAUCCAUACCCGAACAACAAUUGAUGCUUCAAUCAAGUAAGAAUGAACUAGUACUCGUAGCAAGUACAGUAAGAUAGUCAAUGUGGAGAAAAAGUUCUUGAUAAAUUAUUUCUCUACAACGAUUUGAGAUUGAAGGGGAAGUUCAUAUUGUCACUCAAUAUGAUGAUGUUGAGCCUAAGUUGGUUCAAGAGACUCUUACUUGUCUAACUAAGGAUGAAUGGAGAAAAACAAUGGAAGAGGAAUUGGAGUCGAUGCAAAAGAAUCAAGUCUAGGGCUUGGUUGAUCUGCCUUCCGAUUGAAUAGCUAUUGGGAACAAAUGAGUUCUUAAAAUAAAAUGAAAGGCAAAUGGUUCCAUUGAAAAUUAUCAAGCUCGAUUAGUGACUAAAGGGCACACCCAACAAGAGGGUAUAUAGACUAAGGAAACCAUCUCUUCAAUAGUUAGGUUUGCCUUAAUUCAUCUCAUUCUAGCUAUAGUAGCUCAUAUGGAUUUAAAGCUACACCAAAUAGAUGCUAAGACAACUUUCCUUAAUGGAGAGUUGAAUGAAGAAAUCUAUAUGGAACAACUAGUGGAUUUCAUUAUCCAAGGCUAAGAGAACAAAGUGUGCAAGUUAAAUUGAUUGAUUUCUGGCCUUAAACAAUCAUCCAGGUAGUGAUACUUAAGAUUUCAUUGUGCAAUAACUUCAUAUGUUUUCACAAUGAUUGAUGAAGACCAUUGUGUUUAUAUUAACCAAAAUAAAGAUAAAUUUGUUAUUAUCUUUAUACAUGAAUGAUAUACUUAUAGCUGGAAAUGAUUUGGAGUUUGUUUAAACCAUUUAAAGAUGUUUGUCAUUUACUUCUGAGAUGAAAGAUAUGAGAGAAGCAUCUUAUAUUCUUGGAGUAAAGAUCCAUAGAGAUGGUUCUCAUAAACUAGUUGUUCUUUCACAAGAGCACUAUAUUAAGAAUAUCCUUGAAUGAUUUAAUAUGCAAGAUUGCAAUUCCAUUGACACUCUAUUUGCAAGAGGUGAAAACCUAAGUAAAUAAAUGGGUCCAAAGACUCCAAAAGAAAACAAAAAAACAUAACUAAUGUUCCCUACUCUAGUGCUAUUGGGAUUCUAGUGUAUGCUACGAUGUGUACAAGACUAUAUAUAUCUAUUAUGUUGUUAGGAUGGUGAGUCGUUGCAAGAAAAUCCUAGAAUGAUGCUUUGGAAAAUAGUAAAGAGAAUUCUUCGGCAUCUAAUAGGCAUGUGGACUAUUCCUUUUAUUAUCAAGGCAAAGAAUUGCGCUUGUGGAUUAUUCACAUAUUGCUUGGGUAGAUGAUAUAGAUGAGCACAAAUCAACAUCUAGAUACACAUUCUUGCUUAAUAAUGGUGUCAAAUUAUGGAAAAGUAAGAAACAAACUUGUAUAGCUUUGUCAACCAUGGAAGCUGAAUUUACUGUUUGUUCAGCUAUAAUAUAAGAAGUCGUAUUAUUGAAAAGUUUUUUUGCAAAGCUUGGGAAUAGUCAAAGAUAUUUUUAAGCCAAUGACAGUCUAAAGUGACAGUCAAUUUGUGACUAUUUAUGUAAUUGAUCUGAAAUAUCAUAGAAAAACUAAACAUCUAGAUACCAAGAAUAAUUUUAAAAGAGAUAUUAUUGUGUGAGGAGGAAAUGAUCCUGAAUAUUUACCUACAUGUGAAAUGGUUGUUGAUCCAUUCAUGAAAUCCAUUAUAAGAAACAUGUUUUCUAUACAUUUAAAGUCAUUAAUACUAUGUAGGUUAUGAUCUAUGUGGAUCAUAUGUCAUGGGUCAUUAUUGAUUGGAUAUAUGAUGCUUUAUAUAUGAUAAAAUAAUAUGAGUAUUUGUUAUUCAUAUAAUUGAAUAUGUAAUUGGUACUUACAUAUAUAUGUAUGUCAACAGGCUGAGCUUAACUCUCUCACAUGAGCAACCGGCCCAAUCAAUAUGUUUAUGAGUUGGGAUGAGACAAUAUAUUAAUGAUGAUGAAUGAGUGAAUAGUAUACAAAAGAUGUUGAGUGUCGCCUUGAUUAAGUAUCAAGAUGAGGUCUAUAAUAAAUGAAAUCUUGACCGAAUGUAAUCGCCCAUAAUUACAUUUGCCUGCUUGAACCGGACUUGAGUUUUAACAUAAAAGGUUUAAAGAGAACAAUAGAUGCAAAACUCAAAUGAGCUACUGGUGUGAAGCUCUUAGUUAAGGUUCAUAUCGUGGUAGUUUGACAUACACUCUCUAAGUGGAGAGAAACCACCAUAGCAUGUAUUUCAUACUACAUGUGUUUGAAUGUGACUAAUAAGGAAAGUGAGUGAUUAAUCCAUGCAUCCUCACUGUGUGAGAUCCUUAGGGUUUAUUACAAUUAUAAUAGCCCAUUAUUGUACUCUUUGUACUUUUGACUAUGUUUUAAGGUGACAAAUUAAUGUUGCUACUUUGGUAUGUUUUCGAUGGAAAUGAAAUAAUUUAUCCUUAUGGGACAUAUUGGGCAAACAAUUAAUUUGGAUCUAAAAGACAUGGGCUCAAAAAGAAGCCUUUUUUCUAGUUACAUUGAUAAAGAUGUGUUCAUGGUCAACCAGUUAUAUUACCUUUGUAGCCGAUAUAAUUAUAAAUACAUUUAUAAUGUUGGAUAGUAUACAACUUCGAAGGAUUAAGUGUAUACAUUAAAACGUAAUUAAAUAAGUCUAAGGUAUAGCAAGACAUGAUUAUUAUUAUUCACUCAUAAUUUUUUAGGGUUAAGCUACUAUGUAUCCUUAACAUGUGCAUAAGUUUAUAGCUCCCAAAUUGUAGGUGUGCUCUUAUGGUCACAUGACCCAUUUGCCUAUAUGAAUGACCUUAAAAAAUGGAAUAUAAUGGAUUUGGAUGAGUGAUGGGGCUAGUUCAGCCCAUCUUGUGCAAGUGGGAAAUGUUAGAGUUGGGUUUGGGUGCUCAAGUUGGCUAACCCAACCCAAUCCAAUAAAUGAGAAAAUGUGAGAGCAGUUUCUAGGAGUUUUAAAACUACCCCAAAAUUGCCACUAUUAAAAUAUUAAAAAAAAAGUUUUUUUUUCUCUUCUCUCUCUUUGUGAAAACUCUCUCGUUAAGAAUUCUCCCUCUCUGUGGAAAAUUAAAGAGAGAAAGAAUACGUUUUCUUUCUCUAUCUUCCUGAAAACAAAGGUGAAGAAACACGUUUUCUUCUUUCCCUAGAAAACAUAAGAAAGAAUAAUUUUUCUUCUGAAGAAACAAAAAAAAUCCUUUCUCUUAAAGUUAUUCCAGUUUUCUUCAUGAAAACGAAUGUCAAGGCUCUUGUAUUGUGAGACAAGAAUGAUUCUCAUAUUUGUAGUUCCAUUCAUGAAUUGAGGCAAGAAAAUUACUCAGUGAAACAACCAAUCUGGAUCUUGGGCAUUUCAGAAGGUAACUCUGAAACCUUAUUUUUCAUCAACUCUAAAUAAUCCUAAUAAGUAGCCAUCAUAAGAAGAUGGAGAGGCAUAUAAUAAAUGGCAUAAGGCGGGAUGAGAAUGUCAAGUGUCUUAUACUUAGGUCUUUGGACAAUUUGUUGCAACAACAACACAUGUAUCAUGCAACGACUUAUGAUAUUCUCUUUAGCUUGUAACACUAUAAGAUAAAAGGGCAAUAAUGAUGUUUUUUAGGCGUCAAUAAAUGUAUAAGAUGAUGCUUCUUGAAAGCGCCCUUGUCGCCCCUGUCAAGGAAUGGAUAUAGGCAACCUUGUCGCUUCUAGAAAGCGUCAUCUAUAAAAACACUUACAUUGACGCUUAUUCAAGUGUCAUCUUUCCAAAAGCAUGACAUUCUUUAAGUGCCAUUAUUUCCACCAAAUUUUCAAUGUUAACACUUACACUAGCGCCAAGGAAUGUCCAAAAUAUCAUUUGUCUAUUUUGAAACUCAAAAAAGUGUCAUCUUAUGUGGACAAUAAUACUGAAAAUCCCCCCAUUGAAAUGAUAUAUUUUGUAUGUCCUGUUAUAUAUAAUUUUGGCUGCAUGAUUUUUUAUAAAGUACAAAACAAUAACUUCAAUAUUAAUAACUAUAUCUUCCAAAAGAAAUUGAAUAAAUUUGGGAAUAAUAUCAUGAUAAAGAACUAAUGUCUACAUAGUUAAUUAAUACGUAAAUUUGUUAAUGUAUCAAAAUAUUUACAACAAGCAUAUUUUGCAACUUCAACAUAAAUCAAGUACACAUGUACCAAAAAACAAGGUCUCUAAAUUCCUUAUAAAAAAUAAUAUUACAAGAAGAAGAAGAAGAAGCCAAAAGUAUUUUUAACCAAAAGUAUUCCUAUUGGUUGCAUAUCCAUUCUUGAACUUGAUAUCUUUUACCUGUAUACAUUUAAAAAAAAAACAAUAGAAGAAACAAAUUAUGUUUAGUUAAUAUACAUGCAAUGAAAGUUAAAUUUAAAUCUAUAAAUGGUCCAUGAAAGAAGUGCAAAUGAGAAUAACUUGGUAUUUAAUGAGAUGUUAUGCUUCAAUGAAGAUGAAAAAUUGUUUAAUUUGAUACUUGUUUAUAAAAUAUUAAUAGACUUUUUAGUUUAUUAUUAAGUUAGAGGAAACAAGUUAGGCUUUCAAUGGUAUAAAUUCUACAAUAUGGAAUGUAAUAUAAUAUUUUCUUAUCUAUGUCUAACAUAUGAAACUCAUUUCUCAUAAAUAAAUAUAUAAAAAUACCAAUAGGUAUGGUUUAUAAUUAGUUUCGAUCAUAAAUCAUCAUAUCUAGUAAUAUAAGACAUCUAAUAUUAACCAUUUGCAAAUGUCUUAAUUUCUUCUUACAAUUUUCCUAUAUUACCAAAUUUAGUUUACUAAUAACAUUCCAUAAGGAAAAAAAGAGUAUUAAACUAAAAAUCAAUAGAGUAUAAGGAAAAAAAAUUAUGACAAAUAGAAUGAAGAAAGAGAAAUCUUUUUCCUAGAAAAUGCCAUGUCAAAUCAAAAUGAGACCAAGGAAGGAAGAUCAUCUCUCUCCACAUCCACUCUGCCCCUAUUUCUUUUACAUUUUUAGUUUCUUUGUAUUGAGAAAUUUUGGACUCCUAAUUUUCUCCAACAUUGUUUGGUUUGUAUUUAUGAUAGAAGGACCUCUAUCAUUUCGUGUAAAUAACUUUCCUGUCUAUCAUACUCCUUUUGUUUCUCAUAAAGGAAAAACUUGUUUCUCACCAAGGAAAAUGAAACACAUGUGGUUCAACUAUCUACUAAAAUCAAAUAUUGAUGGUUUUCUUAAUGAAUGGUUUAUUGAAUUUUUUUCAUACUUAACUUAGUAAUUAAUAAGUGGGUAUAGGAAAAGGAAUCACAUUCCCUUAGUUUAGAAGUUGGGAAAGCGUAUGGCAGCCUUAGUGGUGACAAUGGUGGUGGUAGAAAGGUGGUUGGAGAUUGAUUGUGUUGUGGGAAUAAGGGUAUGAUGUCAUUCUUGAAGAAAUAUGUACAACAGAAAAUUCAAUGAAAUCUAAAUUAUUACAUAUGGUAGCCUCCAUAACAAAGAGCUAAACUAUCAUAAGAAAAUGACCAUAAAUUUUAAUGAACUAAAGCCUAUACACAAUGGGUGGAACCAAUGAUCCAUAAAUAUGUGUUGAUUGUGGAUAUCUUUCCCUUGAACUAUAAGGAAACAAAGAGCUAAACUAUCACAAGAAAACCAUUAUGCCAAGGGAACAAAAAAGAAUGUGAAAUAUAAAUUAUCAUAUAGAAACUCGAUUCCAAUAUAUAUAUAUAUAUAUAUAUAUAUAUAUAUAUUAUCAUGCAUCAUCUGAUAGGUUGAAAAAUUGAGGCCUUGUGUUGAAUUUAGAAUAUAACUACCUUGCCCAGAUGAGUAAUGAAUUCAAAAUCAUCAACUAGUUGCUUCUUCAGUAUUGGAGAAAUUUGGAUGUUCACGAGCUUCUCCACUGGUAUGGCUCUUUUCUCCAAACAAUAAAGAAAACACAAACUUAGUUCAGGAAACCUCAAACUGCUUAUGGAAAACUUGGCCAAAUAAAUUCUAAUAAAGAGAAACUCAUCAACUAAGAAGCACUUUCAAGUCUUAUACAUGACAAGUUAGCAGAAAUGUACUUCGUUCCAUGCUGAGGGAUUGAACAGAAAGUUAGGCUACAAUGUGAAAUAAAGUCAAUGGAAACAACAAAGAGAUAUUUCUUGUAAGAUCAUUUUUCUCUAAAUGAAUUGAAAAGGCAAACUGUCUCAAGCCUGCUAAGGAUACUAUACUAGGUGGAAAAAAAAUAUCAUGAAUUAGGACAAUGGAACCGAAUAGAAUUAAAAAUCCCAUAUGGUAAAACAUCCACCAAAAGUAUCAUCCAUGUAGGAAAUGUUACUUUGCAUCUUAAGAGAACUACAUCUUUUUGCAUUUUCUUUAAAAGAUGAUCUCUCUCAUCUUGGAAGAUCUUCUAGUUACAAGCUAACAAAUGCUAAUACGUCUUAGGACUUUAGCCAAUUGCAUAUCUUUUAAAUCUGGGGCUAGGCUAAAAGUGUCCAUAGGUGGACCAAAUUAAAUCCAUUAAUAGAAAACCUCCUACACAUGCUAAGAUAAGCAAUCACCUAUCAACAAGAAGGAAGAAAAUAAAGGCAUAAAGUUCAAGACAUCAAAAUAUUGUAUAAUGCAAUUUUACAUGCUAUAACAUACCAUAAAAUCCUACAAACUUUUUGCCACUAGAACUAGGAUAAUGAUCACCAACAGUACACACCCAUAUAUACAAAUACAAAAACUCAAUCGUUCUAUAUUUGCUCCAGGCAAUGACAAUCCAAGAAUUUACCUUAGCAACAGAGUCAUUCUUCCACUUCUUACCUCUUGCAGUUGCACAUGUUUUCCAGAAUUAAUAGAUAAGAAGACCAAUACAAAGCAAAACACCCAGAUGAUUGCAAUCAACAACAAAAAUUAUUUUCAGAUAUAAAUAAGAUCAGACACAAUGGAAGUGGUUCACCAUGUCAAUAUGAAAGAAGGAUGACAAUGACUCUUUAAUAGAUAAAGUUGAGCAUAUUUAUUUUAAAAUUAUGGAGAAGACAUGAUUUAAUAAAUAGGAAGAUCAUCUUUACUUGAAUAAUGACUGAAGGCAUAAUUAUAAAUCUACUAAAUCUUAAUUGAUCAAUUACCACCCCCAAAACAACACUAAAAAUGGUGACAAAUGAGCAUCAUGUCAAAUUCAAAUCUAUUAAGGCAAUUUUUAAAGCAUGAGCUAACAACUUAUUUGAAUUUUGGUCUCCACAUUUUAGUUAGGGGGUCCCAACAAGAUGAAUAAAGAAUGAUAAAAAAAAAAAAUCGUAAACAUUCAUAGAUAAAAAUAAUCCAUAUAAUCAAUUCUAUUUUGCAAUAUCAAUCUCUAAUUCUCCUUUCUGCUAGUAACACCUUAAAAAACAAGCCCAUUAAGCUUUCUAGAAGAUAUGAUUCUUUUCCCAUACCAUGAAUUUUUUCUAUAACAAGCCAAAUUUGUUGAAGGAUGAAAAAAAGUACAACCUCCAAACUAAAAAGGAAAAUGAUAAAAAAAUAAACAGACUAAAAUAUAAAAGCCUAAGGGGUCAAAGAAGAGGUCAAGUAACAUUUCAAGGUGAAAUCAACCAUUUUGGUUAGAAUAUUUGCUUCUAAUUCAAACCCCAAGCUUUGAUUCCCUGAGCAAUAAUAGAUGAGUGAAUACAUAUUUCUUAAAAGCUUUAACCAUAACAGUCAGUCAGGAUAGAAUAGCAAAGAUUGUGUGACCACAUUUAUUUCUGGUUAUACUUCCGCUACCAAAUUGUCGUGUGUUCCCAAUGGUUUAGCAAUCAAAGAAAGCAUCAAAUGCCCAAUAUGGGCAAACAUCAAAAUCUUAGGGACAGUGGGAUUAAGAGUUUAAGGUAGUGAAUGGUUUGUUUUUUUUUUAACCACUAUAACUUUAGAGACAAUAUGGCUCUAUACAGGAGCAGAUGGUGGAUUGGUGGUGUAAGUAUAUCUAGGUUAAUCUUUGUUAUACUUCCGCUACCAAAUUGUCGUGUGUUCCCAAUGGUUUAGCAAUCAAAGAAAGCAUCAAAUGCCCGAUAUGGGCAAACAUCAAAAUCUUAGGGACAGUGGGAUUAAGAGUUUAAGGUAGUGAAUGGUUUGUUUUUUUUUUUAACCAUUAUAACUUUAGAGACAGUAUGACUCUAUACUGGAGCAGAUGGUGGACUGGUGGUGUAAGUAUAUCUAGGUUAAUCUUUGUUAAGUUUGGAUUUCAGAUCAUUUGUAGCUUGUGAUGGUUCUAAUUUUAUCUUCUUCAUUUUGUAUAAGAGAUAAGAAAUCCCAACUACGUGUGUGUACUUAACUCUUAUGCCAUUUAUUUAUCUUCAUGAUGUAUACUUAGUUCUUAUGCCAUUUAUUUAUUUAUAUUUUGAUUGGCAUAUCCCUUUUCCAUUUAUAGGAAUCUUUAAGAUAACCUCUUACUUAGGAGAAACUUUUUGUAUUUGAUUGAUUUAUACAUUGAUUUCUUCUUGCAACUUGUUAAACUGCCUCGAGUUCCAAUUGUUGACAAAAUAUUGAAGAAGUAUCUUGAUUACAGAAUAAAGAGGGAUGGCAUGUAAGUAUAUUUGCCAUGGCUCCUGCCAUUUUGAACUCUCUUCCAACUUCUAAAGGUGAUCAAACAAAGUUGCAAUGGUACUGCCCGAGGUUUGAUGGCAGUUAUUUUUGUUGUUUGGUUUGGUGUGUUAUUGAUGUAGUAAUAUCAGGAUAAUUUGUGGCGGAAUGUUUACUAUAGUAGGAGGUAGUUCUUGUAAUUUUCACACUAAUAUGGUUUGAAUAGACAAGCAUGCAUACCUGUUCAAUGACCAAUCUCAACUAUGUACUUAUUGCAUAAAUGAUUGUUAUGGCAAUACAAGCAGUCGCUCUAUAUAGAUGAGUAGUUCACAUGUGAAAUUUUUGAAAGCCAGUAGCUUAAGAUAUGUAGUUAUCAAAGACAAGUUCAAGAAUAUUGUAACUUCUGAAUUCAAAAAAAAAAAAAAAAAAAACCCACACACAAUCUUGACAAGAACAAAAAUAGUCAAAGAGAUGGGAAACCAGACAUCUAUUCAAAACCAGUAAUAGACUUACAUUCUCAAGUCCCAAUGAGCCACAUAUAUAAGCAACACCCCAUACAAAUAAAACAAUUGCUUCCACCUGCACCAAAAGUGCAUUGUGUGCCUGACAGAACCAACAACAACAAAGUCAAAUAAGCUGCAAUGUGAAAUACAUAAAAUAAAAUACCACAAUUAAAAUUGCAAAAAAUGAAGUUAACUAAAAUCAACAUAUAAAUAAUAAAAAAAAAAAUAAAGGAUGUUAAUUUACUUCAUCCUUUAAAACUAUGAUAAUCAGAUGAGUAACUGAGCAGAGGCAGUGUUGGUGACAAAAAAAAAACUGCUAAAUCACAUCCCCUUUAUGCUGUUAUGAUGUGUUUGAAUUUUGGGUCCUCAUCAUUUUGUUCCUUCUCAAUCAUGUACUUUUGUUUCUUCUUUGUAAACUCAAACUGGUUGGAUAUAUACUAGGAUCUUCUCACAUUUUUUACAACAUUCAAGUAAUUUUAUGUGAUAAUUAAACUCAUUUAUGUUUUUUUUAAGAUUUAUUUUUUUAUUUUUCUUUUGUUUGUAUGAAACACUUGGAAAUGUUUGAAAAAAAAAAUUCUAAAGUUUGUGGGCCUACUUUUCAAGAGUAGUUAAAUAGAUAUGACAUAUCAAAAUAUCUGGAAGAAAUUAAAAACUCAUCAUUUUAUUUGACAAAAUAUAAGUAAUGAAGAAAAUUAGAAUGAGAAAUGAUUCAAACCAUGAAUGAAUUUUUGAAGGAAAAAGCGUUCAAUAAACACAACGAUAUAUUUUAGGUAUUAUAUAUAUAUAUAUAUAUAUAUAUAUAUAUAUAUAUAUAUAUAUAUAUAUAUAUUAAUCAAAAUUGAUUGAGAAACUUUUGUGGUCUUGAUUAACACUUGUGAAAAACCAAAAAAAAAAAAAAAUACAUCUCUGUAAAGAAGGGAUUCACUCACAAAAAGACCACUUUUCCAUGGACCUAAACCAAAUCACAACAAAAUUAGUUUAAUGAUUUUAUGUAUAUAAUAAUAACAACAAGAUCACUUUCAUUUCACACAUGCUAGUAACUUGAAAAUAAACCAAUUCACUUAAGACCCAUGUGUAGGAAAUCAAAAUAAUAUAAAUUAUACCUAGAUAGAGCACUAAAAAAAUUGAUUUUUUUUAAUAUUUGUAUUUUUUUUCAUUGGUUUCUCAUUUGUGCUUGCUUUUCUAAUUUUUAUUUUUUACAUUAUGUGGUGGAUGUAGGGAAAUACGCAAAACUGAAAAAUAACCCAGAUAAUGAUGCCUGUAUAAAUGUUGUUUAAUUUUCUUGUGUAAGAGGAAUUCGGUUCUGGGAAGAUUUGUGGUGGGGGGACCAACCUUUGGGAACCCAAUAUCCAAGACUAUUUAGAGUAGUCGUGGAUAAAAACAUUUCUAUUUCUUCAAUUCUCGGUCCCACUCGUCCUUUCUCUUGGAAUUUGAAUUUCCGUCGUAACCUGUCAGAUUCUGAGAUUAAGGACUUAGAAGGCCUCAUGCGGUCACUUGAUGAAUUGUAUCUAUCUCAUACGGUCCUAGAUGCCAGAUUCUGGGCAUUAUCCUCUUCAGGGCUUUUUUCAGUCAAAUCCUUUUUUCUAGCAUUAUCUCAAUCUUCUGGAUCUCCUCAGGACUUUCCUUCAAAGUUCGUUUGGAAUUCUCAAGUUCUUUUCAAAGUGAAGUCCUUUGUCUGGUUAGUGGCACACAAAAAGGUGAAUACUAAUGACAUGUUACAAGUGAGAAGACCCUACAAAGCCCUUAGUCCUAAUAUUUGUAUUAUGUGCAUGAAGCAUGGGGAAUCAGCAGAUCAUCUUUUUCUUCAUUGUUCCUUGACGAUUGGGUUGUGGCACAGGUUAUUUCAGUUAGCUAAGAUGGAUUGAGUUCCCCCAAGGAGCAUAUAUGACAUGAUGUCCAUCAAAUUUAAAGGCUUUGGUAAUUCUAAGAGAGGGAUAGUUUUGUGACAAGCUACGAGUAUCGCUCUAAUUCGGGUUGUGUGGUGGGAAAAAAACACAAGGAUUUUCGAGGAUAAAACAAGGAAUUCAGAGUUCCUUUAGGACUCUAUUGUUUUCCUUGCUUCCCUUUGGGCUUUUUGUUCCAAGGCAUUUAAGGGGACUCCUCUUAAUGUGAUUCAACUGGAUUGGAUAGCGGUGUGUACUCCAUAAGGAUUGGUCCUUAGAGGGAGUUCGUUUGUUUUAUGUGUAUUUUCCUGUAAUUUAGUUGUCUUUGGUGGGAGGAUUUCUCAUCCUUCUUCUUGUACUUCUUUUUUCUAUCAAUAUAUCUUUGUGUUGUUUCCAAUAAAAAAAAGAGGAUUAUCCAGAACAAUAAGAAUAUGGGUAGUGGGUAGUGGGAUGUGGGAGGACAACUAAUCUCUUUGCGUUUAUGUGAAAACAAUAUGUUAGAAGCACAUGCAACCUUAGUUUGUUCUAGUCCAAAACACCCUUGUUCAUUUGUUUUUCCUCUUCUGUUUUUAUUUUUGUUUGCCUCUUCCCCAUGUAGUUGUUUAAUCUACUAAAAACAUUGAGUUUUAACACACAUAGUCAAUAAGAAACACAAUCAUCCCAAAAAUCAUAAGAACACAAAAAAGCCCUAAAAUAAAAUAUGAAAACAGAGCACAUUGAGAGAAGAGGACUUACCACUCAUAGAUAUGGGAAUGCAAUGGUAUACAUCAAUGACACUAGUUCAUAGUGGAAAUUUUCCAAUGGUGACCACUUGUGAAAUUAUUGAAGUCAGGUAAGGCUACUCCAAAGGGUUAGGGCAUUUUAGUGGUGGGAUUUGUAAAUAAGGAAUGGGUUAUGGCUUCUUAGUGCUGGAUUUCACCCUUGCAAAAAGGGUUUCAUAGUACGGAAAGGGUUUCUCCCAACUUGCGACAUCGACAAUUGACAUGUAGGGACCAGAUUCUCUAGAACGAUAUGCUAUGAGUCUUUGGAAGCUUGUCGUUCAAUCAUUAUUGUUCCUUUAGGUAUGAGAUUCGAGCUUCAUUUUUCGGGUUUUUCGAGAUAUGAAAUAGAGGGAAUGUUUGGCGGUAACAUAUUGCAGAGAGAAAAAAUUCUAGAGAUAGCCAUAUAUUUAUAGGUAAAAUUCAAUGGCACUUAAAGAAGUGCCGAGGAAAAAUAAUACUAGUUAACAAAACGAUGAUACUUCCAAUAAGCGUCAUUGUAUACAAGGUAAAAGAGAAAAUAGUAUAUCAAACAAUGAUGCUUCCAAUAAGUGUCAUUGUGUACCAUGCUAAAGGGAUAAUAGUAUGUCAAACAAUGACACUUUUAAUAAGCGCCAUAAAAUAAAGCAUAUUAUAUCAAAUAAUGACGUUUUUUAAAAGUAUCAAGGAAUGAAGCCGUCAUUAUUUUAAAAUUUUGUAGUAGUGUAAGAGAUGUUUGGUAAUAAGGAUUGUUCUAAUAGACAAGCUGCCCUAAGGACUAUCAUGAACACCAAAAUGAUAGAGUGAACUCCCAUAAGAGAUUAUAUGUUAUGUAUAAUUACACUCUUAUAGAGUGAAGAUAUUUAGAUUUGGCAUUGUAGGGGAAACUAAGGUUAAUAUGAUCUUAGAGACCUUAUUAGAUUCCCUUAGGUAGUUCAAAAUCAACUAUUUUGUGAAUAAGAUGUUAAUGAACUUGUUAGAACUUAUGAGGGAACUCUCAAGGAUUAAAAGGGUGUUCAUAUGACAAUCAAUUAAAGGUUCUUCAGGUUCUUCAACUAAGAAGAAGAAGAAUAAGAGUAGAAGUACCAAAUAAAAGGGAAAGUUCAAGGUUUGGGAAAAAAAAGUAAAGGAAAGGGCACAUACUUUGUUUAUGGAAAGAAAAGCCACUGAAAAAAAAAAAGGAGGGUCCUAAAUAAUAGAAGAAAAAACAAAGUAUGCAUCAUAUUCUCAACUGAAUCAUGUUUAGUGAUGAAUUUUCCCAACUUUUGGUAGGAUUUUGAGGUUAAUGACUAUAUUUGUAAUUCUUUAUAAGGGUUUCAAAUAAAGAGAAGUUUGAAUGAUGUGAAUAUGUAUCUGACUCUAGCUUCUAAUGUAAGGAUAGUUGUGCAAGUAAUGAAAUAUGUUACCCUUCUUUUAAAGAAGAAAUGCCUUUUAUACUCAAAGAUUAUCUUUAUAUUCCUAACUAUAGAAAUAAUUUGAUUUCACUUUCUAGUUUAAAUAAAUCUGACUUUUAAUAAAGAAUUUAUUAGAAAGAAUGUUGUAUUGUGAAUAAUGACACUGGCAUGAGAAGAAAUAGUACAUCAUCAACUUUAGCACUAGAUUACAAUUGAGAUCAUGCACAACAAAAGUUCAUUACAACUAAAAAAAAGAUCCUAUAAUUAAAGUUGUUUUUUUCUUGAUCAUAAGAAUGAACGUGAGUACAUUUUUAAUAUGGCUAUAUUUUAACAUGCAAGAAAAUCUAGAUGUGGAUAUAUCCAUGAUUUUACUUGGUUGGCUAAUAAAACUUCAAGGUCCUUCGCAAAUUAAAAGAAUUUAAUUUGUAUUUAUACCUUAUUUUUCGCGAAUGCAUUCCUAAUUGUUUAGAUAAGGGUUUAAAUUUCAUUAUCUUUAUUUGAAUAUUAUGAACAUACUAGUUAAUUUAUUGGUCCUUUCUAGAAUAGCAUAAUUUACUUGAUGAGCAUAGAAAAGAAGUUAUAAUAUACUCAUUAUGUGAACAUCAAUAGUGAUAUUUUGGUUGUUCACUUAUGAUCCCUGCUUUUCUCUACUUGUAAGUUGAGACUUAUAUAUAAGAAUAGCUCAUCCAAUGUGUUUCUAAAUACUCACACUCAAAUGAGGACUUAUUUUUAUUGUCUUUAGAAAUUUCUACCUAAAAGUGGUCAUAAAAUGCAAGGUUUCAAUUUUAUAAAUAUUUGCAUAAUAAUGAUCAUAUUACAAACGAUCAAUAAAAGUUAGUUUCAUGUUGGAAAUCAUAUAUUAGCAAAAUAUAAAAAAUACUUAAAUCAUCUUUCCAAAAUAUUCAAAUAAUAAGGUGACUGAAGAAUUUAAAUAUACUUAUAAUUCACAUAAACAUGUACACAUCCAUUACUUGUGAAUUAAAGAAUGAAUUCCAUAUAGGUUUUAAUCAAGCAAAAUCAAUACCAUAAUUUUGUCUUUAACUCGUUGUAAUAGACAAGGACAUAUGCCUCUCUCAAAACAUUUGAAAUGAAAAAUUUGAAAUCACAAUGUUUUUCUUCUUUUGAAUUUGAUUGCUUGUUCUUAAUUUGACAUUCUCUUUCCCUUUGAGAUUAAAAAAAAAAAAAAAAACAAACAAACAAACGGAGUAACAAAUUAAAAAGAGUGUCAAUUCAACUCAAUUAGAGUCUAUUCAAAAUUGGAAAUUUCCUUGUAACAACUAACUAGCUUGAAUGAAUAAGGAUGUAUGGGUUGAUCAAUCAAGCUUUGGGCCUUUGAAUAAUCAUAUCAAAUUUUCACUUUCAAUUGCUUGAGACAUUCCACCUGGAUAUCAAUCAAACCCAAGGUUAAGACAUUAAAUUAUGUAAUUUUCUAUAAUAAGCUAGUUUCAAAAAAUGUUUAAUGCUUCAAAAGUAAUAACUUAUGAAAUAAAGAAUCAAUCGCAACAUAAGCUUUAGUUAACAAAUGCAAUGCCAUAAUUUUAUAUUUUUGCUCAUUUGAAAUACGUAGGAACCCAGGGUUAUCAAUCAAACCCAAGUUUAAGAAAUUAAAUUAUGUAAUUUUCUAUAAUAAGCUAGUUUCACAAAAUGUUUAAUGCUUCAAAAGUAAUAACUUAUGGAAUAAAGAAUCAAUCCCAACAUAAGCUUUAGUUAACAAAUGCAAUGCCAUAAUUUUAUAUUUUUGCUCAUUUGAAAUACAUAGGAACAAAUACCAACAUGCAUCUUAAAGUAAUCCAAAACAAAAUACUUGAAAUUGAAAUAUUAUUUCCCAUCUUAAAGGAGAUUCUAUCUCUUUACACCAAGAAUUAUGUAUAGAGCAAAAGUGUGAGUUUAAAUUGGCAUCACUUUAAUCAAAAUCUCAAAUUGGGUUGAAGUAUUUGACUUGCCUUGAUUAAUAAGGGCAUCCGCAUCCAUGGCUUAACCAAUAGGGGUUGGGCAUUUGACAUUAUGUAUUUAGCAGCUUGGAAUAUCCCAUCAAAGCUUGAUGUGUACUAACUUUUCCAACAAAAUGUUUAAUCUGCAAAAAAAUUAACAACAAUCAAGCUUGUCCUAGAGAUGCCGAAAAACGAGUCCCAAUAAAAAUGGGUUUUGAAAAACAAAAAUUCAGUAAAAGGAAUUUCAGCCCCUUGGAAUCAGCAAGGCAUAUAUAAUAGAAACUAAGAAAAGGAGGGUGGCUUAAUUACCAAAAAGUUGAGAUAAAUGUUUGGUCAACAUCAACAAUUCUCUUACUUGAAAUUAGUGUCUUGUACAGCAUAUCCAAUGAACAAAUUUGCAAAGAAGCUCCAGCCAUCUGUGCAUAUGGUCCAUUUCAUGGUCUUGGGCAUCAACACCAUUACCAUCAAUAUGCAGGGUGGUGCCAUCACAGCUUCUCUCCACAUCAGUAUUAGUAUCUUCUACUGCUGAACUGGUGUCACAGCUUACUUCUACGUUGUACAAUUGUUAGAUUGUUCUGUUCAUAAUCGUGGGCAUAUAGAAAGUGGAAGCCACACCUCGCCGCUUUCACUGGUUUAAUACCGAAGUAGACAUUAAAUGAAGCGUUCAAGGUUCUCCAUUCAUUUGAGUGAUAUCUCUUGGGAAUACAUGACUUCGGAUAAUAUACGAAGCACCCUUGACUUGAUGCAUCUUCAUCAUAGCAGAAUUCACAAAAUUGAUCAAAGUGAUAGGAAAAAUAUGCAGAGUCAUAAUCGAAAUUCAAGUUACAGUUGAAAAUCCUAUGUGUUGUGGUCUCAAUCUCAAGUGGAACAUAAAGAGAGCACAGAACAAAGCCCAAGAAGUCAUCAUUUUCAUACCAACUCCAAGGAAGUUUCAUUGUUAUUUUGAACCCGCUUUUCUGAUGGCAUAUCCACUCCGGAAUCCCAUUUCUUUCAGCAAUAAAAGUUAUGAAAGAUCUUCUAAAUUCACGCUGCUGCACAAAAAUUACCCUCUGAAUUUUGCGUCCCCAUGAAAAGAAAGGUUAAAUGAUAUAUGAAAACCAUACCUGAAUUUGGGAUUUAAAACAUUUGAAUAAAGAAGACCAGAGUAGAUUUGAUUGACUGGAUAAAUUUUCCAGGGAUGUGCAGUGAUGGGCAUCUAGACACCUUAAACCUGAUGGAAGUUCUGGAAUAUGUUGAAGCAUCUUGCAGUGACCCAAGUCAAGAUGUUCUAGGUUAUAAAGUUGACUGAUCCCAUCAGGUAUGCGACUAAAGUGGUUCCCCCUCAGAGAUAAUGUUACCAGUGAUGAUAGGUAAUAAAUUUCACUGGGAAAUUCCCUUAGAUUGCAGCCUUUAAGCCUUAAUGUCCUCAAGGAGCAUAAACCGGACAAAGACGGCAAUUGAAAAUUCAUUGAAUCUAAAUGCCCAACACUAAGAUGAAGUAAAGAUUGUAGUCUCCCCAAGUUGUCUGGCAAUUUCUUGAAGUUUGGACAGCUUUCGACAACCAGAGUUUUAAAAGAUGUCAAAUUACAAAUACUCUCGGGAAGAUUCACAAGGUUUUUGCAGUUUCUCAGAAGCAAAUAUUGAAGCCCUCUUAGACGUUCAAUUGAUGAUGGUAUCUCUUUUAUGGCGGUUCCAUUUAAAUAAAGCUUUCUCAAGCUCUCCAUAUCUUGCAGGAUUUCUGGAAAGCUCUCUAGUUGUGAACAGCCAGAGCAGGAGAGAGUUGCAAGGGAUUUGAAACCAAAAAUGCUACUGGGCAGACUCGUAAGAUUUCUGCAAUCCCGCAGACAUAAACUAUCAAGUUCCGAGGGAUUCUUGAUAAUGGGUACUUCAUUCAUAUCACUGCCCUUAAAACAGCACUUCCGCCGAAGCGUCCCAUCCCGUUGGCAUGCCCUGCAUAUUCUAAUAUCUGCAUCCUCAUGGCUUUGUUGAAGGUCUUGGGAGUAUAUAAGGCGGACUCCACACUCCUUUACUUUCAAGACUUUCUCAGAAUUAACGUAAAAGUCGAAAAAGACAAACCUAAGGCGAGUCCAUUGAUCAGAGCAAAACCUUUCCGGAAUGGCUGCCUUGGGAUAGCAAAUCACCCACGUCUGACCUGAUACACUCUCAUUAUCUUCGUCCUUCUCUUCUUUAUAGCAAAAACAAUUGGAUUGAAACAAGGAACGAUCUACCAAUUCAACUCCAUCACCAAUGAUAACCAAAUCACACUGCAGACAACAAGAAUGUCUAUGUUUAUGUUCAUUCUUACGAAAAGAUUCAGCCACAGAUUUAUGGUCUGUUUCAUUCUCCCUUGUAUGAGCAGAUUCAUCCUCAGAUUUAUUGUCUGAUUCAAUCUUGGACCCGUGAGCAGAUUCUUUUUCGGGUAUGUCCUCAGAUUCGUAAGCAAGUGGAACAUAAACACAGCAUAUAGCAAAUCCCAAAAACUCAUUAUUUUGGUGCCAAUUCUGAGGGAGCUCUGUUCUUGUAAAAUGUCUAUUUGUCCGACCCAUAAUCCAUUCUGGAAUUCCAUCACUUCCGGGAAGAAAAAUGCAAGUUCCCUUGCCAUGGUAGGAAGAAUCACUAAAACUAGUGAGUUGCGAAUCCUGCACCAAAGCACCAUGUAAAUAUAGAGUCCGCAUAUAACCAGUGUGUGACAUGAAAAUCAUACCUGUGCCCAACUGAAACAAUUGACCAGAGAAUGCAAUGGCAAAAACGGGGCUCUUGAUGAAGUGUGAUUUGAACCAUGUGCAUCUAAAAGCUGUAGACGUGAUGGAAGCUCUGGAAUUUGUUCAAGAUUGUUGCAGUGACUAAGGUUAAGGGCUUUCAGCCUGGAAAGCUGAUUGAUGGUAGGAGGUAUGCUACUAAAAUGGCCCCCUUCCAGAUUUAGUUUCUGUAAUGAUGAUAAAUAGCAAAUAUGACUAGGGAUUUGGUGGAGCUUUGAACACUCUUGAAGUAGGAGAGUUUGAAGACCCUUAGCUUUCUCAUAUUGGCCAUGAUUUCUGGAAAUCUCUCUAGCUUUGAACAGCCAUUGCAAGACAAAGUUUGAAGGUGUUUCAACUUGUAAAUGCCUCCUGGAAGAAGCUCCAGGUUUACACACCCUGCCAGAUUCAAGGGAAAAAGAAAAACCAAGUUAGUUUUAGUAAUUAUAAUACUACUGCACCAAACUUUUAAGUACCGUUGUACAACCUUUUAGAGUUAGAAUCUCCAAGUUUGGCACACUUGAGAAGUCUGGGAUUCUUAUGAGAUGGACAGAGUGACUGAGAUCAAUAACCCUCAACUUGUCAUGAAGCUGUAACAAAAUAAUUUUUUUCAAUAGAUAAAUUUACAAGUUAAAAAUGAAUAUAAAAUUAAAUUGUAACUAAAUAAUAAUAACAAUACCUUAUUGCCCCUCCAAACUUGCUUUAUAUUGCUGUCCCUUAAUGAGAGUUCAACAAGGUUCUUUCCAUGAAAAUUCAUUGGCAAAGAUUCUAAAGGGUAUCCAUCCCAAUGCAGAUAUCUUAACUCAUAAGAAGAGAAUUCAAAGUCCCUUGGAAGGUGGUUUUCAAGAAAUAGCUUUCUACGCGGGUUAUGGAUUUUGAGCAAUCUAAGUCUAUUCAUCUCUUUGAAAGAUUCUGUAGUAAGCUGUAAUGGAUUAAAUUUACAUCCAUCUAAGAAUAGUCCUUCAAUUGCUCGUGUCCCCUGAAAAAUAUAAGACGAGUAGGUGAAACAAAAGAUGCAUUAGACUUAAUUGAGUUAUACACACGACUAAUUUCUGAAAAAAUAAUAAUAGUAUUGAAGCUUGCAUACACACGUAUAAACAAGUUUAUGCAUUUGACUCUUACUAUAUUUCUUAUUAGCACAUGAUAGGCAUCAUAAUCCCACAAUCUACUCCUUCUUCCAGGGUCUUCAGGGCAUUCUUGACGAAUAAUCUCCCAACCCAUUUGUUGUAUUAAAUCAUGCAUAUCUAGCAUGUUUUUUGAAACAGUUAUGAGACAUCUAUCAUCUAGAGUUGUUAUUGCGUGCUUUGCAUGAGGGCCCAAUAUUCUUGAAACAAAAUCUGUAUUAUAUCCUUUGAAAAAGCAUGCAACAUCCAAAAAUAUCCCCUUGUCUAUAUCAUCGAGUCCAUCAAAGCUUAUUCUAAGUACAUUGUGAAUUUCCAUGUGGGGCAUUAUUUUUAGCUUACACAGUGCACUUUCCCAAUUACUUAUUUUCUUUCCAAAAAGAGAAGCACCUAAAACUUUAAGUGCUAACGGAAGGCCAUUAGCAUAAUCUAUGAUAUUGUAUGAGAGGUUUUUAUAAACUUCUUGGGGACGAUUUUGUUUAAAGGCCCACAAACUAAAGAGCUCAAUAGCUUCUUCCUUGUUUAAUUCUGAAACCUCAUAUGGUACAUCCGCUCCAUAUUGAGCAAGCACGUGUUUGUCUCUAGAUGUAAUGAUGAUUGUACUUUUUGCAUGAAACCAAUCUUUCUCUUCAGCCAAAUAUUCUAGUUGUUUCAACUCAUCCACAUCAUCAAAAAUAACAAGAACUCUAUUGGAGCUUAGACACCUCUUUAUCAUACUAAUUCCUUCAUCAACAUUGUUUAUUUUAAAAAAAUUUCCCCUUAGGAUACCAUGAAGAAGUUCUUGCUGUAACUAAAGUAUAUUAUCACCUUUGGAUCUCUCUUUGAUAUUUAUAAGAAAGCUACUACCAUCAUAUUGAGGUGAGAUCUCAUUAUAAAUAGCCUUGGCGAUAGUAGUCUUCCCAGCCCCACCAAUUCCAUAUAUCCCUACGACGCUAACCAUAUUUAACUCAGUGUUCAUCAACGAUUUCAAUUUUUCCAAAUGAACACCAAUUCCAACUAUGUUCUUUCCCACACUUAAAGGUAGAUGGUUUAAUCUUCUAAUGAUUGUAUCAACAAUUUCCUUGAUAACCUCAGUCUCAUACCUGCCAAUCAUAUAAAUUAAGUAAAAUGAUGAGUUAGAAUGAGUUGCAAAAUAUAAUAAAUUUAAAAAAAAUUUAGUCGUGUAUGGCCGUGUCCAAUAUUAUUGAAUUAGUAGCAAUGGAAUGAAAAAGAAAGGGGUCAAGCCAAUUUACUUACAUAUUUAAGCUUCAAAUUUGUAAGUAUCAAACUACUAAUGUGCCAAGUUGCAAAUUUUCAAUACUCUUACUGUUAGAGCAUUGUGUAGGACUCCUCUAUGAACAAGCUAAUGCCUUCUUUCAACUUUUAUUUCACAAACAACUUGCUUAUGAUUCCUCAAUUUCACUUGUCUUUAGGUUUUAUUAACUUACCAAUACUUACCAAUGUUGCAAAGACUCUGUUUUUAGCCUGCCAAUUAAUUUUGCAUUUUCAUAGAGGAAUCAGGAAACGAGUGAAUGUGGAGAAUUUCAUGAUUUGCUUGUUGAUUGGGAACUUAAAUAUGAUUUGCUUUUGAGAAAAUUAUAAAAGGGUUAAAUUUUGAUACUUGUAUUUUUGGACCAACACAAGGGAAAAAUGAAAGUUAGAUUUUGUUAACAAUUUCAUACUUACUGGUCAUUCACAUGGCAUCCAGAUAGAUUAGCUGCUUCUCUCAAUGCAAUCCUCCACUUUUGUAUCAUCUCCAUCUUUUCUUGAUUUGCAUCUCUUUCAUGGUAGGCAAGUGCGUCUCCGAAACUUCCCCUUUGGUUUCGUACAUCAGAUGGAUCCACAUGGUAGAAAAUUGGUAGAACCACUGAUUCCUUUUGGCUCUUGCGUUCAAUGAUCUUUACGAGUUCAUUUAAACACCAUCUGGAGUAAGCAUAAUUUUUUGAGAAAAUAAUAAUAAAAAUCCUCGAUUCUUCGAUAGCUCUGAAGAGAUCAGAUGCAAUAUCUCCUCCUUUCUCAAGUUCCUCAUCAUCUCUGAAAGUUUGAAUUCCAGAUGCAGUCAAUGUGGUAUAUAGAUGAUCAGUGAAAUUUCUGCGAGUAUCGCCACCUCUAAAACUCAAGAACACAUCAUAAUUACGAGAAAUAGAAGUAGUCGAGGAAGAGGCUCUAUGGGUGCUGGAAGAAGCCAUUUUUGGAUGGCUUGAACCAAAAUUACAAGGGAGUUUGGAGGGUCCUUGGAUGCUCAAUGACUAUUGGCUUCAGACCUCUUCACCAUGAACAAAAAUCCAAGCUGGGAGGGAGGUUCAGCUGAAAAGUUUCAUCUGCAGUCGUAAAAGAAAAGAAAAACGUAUAUAAAGCCCUCUUUGAGAAAUUUCUUUGUAUAUAAAUUCUAAGAGAAACUCACACAUAUUUUACCUUUUGGUUGGGGAAGAUCCUUUCUCCAUUCCCUUUGUGUUGGAGACUGCAGUUAAGGGAUGUAGAGAAGAUGGCGGGGAAGACGGUGUGCAGGAUAGACAGGGGUUGAAGAAGAGGCGGUGGGUAGCAGAGGUCUCGUUGACUAGUGGAUGGAAUUCUAAUCUUUUUUUUUUUUUUUUUUUACCACUUACCUCCAACGGCACUGUAGAAUUUUCCAUAAUAUGAAUAUAUAUAUAAAAGAGAAUCUUAGUUGUACAACUUGAUCCUUAUUUAGUCUAUAUUAGUUCCUUUUCUAUGUAAUAUUUAUUUUGAUAUUUUAUAACUUGAAUUUAUAGAAUAUCUUUUGUUCAAUAAUUUUUUGUUUUAAUUUUUAUGAAAAAUAUCAAUUUUUAUAAAUAUAUCAAUGAAUCAAUUUUACGAAUAUAUUGAGAUAUAUCAAAAAAUAUUGAUGGAUAUUCUGAAAUAAAAUAUGAAUAAGACAAAAAUUAUUCAAAAUUUAUAAAAAUAUUUAAAACAAUUAUAAAAAAUGCAUAUAAGAAGUGACAAUAAAUACAUUGAUGUUGUUUUGUUAAAGAAAUGAAUAUAAGUAUGAUAUAAUUUAUAGCAUUCAAUAAUAAUAUUUAGAAUUUAAAAGUAAAUUUUAUAUAAAUGUAUCUAAUUUGAAUGUUUUUAAUAACAUAAAAGACAUGAUGAUAAAAAUAUUAAUAUUUUUUAUUUUGAAAUAUUAAUAAUUUUAUUUAUAAAUAAAAAUAUAUAUAUUAAUUUAUGCACAUGAAACAUUAUAUAUAUAUAUAUAUAUAUAUAUAUAUAAAAGAGAAUCUUAAUGUAAUGUACAUAAAUAAAUAUUAUAUAUAUAAGUUAUACAUAACGUUAUAAUAUUAACAAAGUUAGCUUGGUGGCGUGGUGCUCACUCUAUGCCUGAGGUCAUGGUUUCUCAAACCCAUCCUUCCACAAUGAUUUAAAUCCCUUUUUAAAGGUAAGAGGUGGGAUCCCACAUCGGUCAGCCACAACACUUAAAAACCUGCUCAUAGACCCUUUGGCAGGUAGCAAUGUUUGAAUGCGUGUGGUUGGCUGGGCCGACGUACACGUAAAAUCUUCCAAAAGGGCAAUUUAUCUCUUUGCCGAGAUAUCCACCUACCGCGCCCUCGUUUGGUGUAGGUAUAAUUUUACUGAAAAAUAUCGAUAAAGAAGAAUAUAUUGAUAUUAAUAAUUUAUUAUUUGUGUUAUUAAAUUAAUUUAUUUUAUAAAAUAUUAUAAUUUUAUUGUUUUUUAUUUUUUAUUUUAGUAAUUUUUGAAUAAACUUAUACUUCUAAUAUUUUAAAAUAAAAUUAUUUAAAAUUAAAUAGAAUUAAAAGGAUAAAUAUAUAAAAUUUAAAAGUAAAGUGAUAAUAAUUUUUUAAAAUAUAAUUAAUGAAAUAAAUGAUGAUAUAUUUAAUAUUAAAAUUAUAAUUUAUUUAAUUUAAAUAAAUUUAAUAAUGUAAAAUAAAUAUUGAUGUAUAUAUGAUUUUUUUAAUAUUCAUAUUUUUUAUAUUUAAUUAUCAUUAUUAAGAAAAUUAUAGAAAUGGUUUUUUUACUUUUAUUAAUUAAUUAAAAAAAUUUAAAUAAAAUAAUUAGAAUUAAUUGAUUUAUUCUUUUAAUAAUAAACUUUAAGAUAUUUAUUGUGAGUAUAUAUUAAGUAACAUAAAUUUAGCCCAGUGGUAGCUGUGCUCAUAUCCAAGCCUUUUGCUUGGGUUGGAAUCCCUUUGGCACAGGUGUUGGUAGAAAAAUUUCCUCCAUUUCGGGGAAAAACUCACCUUUUGGUGUGAAAUACUUUCAUUUAUGUAUAUAUGAUAUUGUUCUAUAUAAAAUAUUCAAGAAAAGUUUUUUGUUUCUUGUUUUCCUUACUUUUCCAACUAUUUAAUUCUUUUUAAAUACACCUUUGAGCCACUUCAAGGCAACAAUAAUCCAUGUAAUUAUUUUUAUUUUUUGUUUUUAUAAUAUGUGUAUGGCAUAGAUAAUGAAAUUUACAUCGAAAAAAGCAAUCAAGCCUUGCAUGUAGGGGUCUCCAAAAAGCCCGCGGCCCGCUUUAGGCCCGGCCCGGCCCGACGGGCUAAAGCCCGGCCCAAGCCCGCCGGGCCCGAGCCCGUUUAUGGGCGGGCCGGGCCGCGGGCCUAAAUUUAGGCCCGGCCCGUAGGCUUGGCCCGUAGGCCCGCCCUUAGGCCCGCCUUUAAUUUUUUUUAAAAAAAUAAUAUACUAUAUUUUUAUAUAUAUAUAACUAAUUCAUUUAAUAAGCACAAAAUAAAUGUAGCUCAGUUGGUUAGAGCCUUGAAAUUUAAGCUUGAGGUGAGGGGUUCGAAUCCCCCCCUCUUCCUUCCUUUAUUUAAAAAAGCCCGCGGCCCGGCCCGUCGGCCCGGCCCGCCCAGCCCGCCAGCCCGCUAGCCCGCGGGCUCAUAGGCCGGGCCGCGGGCCUCCUAUUUACGGCCCGGCCUGGCCCGGCCCGCCCGUUGGAGACCCUUACUUGCAUGUGAAGUUUCAUUUUCACAUUUUUUAUUUCUUUUCUAUUUUUAUGUUUUCCCCUAAGGCAUUAUCUAUCUAUCUAUAUAUAUAUAUAUAUAUAUAUAUAUAUAUAUUUAUACACAUCUCAUAUUUACAACUUUUUAUUUUUGCUUAACUUUCUUUUUCUUUUUUUAUUUGUAUUUAGUAACAAUGGGUUCAUUUGACAUUCAUUCCAAAGCCUCCUUUUUUGUCAUCAAAUUAUUCAAAUGAUGAUAUUAUAUAAGGAAUUUCAAUUUAUAAUACUUUUAUUCUUAAAAAAUAUUAUAUCUUUUUCUUUAAUAUUUACCCUUUAAUCAUUGUCGCAAAAUGAUAAGAUUGAAGUAAGUGCAAUUAUGCUUUAUUUGAUACUAAUAAGAAUUUCAAAAUCCCUUCACCUCAAGAUAUUGAAGUCUAGGUAAAAAAAAUAGAUGGAUAAAAGUGUGACAUAAAACUUUUCUUCUUUUUUCUUUUCCCAUUUGAAAGGUGUUUGUAGUUGAGGUUAAAAAAAUAUCAAGUGGCAUAACAAAAAUAUAGGAUUCACGAAAAGAGUCAAAUUAAAGGUUUUUGAUGACUAUCUUUGGCAUUUUGAUUUUUGUUUUUCUCCUUUUAACAUACAACAACCACUCUUCUCUUUUAGUACUUGUCUUGAACUUUGAUGACAAUUGUGCAAAGCCUUUUAUAGAGUUUGCUUGAAGGCAUAUUACCAUCAAAAGUUCAAUAAACCUAGGAAAUUUCAUGAAAAUAUUUUAUAUCAUUUCUUCAAAUUUAGAUCUUGGUAAGAAAUUGGUUUAAAGGGAAGCUACUAUCAAAGUUUAGAAAAUAGAAUGUCUUCCAUACUAUAUCUCAUGUUUAGGUAACAUGAAAAGAAUAAUACUUUUUUUUUUUUCAUUUUUCUUUUGUUCCUCUUCUUUUUUGGCAUUCAUUGGUGAUUAGUUAUAUACACAUAAUAUAAUUUUUAAAAGGAUUUCUUUUAUUUUUAUUUUUUCCAAAAUAAUAUUUGAGGAACCUUGAUUAUACCCUUUUAUUAUAUUUUCUUCAUUAAAAAAAAAAUUCUUUUAUGCAUGUUGUUCAUAUUAUAUAUGAUAAUUUAAUUAAAUUUUAGUUACAACUUUGAGCUAGUCGAAGCCCACAAAAUCCAUUUAAUAAUGUUUUUUUUUUUCAAAAUAUUUAUAUAGUUUGAGGUGCCAAAUAUAACAAUAAAAGAUCAAUGGAUAUGAAUAAAAAAAUGACUAAAAGUAUACAAUAGUUUUCCCUUUUACGUACUUACUUUCUAAUUUGGUAGCUCUUUUGCACUCUUAUGAAAACUUUUAUAAAUCUUUAUGUCAAAUUUGUAUGAAGGUAAUCUAUAUACAUGUGUGUAUAUACAUAUCACUUAAUGAUAGUUGGCUUCAUAUGGAAAAAGCAAAUAUUGCCUCCUAACUUUAUUAUUAUCGUAAUGUGAUAUUUUAUCUUCCAAUUUUACUUUCAUCCCUUGGCAUUUAAUACUAUGCUAUUUAUAAUACUUUCUCUUUUUUCUUAAAACGUUUUUUUUUAUUUGAAUUUAGUAACAAUGGGUUAACUUGACAUUCAUUCCAAAGCCUUCUUAUUUGUUCUCAAAUUAUUCAAAAGAUGAUAUUGAAUUUAUGAAAUAGAUGUUUGUAAAAUUUAUGUUAAAUGAUAAUAUUUUUUAAGAAAAAAUAUCAUCUCCUUUUCUUUAAUAUUUAUCCUUUUGUCAUUACUACAAAGUAAGUGCAAUUAUGCUUCAUUUGAUGAUUAAUGAAGAAAAAAGUUACUUUUUUGAUAUUAAAUAUUUAUCCUUUAAUUAUUUUUGCAAAGUUAAAUUAGAGUUUCAUGAAUGCCUUUUCUACUACAAUUAUGAAAUUCGAAAUUUAUUGGCUUGGUACAUUGAAAUCUCUCAAAGAAAUUGAGUUCAUGGAAAAGAUAAGUAUCAGUAUUGAAAUUCAAAUUAAUAUUUGUAACUUAAAGAUUUCUUUAAGCAUUAAAGUUUAGUGUUAUAUUAUAAUAGCAACUAAAAAGACAUUUUUUUGCUCAUUUUCCCCAUUUAUUCUUUUGAAAGUAUAAAAAUAUUAAGAAAAAACUUCAAAAUAUGACAAGAUAAAAAUACUUUGAAAAAUAUAAUACGUAUAAUAUUUUUUGUGAUAUUUUGUGAUAGUAUAUAGAAUUUAAAAACAUAUUAUUAUUAAAAUUAUAAUAUAUUUAGUUUGAUUAUAUAAAAUAAAUGAUAAUAUAUGUAUAAAUAUUUUUAUUUAAAAAUAUUGAUAAUUUUAUUUUUUAUUUAAAUAUUAUACAAAAGAUACUAAUAUAGUUAAAAUUGAUUUUUAAUUUAUAAUAUAUUUAUCUAUAUAUUUGUAUUAUAUAUAGUUUAGACGUGUAAUAUAACCAAAGUAGUAGUUUGGGUGGUGCACGAUUACUGCGCCCUCAUGGGCUGGCUUUAUAUAAAGCCCAAUAGGAGAACUUUUUUAAAGUAAAAGUGAUGCUGACAUUCGGAGCGUAUUUUCAACAUUGGUGGGAUGACUUCAAGCACUCUUUGCUUUUUUCAUUUUAUAAGUCAAGAAUUUGAUGAUUAUCUUUCACUUUUUUUUUUUAUUGCUUUUCUCAUCUCUACAUUCGACAGCCAAUCUUAUUGCUUCUAGUGGUUUUCUUAAGCUUUGAUGAAAACUACCAUCCUAAGCAUCCAAAGUUCAAAGAAUCGGGAAACUCUACAUGAAUUUCACAUAAUCCCUUGAAAUUUAGAUCGUGCUAAGAAAUUGGUUUCAAGGCAUGCUACUACUAAAGUUUAAUAAACCAAGGAAAAUGAAAGACAUUUCACACUAUUUCUCGAAAUUUGGAUCCUGGUAGAAAAUUUCUAUCAAGAUAGGCCAAAAACAAAAUUGAAUAAAUCAAGGAAAUUAGCAUGAUGACAUUUCACACUAUUUAGUUACAUGAUUGCUGGGUAUUAUCCAAAAUUCAAAAGACCAAAGAAAAUUUCCUUUCUAUAGUUGGCUUUAUGUAGAAAAAGCAAACAUUGUCUCAAUUUUUAUAUUGAUGUAAUGUUUAUUUGUUGUUGUCAUGCAUUCAAUAUAUAAACUACUACAACUACUACCACGUUUCCUCUCUAUCAUUGGCUUAAGUUAAAAGAAGCAAAUCUUGUCUCAUUCUUAUACAAUCAAUAAUAUACACUACUACUACUACUAAUAGCAUACUACUAUUACUACUACUAUACUAUUUCUACUACUAGUAGUAUACAUUCUAAUUCUUUAUAGUAAUGUAAUAUUUACUACCACUAACUACACAUUCUAAUUCUUUACACUACUACUACUACUACUAAGCGUCCUACUAUAAUUACUAUUAGUAGUAUAAUGCUAUUACUACUGCUCCUACUAUUAGUAUACUACUAUUACUACUAUUAGUAGUAUAUUACUACGCCUACUACUAGUACGCAUUCUAAUUCUUAAUAAUAAUGUAAUAUUUAUUCUAAUUCUUUAUAGUAAUGUAAUAUUUAUUUAUUUUUAUCAUGCAUUCAAUAAUAUAUAUUCAAUAAUAUAUACUACUUCAUUACUACUACUAGUACUUCAUUUGACAUUUAUUUCAAAGCCUCCUCAUGCAUCCUCAAAUUAUUCCAAUAUAUAUAUAUAUAUAUAUAUAUAUAUAUAUAUAUAUAUAUAUAUAUAAAAUAAUAAAAAUUUUAUAAAAUUAAUGCGUACAAAAAUUAUAUGAAAAUAUUCAUUAUUUAAAAAAAAAAUCUCACCCCAUUUUCUUUAAUAUUUGAUGACAAAUAUAAUAUAGUUAAAAAGAGUACACUAUUGUACAAAUCAUGUAACUUUUAAAGUAUCUCUAUUUAGGCCUUGCUUGAAACCAUAGAAUAAAGCAUAGGAAUGAGUUAAUGUGCUUGGGUUGUUUUUAGAAUAAGAAUAGGAAUAAAAAAUCAUUGUUGUGGAAACCAAAUUCCAUUAUCACUAGGAUUUUGAUUCCUUUAUCUUAUCUUACAUGGGAUUAGGAUUCAUCCUAUCCUCAUUCCUAUUUUCAUGUAUCAAACGAAACCUUAGGCUAUGUUUGGCGUGUGGGAAUUGAGAUGAGAAUAAACACUUUGUUUCCAUUCUAUUUAAUCUUGAAUAAAAAUAAAUUUGAUAAUUUCAAUUCUUGUAUUUGGAUGCACUUAUAAAUGGAAUGUUGGAAUGAUCAUUUGUUUUCAUUUUAAUGUUUGAUAACAUCAUGUAUGAAAUUAAUUUUCUCAUUAGAACAACAAAAACCUUAGUUAUAGUAUAAUGAAAAGUUUAAUAAAGUUGAAAGGAGGAAAUCAAUAAAGAAAUGAUAUUUUAACUUUCUUAAGUUUUGUACACUUCUUUUUAUAUUAAAUUCAAUUUUUAAAUUUGUAAUUAUUUAACCAAAUCCAAAACAAUAUACUUAGCUUCAAUUUAUGUUUCCAACUUGUAUAUGUUAAUAUAAGACUUAGUGGUAGUAAAGUAUUUGAACCAGUAACCUAUAGAGCAAAUUUGUCUACUUAAACUAGUACAUUGACAAUCUCAUCCUUUGAAAAUUUUGGAACAAUACAAAAUAUUGCAAUACAACCCUCUAAAACUCUAAAAUUCAGAUCCUAAAGUCACUCGACCUAAUCCUUACCAAAGAUCACUCACUAUAAAUAACACCUUCUUAUAUUUCUUUUUUUUUUUGCAUGAAUAUGUCACCGCAUAACACCUUCUCCUCUUGAAUUUGAUUCCUUGUUCUUAAUUUGACAUUCUUUUUCCCUUUUAGAUUUGAAAAAAAAAAAAAUCAAAUGGAAUAGCAAAUUAAAAAAUGGUGUGAAUUCAACUUGAUAAGAGUUUAAUCAAAAUUGGAAAUUUGCUUGUAAUAUCUAACUUGCCUUAAUGAAUAAGGAUGUAUGGGUUGAUCAAUUGAGCUUUAGGCCCUUGAAUAAUCAUCUCAGCUUUCACUUUCAAUUGCUUGAGAUAUUUCAUUUGGAUAUCAAUCAAACCCAAGGUUGAGACAUUAAAUUGUACGUGUGUUAGUUUUUAUAAUAAACUAGUUUCACAAAAUGGUUGAUGCUUCAAAAGUGAUAACUUAGUUAACAAAUGCAAUGCCAUAAUUUUAUAUUUUUGCUCAUUUGAUGUAUGUGGGAACAAAAACUAACAUGGAUCUUAAAGUAUUCCAAAACAAAAUACUUGAAAUUGAAAUAUUCUUUUCCACCUAAUUUGAUUGCUCAUUCUAGAUUGGAGAUUCUAUCUCUUUACACCAAGAAUUAUAUAUAGUGCAAGAGUGUGAGUUUAAAUUGGCAUCACUUUAAUCAAAAUCUAAGAUUGGGUUGAAGUAUUUGACUUGCCUUGAUUAAUAAGGACACCCAUGGCUCAACUGAUGGAGGUUGGUGUGUACUAACUUAUCCAACAAAAUGUUUAAUCUGCAAAAAAAUUAAUACAAUCAAGCUUGUCCUAGAAAUGCCCUAAAAUGAGUCCCAAUAAAAAUAGGUUUUGAAAAAAAAAAAAAAAAAAACAAAAAUUCAGUAAAAGGAAUUUCAGCCCCUUGGAAUCAGCAAGGCAUAUAUAAUAGAAACUAAGAAAAGGAGGACGGCUUAAUUAUUACCAAAAAGUUGAGAUAAAUGUUUGGUCAACAUCAACAAUUCUCUUACUUGAAAUUAGUGUCUUGUACAGCAUAUCCAAUGAACAAAUUUGCAAAGAAGCUCCAGCCACCUGUGCAUAUGGUCCAUUUCAUGGUCUUGGGCAUCAACACCAAUACCAUCAAUCAGGGUGGUGCCAUCACAGUGUCUCUCCACAUCAGUAUUCGUAUCUUCUACAGUUGAUCUCGUGUCACAGCUUCUCUGAGAAUGAGUACUAUUGGUAUCUUGUACAGCUGAUCUAUGGCCACCCAAAUCCACAUGAGAAGAACUGCUACCUUGUACCAUUGUGAGAUUGUUCUCACAAUAAGAGAACAAUCUCAUUACUUUCAGCUGAUCAUCACAGUGUCUCAAGUGGAACAAUAAGAGAGCACAGAACAACGCCCAAGAAGUCAUCAUUUUCAUACCAACUCCAAGGAAGUUUCAUUGUUAUUUUGAACCCGCUUUUCUGAUGGCUUAUCCACUCCGGAAUCCCAUUACUUUCAGCAAUAAAAGUUGUGACAUUUCUAUAUUUACACCCCUGCACAAAAAUUACCCUCUGAAUUUUGUGUCUCCUGGAAAAGAAAGGUUAAAUGAUACAUGAAAACCAUACCUGAAUUUUGGAUUUAAAACAUUUGAAUAAAGAAGACCAGAGAAGAUUUGAUUGACUGGAUAAAUUUUCCAGGGAUGGGCAGUGAUGGGCAUCUAGACACCUUACACCUGAUGGAAGUUCUGGAAUAUGUUGAAGCAUCUUGCAGUGACUCAAGUCAAGAAAUGUUAGGUUGUAAAGUUGACUGAUCCCAUCAGGUAUGCGACUAAAGUGGUUCCCCGCCAGACAUAAUCUUUCCAGUGAUGAUAGGGAAAAAAUUUCACUGGGAAUUUCCCUUAUAUUGCAGGCAUGAAGCAUUAAUGUCCUCAAGGAGCAUAAACCGGACAAAGACGGUAAUUGAAAAUUCAUUGAAUCUAAAUGCCCAACACUAAGCUGAAGUAAAGAUUGUAGUCUCCCCAAGUUGUCUGGCAAUUUCCUGAAGUUUGGACACCUUUCGACUCUGAGUUUUCUAAGAGAUGUCAAAUUACAAAUACUAUCGGGAAGAUUCACGAGGUUUAUACAGUUUGUCAGAGUGAAAUGUUGAAGCCCUCUUAGACGUUCAAUUGAUGAUGGUAUCUCUUUUAUGGCGGUUCCAUCUAAAUAAAGGUUUCUCAAGCUCUCCAUAUCUUGCAGGAUAUCUGGAAAGCUUUCUAGUUGUGAACAGCCAGAGCAACAGAGAGUUGCAAGGGAUUUGAAAUUACAAAUGCCACUGGGCAGACUCGUAAGAUUUUUGCAACCCAACAGACAUAAUCUAUCAAGUUCUAAGGGAUUCUCGAUAAUGGGCACUUCAGUCAUGUCACUGCACCCAAAACACCGCUUUCGUCGCGCCCCAUCGCAUUGGCAUUCGUUGCAUAUUCUAACAUCUGCACCCUUUGUCUGUGUUGUUAAUGGAUGGCUUUGAUGAAGGUCUUCGGAGUAUAUAAGGUGGAAUCCACACCUGUUCACUUCCAUGGUUUUCUCAUAAUUAAAGACAGGAUCGAGAAAUAAAGACAUAUUUUCAGUCAAUUGACAAGGGUGAAACAUUUCUGGAAUAGCCGCCUUGGAAUAGCAAACCACCAACGUUUCACCUGAUACACUCUCAUUAUCUUCGUCCUUGUCUUCUUUAUAGCAAAAACAAUUGGAUUGAAAGAAGGGAAAAUCUACAAUUCCAUCUACACUUUUAUCACCAUUGAUCUGCAGAAGACAAGAAUGUGUAUGUGUAUGUUCAUUCUUACAAAAAGAUUCAGCCACAGAUUUAUCAUCUGUUUCAUUCUCCCAUGUACGAGUAGAUUCAUCCCCAGAUUUAUUGUCUGAUUCAUUCUCGGACCCAUGUGCAGAUUCCUUUUCGGGUAUGUCCUCAGAUUCAUCAACAAGUGGAACAUAAACACAGAAUAUAGCAAAUCCCAAAAACUCAUUAUUUUGGUGCCAAUUCUGAGGGAGCUCUGUUCUUUCAAAAUGUCUAUUUGUCCGAUCCAUAAUCCCUUUAGGAAUUACAUCACCUCCGGGAAGAAAAAUGCAAGUUCCCUUGCCAUGGUAGAAAGAAUCACUAAAACUAGUGCGUUUCGAAUCCUGCACCAAAGCACCAUGUAAAUAUAGAGUCUGCAUAUAACUAGUGUGUGACAUGAAAAUCAUACCUGUACUCGACUGAAGCAAUUGACCAGAGAAUGCAAUGGCAAAAACGGGGCUCUUGAUGAAGUGCGAUUUGAACCGUGUGCAUCUAAAAGCCGUAGACGUGAUGGAAGCUCUGGAAUUUGUUCAAGAUUGCUGCAGUGACUAAGGUUAAGGACUUCCAGCCUGGAAAGCUGAUUGAUGGUAGUAGGUAUGCUACUAAAAUGACCCCGUUCCAGAUUUAGUUUCUGUAAUGAUGAUAAAUGGCAAAUAUCACUAGGAAUUCCUCCUUCCAUUAUGUUGCAGUGACCUAGGUCCAAUACUUCCAAUGAUGAUAAGUGGCAAAUAUGAAUAGGGAUUUUGUGGAGCUUUGCACACUCUUGAAGUAGGAGAGUUUGAAGACCAUUUAGAUGUGUAAUUGAUGAUGGUAAGUCCAUUAUAGCUGUUCCACUCAAAUCAAGCACCCUUAGCUCUCUCAUAUUGCCCUUGAUUUCUGGAAAUCUCUCUAGCUUUGAACAGCCAUUGCAAGACAAAGUUUGAAGGUGUUUCCACUUGUAAAUGCCUCUUGGAAGACGCUCCAGGUUUACACAUCCUGCAAGAUUCAAGGGAAAAAAUAAAAAUAAAAAACAAGUUAGUUUUAGUAAUUAUAAUACUGUUGCACCAAUCUUUUAAGUACCAUGCAUUGUACAACCUUCUAGAGUUAGAAUCUCCAAGUUUGGCACACUUGAGAAGUCUGGGAUUCUGAUGAGAUGGACAGAGUAACUGAGAUCAAUAACCCUCAACUUGUCAUGAAGCUGUAACAAAAUAAUUUUUUUCAAUAGAUAAAUUUAUAUAAAUGUUAAAAAUUAAUAUAAAAUUAAACUGUAACUAAAUAAUAAUAGCAAUACCUUAUUCCCUCUCCAAAGUUGCUUUAUAUUGCUGUUCCUCAGUAAGAGUUCAACAAGGUUCUUUGCAUGAAAAUUCAAUGGCAAAGAUUCUAAAGGGUAUCGAUCCCAAUGCAGAUAUGUUAACUCAUAAGAAGAGAAUUCAAAGUCCCUUGGAAGGUGGUCUUCAAGAAAUAACUUUCUGCGAGGGUUAUGGAUUUUGAGCAAUCGAAGUCUAUUCAUCUCUUUGAAAGAUUUUGUAGUAAGCUGUGAUAGAUUAAAUUUACAUCUAUCUAGGAAUAGUCCUUCAAUUGCUCUUGUCCCCUGAAAAAUAUAAGAUGAGUAGGCAAAACAAAAGAUGCAUUAGACUUAAUUGAGUUAUAUACACGGCUAAUUUCUGAAAAAUUAAUGAUAGUAUUGAAGCUUGCAUACACACGUAUAUAAACAAGUUCAUGCAUUUGACUCUUACCGUAUUUCCUAUUAGCACGUGAUAGGCAUUAGAAUCCCACAAUCUACUCCUUCUUCCAGGGUCUUCAGGACAUUCUUGACGAAUAACCUCCCAACCCAUUAGUUGUAUUAAAUCAUGCAUAUCUAGCAUGUUUUUUGAAAUAGUUAUAAGACAUCUAUCAGCUAGAGUUGUUAUUACAUGCUCUGCAUGAGGGCCCAAUAUUCUUGAAACAAAAUCUUUGUCAUCUCCUUUGAAAAAGCAUGCUACAUCCAAAAACAUCCCCUUGUCUAUAUCAUCGAGUCCAUCAAAACUUAUUCUAAGUACAUUGUGAAUUUCCUUGUGGGGUAUUAUUUUUAGCUUACACAGUGCACUUUCCCAAUGACUUAUUUUCUUUCCAAAAAGAGAAGCACCUAUAACUUUAAGUGCUAACGGAAGGCCAUUAGCAUAAUCUAUGAUAUUGUAUGAGAGGUUUUUAUAAACUUCUUGGGGACGAUUUUGUUUAAAGGCCCACAAACUAAAGAGCUCAGUAGCUUCUUCCUUGUUUAAUUUUGAAACCUCAUAUGGUAUAUCCGCUCCAUAUUGAGCAAGCACGUGUUUGUCUCUAGUUGUAAUGAUGAUUGUACUUUUUGCAUGAAACCAAUCUUUCUCUUCAGCCAAAUAUUCUAGUUGUUUCAACUCAUCCACAUCAUCAAAAAUAACAAGAACUCUAUUGGAGGUUAGACACCUCUUUAUCAUACUAAUUCCUUCAUCAACAUUGUUUAUUUUAAAAUUUUUUCCCCUUAGGAUACCAUGAAGAAGUUCUUGCUGUAACUGAAGUAUAUCACCUUUGGAUCGCUCUCUGAUAUUUCUAAGAAAGCUCCUACCAUCAUAUUGAUCUGAGGUCUCAUUAUAAAUAGCCUUGGCAAUAGUAGUCUUGCCAACCCCACCAAUUCCAUAUAUCCCUACGACGCUAACCAUAUUUAACUUAGUGUUCAUCAACGAUUUCAAUUUUUCCAAAUGAACACCAAUUCCAACUAUGUUCCUUCCCACACUUAAAGGGUGAUGGUUUAAUCUUCUAAUGAUUGUAUCAACAAUUUCCUUGACAACCUGAGUCUCAUACCUGCAAUCAUAUAAAUUAAGUACAAUGAUGAGUUAGAAUGAGUUGCAAAAUAUAAUAAAUUUAGUUGUGUAUGGCGGUGUCCAAUAUUACUGAAUUAGUAGCAAUGGAAUGAAAAAGAAAGGGUUAAAUUUUGCAUUUCCAUAAAGGAAUCAGGAAACGAGUGAAUGUGGAGAAUUUAAUGAUUUCUUUCUUGAUUGGGAACUUAAAUAUGAUUUGCUUUAGAGAAAAUUAUAAAAGGGUUAAAUUUUGAUACUUGCAUUUUUGGACCAACACAUGGGAAAAAUGAAAGUUAGAUUUUGUUAACAAUUUCAUACUUACUGGUCAUUCACAUGGCAUCCAGAUAGAUUAGCUGCUUCUCUCAAUGCAAUCCUCCACUUUUGUAUCAUCUCCAUCUUUUCUUGAUUUGCAUCUCUUUCAUGGUAGGCAAGUGCGUCUCCGAAACUUCCCCUUUGGUUUCGUACAUCAGAUGGAUCCACAUGGUAGAAAAUUGGUAGAACCAUUGAUUCCUUUUGGCUCUUGCGUUCAAUGAUCUUUACGAGUUCAUUUAAACACCAUCUGGAGUAAGCAUAAUUUUUUGAGAAAAUAAUAAUAAAAAACCUCGAUUCUUCUAUAGCUCUGAAGAGAUCAGAUGCAAUAUCUCCUCCUUUCUCAAGUUCUUCAUCAUCUCUGAAAGUUUGAAUUCCAGAUGCAGUCAAUGUGGUAUAUAAAUGAUCAGUGAAAUUUCUGCGAGUAUCGCUACCUCUAAAACUCAAGAACACAUCAUAAUUACGAGAAAUAGAAGUAGUCGAAGAAGAGGCUCUAUGGGUGCUGGAAGAAGCCAUUUAUGGAUGGCUUGAACCAAAAUUACAAGGGAGUCUGGAAUCCAAGAAAAUCAGAGGGAGGGUCCUUGGAUGCUCAAUGACUAUUGGCUCCAGACCUCUUCACCAUGAACAAAAAUCCAAGCUGGGAGGGAGGUUCAGCUGAAAGCUUCAUCUGCAGUCGUAAAAGAAAAGAAAAACGUAUAUAAAGCCCUCUUUGAGAAAUUUCUUUGCAUAUAAAUUCUAAGAGAAACUCACACAUAUUUUACCUUUUGGUUGGGGAAGAUCCUUUCUCCAUUCCCUUUGUGUUGGAGACUGCAGUUAAGGGAUGUAGAGAAGAUGGUGGGGAAGAUGGUGUGGAGGAUGGGUAGGGGUUGAAGAAGAGGCGGUGGGCAGCAGAGGUCUCGAUGACUAGUGGAUAGAAACCUAAUUAAGACUAAAAGUAAUGCUUUUCUUUUCGGGAGAAUUUGUGUUUUGUAUCGGCCCAAAAAUUAAUAAAAGAUCCUCUAAACACCUAUAAUUAAUUACAAAGAUAUAAAAUUGAAAUAGACAAAAAUACCUCCUUUGAAUUACACCCAUUAUUUUUGUCUUUAUACCGUCACUCUUUACAUGCCCCCAUUUAUAAAAUUCUCCUUUAUUUAAUCAUUUUUUUAUUUUUCAUUAUUUUUUAAAUUCUUUUAAAAAUAAUUGAAAAAUCAACAUUAUUUUAUAUUUUUAAAUUAUAAAUAAAUAAAAAUUAUAUUAAUGAUUCAAAAAUUAUUUUGGAACAUACUUUAGAAAAAAAUAUUAUUUAAAUGAAUAAAAAUUAUUUUUUACAUUUUAGAAGUAAAUAAUUUAAUGAUUAAAACAAUAUUUAAAUUAAAUAUAUUUACUAUUUUUUUUUCUUUUAUACUAAAAAGUAUUUUAAAGUUUAUUUUUUUUUUAUUAUAAUAGAAUAAAAAGUUUAAAGUUUUUUUUAAAUUUUUUUCCUUCCAUAUUUUAAUAAUUUUUUUAACAUAGACUUUUGGCAAUAAGUUAUAUGAAUGUUCCAAAUUUGUUUAUUAAGGAAUUUUUUUAAUGAUUUGAAUUAAUUAAAAAUUUAUUGAAAUAAGAAAAAAGAAAAAGAGAGAAAGAGGAUAGAUAAAGAGUUUUUAUUUUAAAUAUCCAACAAAAAUGUUUUUGUAUUUAGAAAUGGAUUAUAUCAAUACAUAGUAUAGUAGAUAUUGAUUUUUUUCUCAUGCAAAAGGGCUAAAUGAUAUAUUUACUCAUUUUAAAUGAAAACAAGUAGUUAAAAAUUAUAUAGAUUAUGUUUGAGUUUGGUUUUAAAAUACUUUUUCUAGUUUUAUUUUUUUAUUUUUAAAAAUUAUUUUUAUUUUCUAUAUUGUCUCUUUUUGAAAAUACAUUUAAUUAAAAAAUGAAAAAUAUUUUUAAAAAUGAAAAUUGAAGACCUUGUUUAAUACUAUUUUUUUUUAUAUGAAGGUAAUAAAAAUAAUUAAAUUUCAUUUAUUGAUUAUUCUUUUUUAUUUUUAAAAUAUAAUAUGUUCACAAUUAAAUAAAGGAAUUGGUCAAUUGUAUAUUUUUUACACAAAAAUUUAAUAUGUUCAUAAAAAAAUUGGAUUGAAGUUUUUCGUCAUUUUUUUUAAUCAAACUACUAGAAUCAUGUUUAAUACACAAUAGGCAUACAUGCAUUACGGGGUUAUGAAAUUUGUGUCACUAUACAAGAGUAUUUACUAACUAUAUAAGGGAAAUGUACUGUGUACAAGCAGUGUAUAAGAUUACCAUUUAUAAAAAAUUUCAAUCUAUUUUGAACCACUCCUUUAUUUUCCUUGUCACCCACAAAUUGCAUACUCAUAUCAUGGACUUUAUUUAACUCCCACAUGGAAAUUCUGAUACUUUCCCUAGUAAUGAUGUUUGGGAAAAAAAAAACUAACCCUAGUUCAUCCAUCCUUUUAUUAGUUAAACCAUUAGAAAUAUGAUUAACACACCUACAUGGGCACAUUACUUAGGAGAGAUAUAUUGCACCAUUGUACAAUGGUAUUACACUAAUUAUACAAGAGAAAUGUGCUAAGUGUACAAGGAAAAUGUACUAAGUGUACAAGGAAAAUGUACUAAGUGUACAAGGGUGUACAAGACUACCAUCUAUAAAAAAAUUUAAUCGAUUUUGAAUCACUUCUUCUUUUUCUUUGUCACCCACAAAUUGCAUACCUAUGUCAUGCAAUUUAUUUAACUUUCACAUGAAAAUUUCGAUACUUUUCUUAGUAAUAAUGUUUGGGGAAAAAAAAUUUAAUCCUAAUUCAUCCACCAUUUUGUUAGCUAAACCAUUAGAAAUAAGAUUAAUAUACCUACGUGGACACACAAUUUAAGAAGGAUAUAUUGCACCAUUGUACAAUGAUGUUACACUAACUGUACAAAGAAAAUGUACUAAGUGUACAAAGGUGUAUAAGGCUACCAUUUGUGAAAGAUUUUAAUCGAUUUUGAAUCAUUUCUUUAUUUUCUUUGUUACACAUAAAUUGUAUAUGAAAUUGCACUAUUAUAUAAGGGUGUUACACUAAUUAUAGAAGAGUAUUACACUCGCUGUACAAGACAAAUGUACUAACUGUAUGAGGUAAAUGUACUAAUUAUACAAGGGUGCAUAAGGUUAUCCUUUAUGCAAGAUUUCAAUCAAUUCUAAAUUUUUUUCUUGUAUAAAGGCCAUCCCUUACUCCAUUCAUGCUAAAUGGAUUGAACACUUUUCCCCCACACAUUCCUUCACCUAAAAAAUGUUUUAAUUUUAAAUUUUAAAUUUCAUCAUCCAAAAUUUGUAAUUGCAUAUUUCAUUUAAGUAGUUUUAACAAUAUUUUUUCUUACUACAUUUACAUCUUAUAUAAAGAAAAAUUAACCAUAAUAUUAGGUAUUACCUUUUUUAUGAAAUCAAAGUAAUAUAAAUGGAUAACACAUUAAUGUCAUUGUUUCAAAUGAUUUAAGACAAUAUAAAUAACAUAUAAUAAUUGUUGAGAUUAUGAAUAUUUUUUACCAAACUGUGUCAUUUAGAUCUUCCCUACCAAAAUUAAAACAUAGGAAAUAAAAUUAAAAUUAACCACAUUUAAAGUGUUUAUUACAAGUAAACCGAAUGAAAUAUAUAUUUUUACUAUUUUACCUUUAUAAACAUAAUGUCAGCAGAUAUUAAAAAAAUCAUAUUUAAAUAGAAUUAAAAAGGAUAAAAAAUUGUCUUUGUAACAUUUGUAAUUUUUUUUUAUAAAAAAUCAUUAAUUUAAAAAAAAAAAUUGUUGUAAUUAUAGUUUUGAAGAUUCUAUGAUUUUUAUAUUAUUACUUUUAAUUAUUUUCUUUGAUUUUUUAUUUUAAAUUUCAUCUAAACUUGUUUUUUCUUACAUUUACAUGUUUUCUAUUAUAUCCCUAUUUAAAGUGAUUUUCAUUUAAUUUGUGUUCCAUUAUAUUCUCUUUUCAAUUUUAAUGUGUUGUUAUACCUCUUUACAUAACAAAAGAUUUUGUUAUUUUUCAUCUACAAAACUUUGUACAAAAGAUAUCAUGUACGAGGAAAAAAAAAUAAAAAAGAGAAAAUUAUGAUAUAAUUUACAUACACAUCUCUUAAUAUGAUACAUUUGCUUGACUUAAUGACAUCAUGCUUUAAUAAUUUAAAUCAUGUCAAGUCCACAUCUAUUUUAGAUUUAAAAGGGUAUUUGAAUAUUUUUCAAAUUAUUAAGUUAUAAUACAUUAUUCAAUUAAAAAUUAAGUAUCACCAUUAGUUAAAAGAUGAUUAUGUUACAAAAUAAUGUAUUAAGAUAAUAUCAAUGUAUUGUCAAUAAAAUAGAGAAAAUAUUCAAAUAAUUGUCUACAACCUUAAAGAUAUUUAUAUAUAUAUUGGAUAAAAAAGAAUAAUAAUAUUUUUUAAGGUGAUUAAAAAAUAUUUAUUAUAUAUUUAGUAAGUUUUAAAAAAAAUAUUUUAUGAGGUGUUUAAAAAAUAUUUACUUUAAAAAUAUAGUAAUAAUCAUUUUCAAUCAUUGAUUUCCAAUAUUCAAUUUAUUAGACAUGGUUUCUGGGAGAAAAAUAAUUGAUAGAAAUAGUAACACUUUCCUAGUAAGGAAUUAAUUUACAUGUCCCACCAAUUAAUAUGUGAGAGAAAAAGAUAAGGUGAAUGAUGAAAGAGAGAGGAAAAAAAAAAUGAAAGAGAAUGGGAAGUUAGUUGUUUUCUUUUUCUUUUUGACAGCAAAGGGUAUUUUUGGAAAAUUGAACUUUCCAUAUCAUUCUUCUCAAUUUAUAGACUUUCUUUAGGUGUUGGGCUUAAAUAUGGAACUUACAUGGACCAUAUCUUAAUUUUUGGACCCAGUUGAGUCCAAAACACAAUUUUCCCUUUCUUUUUUAUUAAACAUAUACUUAAUUUUUUUUCUUCAAUUUAAGUAUUUUGAUAAUAUUAUUUUUUAUGAAUAUUGAUGGCAAAAUUCUAUCAUCUUUCUAAAAUAUUUAUUAGAUUCUAGUAGGAAAUCAACGUCAAAGUAGGCCCCUAACUAAAAGUCAAGAGAGCUUUAUGACCUUUCACAUUAGAAAAUAGUUGGAUUCAUGUAGAAAAGGCAAACCUUCCUUCCACACCCAGUGUAAUAUUCCAUUGUUUUUUCUAAUUUUAUUUUUCCCUCUAGUUCCAAUAUUUGUACAACCUCAUCCUUAUUUAGUUUAGCUCCUUUUCUAUGUAAUCUUUUUUUUGGUAUUUUACAACUUGAAUUUAUAGAAUAUCUUUUGUUCAAUAAUUUUUUUAAUUAAUUUUUAUGAAAAAUAUCAAUUUUUAUAGAUAUAUCGGUAAAUCCCUUUUACGAAUAUAUUAAAAUAUAUCAGAAAAAUAUUGAUAGAUAUUUUGAAAUAAAAAUAUGAAUAAGAAAAAAAUUAUUCAAAAUUCAUAAAAAUAUUUAAAAUAAUUAUAAAAAAUAAUAUAAAAAGUAAUAAUAAAUAUCUUGAUAUUGUUUUGUUAAAGAAAUGAAUAUAUGUAUAAUAUAAUUCAUAGUAUUUAAUAAAAUAUUGAUAAUUUUAUUUGUAAAUAUAAAAAGGCAUAUAUUAAUUUAUGCACAUGUAAUAUAUAUAUAUAACGUUAUAAUAUUAACAAAGUUAGCUUGGUGGCGUGGUGCUCACUCUAUGCCUGAGGUCAUGGUUUCUCAAACCCAUCCUUCCACAAUGAUUUAAAUCCCUUUUUAAAGGUAAGAGGUGGGAUCCCACAUCGGUCAGCCACAACACUUAAAAACCUGCUCAUAGACCCUUUGGCAGGUAGCAGUGUUUGAAUGCGUGUGGUUGGCUGGGCCGACGUACACGUAAAACUUCCAAAAGGGCAAUUUAUCUCUUUGCCGAGAUAUCCACCUACCGCGCCCUGGUCGGAGUAUGGAUAUUUUGAUUCAAAUAUCAUGAAAUUAUUUAAAAUAUAUAAAAAUAUUUUAAAAAAAAGUUCAAAAAAUAAUAAUAAUAAUAAUAAUAAAGGUAAGAGGUGGGAUCCCACAUCGGUCAGCCACAACACUUAAAAACCUGCUCAUAGACCCUUUGGCAGGUAGCAGUGUUUGAAUGCGUGUGGUUGGCUGGGCCGACGUACACGUAAAAUCUUCCAAAAGGGCAAUUUAUCUCUUUGCCGAGAUAUCCACCUACCGCGCCCUGGUCGGAGUAUGGAUAUUUUGAUUCAAAUAUCAUGAAAUUAUUUAAAAUAUAUAAAAAUAUUUUAAAAAAAAGUUCAAAAAAAAAAAAUAAUAAUAAUAAUAAUAAAAAUGACUUCAUUAUUUUUUUAUUUUAUAUUUUAGUAAAUUUUUUAAUAAAUUUAUACUUUUAAUAUUUAAAAAUAAAAUAUUUAAAAUUAAAUAAAAUUAAAAUGAUAAAUAUACAAAAUUUGAAAGUAAAGGGAUUAUAAUUUUUUAAAUAGAAUUAAUGAAAUAAAUGAUUAUAUAUUUAAUAUUAAAACUAUAAUUUAUUUAAUUUAAAUGCAUUUAAUAAUGUAAAAGAAAUGAUGAUGUAUUUAUAUUUUUUAUAUUUAAUUAUCAUUAUUAAGAAAAUUAUAAUAAUAGUUUUUAUACUUUUAUUAAAUAAUUAAAAAUUUUAAAAUAAAAUAAUUAGAAUUAAUUGAUUUAUUAUUUUAAUAAUAAACUUUAAGAUAUUUAAUGUGAAUAAACAUAUCAACUAAUAUAAAUUUGGCCCAGAGGGAGCAAGGCUCAUACCCAAGCCUUUUGCUUGGGUUCGAAUCCCUUUCGCACAAGAGUUGGUAGAAAAAUUUCCUCCAUUUCGGGGAAACACUCACCUUUUGGUGUGGAGUACUUUUAUGAUUUUGUUCAAUAUAAAAUUUUCCAAAAAAGUUUUCUGUUUCUUGUUUUCCUUACUUUUCCAAUUAUUUAAUUCUUUUUAAAUAUACCUUUGAGUCACUUCAAGGCAACAAUAAUCCAUGUAAUUAUUUUUAUUUUUUGUUUUUAUAAUGUGUAUGGCGUAGAGAUGGCAAGCAUGAUAAUGAGAAAUCUUAUGUUAAAAUUAAACUAUGCUUUUUUUUAGUAAUUGAUUAUCUACUUUGCCUUUCAUUUUGAUGUUUUACUUCUAAUAUAUAUGAUAUUUUAGUUUGGUGUUCCCCUUGGACUUUAAUUAUGGAGCUAAUUCUUAUAAUUAUUGGUAGAAAAUUUCUUAUGACCAUCAAGAAAUUUAAAGCUUGUUACAAAAAUUGAUAUGAAAGUAGGCUAUUAACAAAAGGUUAAUAGACCCCAAUGUUCUUUCACAUUAAAAGAUAGUGAAAUUUACGUAGAAUAAAUAACUAAUGUUACAAAAAUUUGUAUGAAGACAAUGUUAUUUAUAAAAGGUCAAUAGAAGUACUUUCACAUUGAAAGAUAGUGAAAUUUACAUAAAAAAAAGCAACCAAGCCUCGCAUGCGAAGUUUCAUUUUCACUUUUUCUUUUCUUUUCUAUUUUUAUGUUUUCCCCUUGGACAUUAUCUAUCUAUCUAUAUACAUGUAUACACCUCAUUUCCACAACUUUUUUUGCUUAACUUUCUUUUUCUUUUGUUAUUAGUAUUUAGUAACAAUGGGUCAAAUCAUUUGACAUUCAUUCCAAAGCCUUCCUUUUUGUUCUCAAAUUAUUCAAAGGAUGAUAUCAUAUAAGGAAUUCUUAAAUAGAGCUUGUAAAAAUUACAUCAAAUUUAUAAUUCGUUAAAAAAUAUAUAUAUCAUCUCCUUUUCUUUAACAUUUAUUCUUUAAUCAUUGUUGCAUAAUGAUAAAAUUGAAGUAAGUGCAAUUAUGCUUUAUUUGAUACUCAUAAGAAUUACAAAAUCUCUUCACCUCGAGAUAUUGAAGUCUAGGUAAGAAAAUAGAUGGAUAAAAGUGCGAUAUAAAACUUUUCUUCUUUUUCCUUUUCCCAUUUGAAAGGUGUUUGUGGUUGAAGGAAAAAAAUAUCAAGUGGUAUAACAAAAAUAUUGGAUUCGGGAAAAAACUCAUAUUAAAGGUCUUUGAUGACUAUCUUUUGCAUUUUGUUUUUUGCUUUUCUCCUUUCAAGUUCUAACAUACAACAACCAAUCUUCUCUUUUAGUAGUUGUCUUGAACUUUGAUGACAAUUGCGCAAAGCCUUUUACGAAAUUUGCUUGAAGGCAUACUACCAUCCAAAGUUCAAUAAACCAAGGAAAAUUGCAUGAAAAUAUUUCAUAUCAUUUCUUGAAAUUUAGAUCUUGGUAAGAAAUUGGUUUAAAGGUAAGCUACUAUCAAAGUUUGGAAAAUAGAAUGUCUUUCAUACUAUUUUUCAUGUUUAGGUAACAUGAAAAAAAUAAAUUUUUUUUUUCAUUUUUCUUUUGUUUUUCUUCUAUUGGCAUUCAUUGGUGACUAGUUAUAUACACAUAGUAUAAUUUUUAAAAGGAUUUCCUUUAAUUUUUUUUUUCCAAAAUAAUAUUUGAGGAACCUUGAUUAUACCAUUUUAUUAUAUUUUCUUCAGAAAAAAAAAUCUUUUAUGCAUGUUGUUCAUGUUAUAUAUGAUAAUUUAAUUAAAUUUUAGUUACAACUUUGAGCCGCUUGAAGCCCACAAAAUCCAUUUAAUAAUUUAUUUUUUUCAAAAUAUUUAUGUAGCUAGAGGUGCCAAAUAUAAAAACAAGAGAUCAAUGGAUAUGAAUACAAAAAUGGCUAAAAGUAUACAAUAGUUUUCCUAUGUAUUUACUUUCUAAUUUGGUAACUCUUUUGCACUCUCAUGAAAACUUUUAUGAAUCUUUGUGUCAAAUUUGUAUGAAGAUAAUCCAUAUACAUAUGUGUAUUAUAUAUCACUUAAUGAUAGUUGGUUUCAUAUGGAAAAAGCAAAUAUUGCCUCCUAAAGUUAUUAUUAUCGUAAUGUGAUAUUUCAUCUUCCAAUUUUAUUUUCAUCCCUUGGCAUUUAAUACUAUGCUAUUUAUAAUACUCUCUUCUUUCUUAAAACAUUGUUAUCAAAUUAUUCAAAAUAUGAUAUUGAAUUUAUGAAAUAGAUGCUUGUAAAAUUUAUGUCAAAUGAUAAUAUUUUUCAAGAAAAAAAAUGUUAUUUCCUUUUCUUUAAUAUUUAUCCUUUUGUCAUUACUACAAAGUAAGUGCAAUUAUCUUCAUCAUCUCUGAAAGUUUGAAUUCCAUAUGCAGUCAAUGUGGCAUAUAGAUGAUCAGGGAAAUUUCUGCGAGUAUCGCCGCCACCUCGAAAACUCAAGAACACAUCAUAAUUACGAGAAUUAGAAGUAGUAGAAGAAGAGGCUCUAUGCAUGCUGGAAGAAGCCAUUUUUUGGAUGACUUGAACCAAAAUUACAAGGGAGUUUGGAAUCCAAGAAAAAUCAGAGAGAGGGUCCUUGGAUGCUCAAUGAAUAUUGGCUCCAAACCUUUUCACACCAUGAACAAAAAUCCAAGACGAAAAGCUUCAUCUGCAGUCGUGAAAGGAAAAAAAAAAAGACAUCUAUAAAGCCUCUUUGACAAAUUUCUUUGUAUAUAAAUUCUAAGAGAAACACACAUAUUUUACCUUUUGUUUGGGGAAGAUUCUUACUCCAUUCCCUUUGUGUUGGAGACUGCAGUUAAGGGAUGUAGAGAAGAUGAUGGGGAAGAUGGUAUGGAGGAUAGGCAGGGGUUGAAGAAGGGGCUGUGGGUAGCAGAGGUCUCUUUGAUUAGUGGAUGGAAUGGAGGUAAGGAAUUCUAAUAUUUUGAAAUGAAGUUUCAUUGAAGGUGUUGUUUAUAGUUUUUGUUUCCAUAAUAUUUGUGCGGCAGCUAACGGACAUAAUUAUGAUAAUGAGAAAUCCCAAAUUAAGACUAAGUAAAGCUUUUCUUUUUAAUUAAUCAUAUACUUAAUUUUUGUCCUUCAAUUUCAUAUUCUAAUUGUAAUUUGUUUUAUUAUUGUUUUUUUUUGUCUUGUAUUUUGAUAAUGUUAUUUUUUAUAGAUAUUGAUGGGAAAAUUCUAUCGUUUUUCUAAGAAAUUUAUUAGAUUCUGGUAGGAAAUUGUCAAAGCAGGCUUCUAACUAAAAGUCAAUAGAGCUCUAAGACCUUUCACAUUAAGAAAUAGUUGGAUUCAUGUAGAAAAGGCAAACCUUCCCUCAACACCCAAUGUAAUAUUUUAUUAUUUUUCUAAUUUUAUUUAUUUUCCUCUCUAGGUCCAAUAUUUGUACAACUUCAUUCUUCUUUAAUUCCUUUUCUUUGUAAUAUUUAUUUUGAUAUUUUUACAACUUAAAUUUAUGGAAUGUCUUUACUUAAUAAUUUUUUUCUUUUAAUUUUUAUGAAAAAUAUCAUUUUUUUUUAUAGAUAUAUCAAUAAGUUGGUUUUACAAAUAUAUUAGGAUAUAUCAGGCAAUAUCGAUGGAUAUUCUAACACAAAAUAUCGAUAAAAUGGAAAUUAAUCAAAACUCAGAGAAAUAUUUAGAAUAAUUUUAAGAAAUGAAUAUAAAAAGUAAUAAUAAACAUUUCGACGUUGUUUUGUUAUAGAAAUCGAUAUAUGUAUGAUAUAAUCUAUAAUAUUCUCUCAUAAUAUUUAGAAUUUAAAAGUAAAUUUUAUAUAAAUAUAUCUAAUUUGGAUGUAUUUAAUGAUAUAAAAGAAAUUAUGAUAAAAUUAUUAGUACUUUUUAAAAAUAUCGAUAAUUUGAUUUAUAUAUAUACAAAAAAACAUAUAUUAAUUUUUGCAUAUAUAAUAUAAUUUAUAAUAUAUAUUAUAUUUAUAAUAUGAAUAUAUAAAAAAGAGAAUCUUAAUAUAAUAUACAUAAAUAAAUAUUGUAUAUAUAAGUCAUACAUGACAAGGCCUGCACAUGGAGCUCUUGGCCAUGGAUAUGGAGAGUUGGAACCUCUUGGUGUGUGCAUGCAAGGUUUUGAACCUACUGUGCUUGAAGAUUGGCAAUUGGAAAACCAUUCAAAUGGAUGUGCAAUAUAUAGAAAUAGAUGGCAGGAGAAAUUAAUGGCUUUUGACAUUUCCAUGAGGGGCCUUCUUUGAUACAAUGGAAUUAACUUGGCUAUGCAUAGUGAAGAAGACAGGCUCAACUGAUUCACCUUUCUUCAGAUAUGACCCCUUCAAUGAUGCUCACCAUCAUGACAUAGAGGGUAAUGGUAUGAUUUGUGCAUUUGUGGACUUUCUCCCCACAGAAUUUGCAAACAUGAGGCUUUUAGCUUGUUAAGUUAAUUGAUUCCUCCCAUGAAAGAGAACCCAGUUGUGAACUUGUUACAACUGGAGAAACCAACCUCAUUCUCUCUUGACAGUGAAACUUCUCAACCACACCACCUAACCCAGCCUUAGCUCAUUUCCUUCCACUUUCCAUAUGCAUGAAUUCCUUAUGGUGUGGCCACCUUCUUGGGCUUAAGAAGAGGAGUAGAAACUUCAUUUUUCAACCAGCUUGAUAUGAGUGGCCCUUUCAUUCACCACGUGGUGCAUUACUAGUCGUUCAACUAUAUCCAUGUAGGGCUACCUUUGGCAUGCAAUCCCAAAGGCCACCCGUUUUCAUCCUCUUAAUUCUUCAUCCUUGCUUUCAAACAUCAAUUUUCAAAAGUCCGAUUUUCAAAUAAUUUAAAUUUCACAACUUUUCAUUAUUCCUUAAAGUUUUAAAUCACCAAAAAUCCAAUUUUAAUAAACAUUCGUUGCCAUUUUCCCCCCGACAAGUAUCUUUCACAAAUUUCCUUGUUUUUUUAAACAGUUUUAUGAUUUUCUUGAUUUUUAAUAAACAUGAAUGAAUUUUUAUAAUUCCAAAGUAAUGGAAUUUAUGGAAUUAAUUCAUGCUAUAUUAAAUAAGGCAUUGGUGGGGCCCACCAUAUGAGACAUUCGUCAUUCGAUUAUUGAUUCUGAUUGCUAUAUUUGAUCGAAUAUUGAUUGAUUUUUGCCUUGAUCUGUGGUAUGCAUGCAAUUAUUCUGUACUUGUCCACUAACCUUGUUUCCAUGAUAGCACAUUAUUGAUUCAUUGCUCAAGUAUGCAUCCUAUCUUCUCUUAUUUGCUUGGUCACUUUCCAUUGCUAUUUUGGCCAUAAUACAUCUUUGAUCAUUGUUUGAUAUCCACGAUUAAUCGAUCAAUUGUCACACUUGUCUUUGCUUAUUUAGUAAAGACCCAUUUUUAAGGGCUUAGAAGGGUGCUACAACUUAUUAUCAUACCUUUCCGAUAUGUAACUUAACCCUCGGGCCCAACUUGAUUUUUCAUAGACCUGUUUUUCCUUUUUAAGAGUCACACUUAGAGUUUUUUUUUUUCUUAUUUUUUUCCCUUUAAAAAUAAAACAAAAAUAAGUGGCGACUUCGAAAACAAAUUUUCAAGUGUGGAAUGCAUGUGAGAAAUGUGGGGUCUACAAAAUAGCGACUCCAUUGGGGAUCACUAGAGGGUUAAGCUUGAACUUAGGUUGAGACAAAUGUGACGUUUGAUUGGUUGAUCAGUGGGUACCCUUCUCUCUUUGUGCUUUUGUAUGCUUGAGUGUUGAUAGCACAUUAAGAGCUUUGAUAUGAUUAUCCUUGAUGCAUGUUUGGCUAUUGUGUUCAUUUGAAGCAUUGACAUGCUGAUUAUAUUGAUUGAUCCUCUUGUUUGUCCUCACAUAUUGUAUUUUCUUGUUGUAUGAUUACUCUACUCACCAUGACUUGUAUAUUCUUAUUGUUGCUUAUCUCGUUCAUUAUGGUAUCUUGAUUUUUUUUUUCUGCUAUAUACUAUCUAGAUCACCUUUGAGCAUGCUAUUCAUUUUUAUUGGAUACUCAUCUCAUCUAUCAUGUUUCUAGCUUCGCUUGCACAUAGAUUUGGAUUAUAUAUACCUGUUUUGCAUGACUGCUUGGAGCAUGAUUGCUUUUCUUCUGUGUGAUGCAUGUGUUGCUUGUUUGUGUGAGGCACACACUUAUCCUCUUAUCUCCAAUUCCCUAGUUUUGGUUGAACUUGUUUCCCUGGAUCUCGUAUUUCAUAUGACACUUCUUAUCUUGUUUGCUCUUUGAUUGAGCUAGUGAUUUGGAGUAAGGUCUAGUGAUGGACUACAUAUAUCUAUGUUUGAGAGCAUUUUGGAGAUGACCAACACAUUGAUGCCAAUUGGAGUCCGACCUUUGAAGAAUUGUAUAAGAGCUAGAUUUUAGGAUAUUUGUGUAGCUAGUGUGUUUUCUUCUUAGUUGGAUAGGAUUUUUGGAUGCAACCACACCAUUCACUGUGCCCUUUAUAUCACCAUUGAGCGCUAAGAGAUGCAAGAACCUUCAUAAUUAGGAAACCUCCUGGGAUGGGAGGUAAUGCAUGUGUGGAGGUGAUGACCACCUUGCAUCGAAGCACCCCAUCUCUUUGAAGGCGUGCAGAGGGUUGCAUACUGCAGGAGUGUAUGAUUGCUUCUGCUAGGAACCCUUUAAAGCCUACCUUUCUCUUUUUAGAGCCACCUUCACCUUAUAGGAUGAGCUUAGAUCAUUUUAUUAGGAUUCCUUAUUGACACAUGGGUGCAUUUGAGAGCCUUCAGGGCGCGUUUUAGUUACCACCUAGACCCAGUGCUUUCUUAUUUUGUUUCUAAUUGAGAGUGCUUAGAGAUUAGUACGAGUUUGAGUAUCUGUUGGAUUACCUUUUGCCUUGUUGCAUUAGAUUCUUUCUCCUAUUUGAUGAGUUUAGCUUGCUUUCUCCCUAAGGCUUUCCUCUCUCUUUCUUGGUUUGGUACAUCCUUUCACUUUGCUAUCACUUGCUUAAUGCUUUGGGAUAUGUUCGUUGAUCAUGAUCACCUUUUUACACCGUACACCUAUCAUGGGCCUAGUACCCCAUUCUUUGUUCAAUUCUUGAUUCAACUUUCAACUCGAUGUUCACAUUUUCAUUAUGGAAAGGUGAAAGGCAUGUUUUCACAUUCAUAUUUUUUUAAGGGAUUUGCCUUGAUCACCUUAUUAUUUUUCUUCGUGGAGCUUGGAUUGAAAGUUGAGUCAAGGAUACAUAGUUACAGAUGGAGUAUCAAUCUCAUGCUAGUGUGUUUUUCACACUUUUUUAUUUUUAUUUUAUUUUUUUAUCUUGGAUUAUUGAUAUGAAUUCUCUAGUCACAUUUGUAGCCAUCUCAUAGUGGAUACCUUUUUUUACUCCAAAGUUCUCGUCAUACAUCCAAAUUUUAGAUUGCCAUCACUAAACCAUGUAUACCAGGCAUGUGUCAUACUUUUGACUAUAAGAAAUCUUUCACUUAUAUAUCAUGAUCACUUAGACCUAACCCAUCAUGGAGGAUUUUGAGCUUGUUGACCUAGGACCAGGAGAUUGGCCUAAAGAGUUCAAGACUAUGACCUAUCCCACUUCCUAAUUAGAGCAGUACCAUAUCCACAUCUAUACCUUGACCUUUUGGACUUCAUGACCUAUCCAUGAUGAGUUUUGUAUAGUAUUCUUCCUUUGAUACCAUUGCAUGACCCUUUCUUCCCCAAGUAUCCUAACCUAGUACAUUCCUUCGUUGAUUCAACCAAGUAUGGUUUGAGAUGAUUAGACUUAUGGUGGGCUUUGCAUUAUGAUGAGGGAGUUAUGGCGAGAGAUCGAUUUGAUUGCUUUAUAAGUUUGUUGACCAUUCUGCGGUUGAGAUGAGUAGAGAUACCAUUACAAAGCAUCCAGAUCUUAGCCAUUGCAAAUGAUUUCAAAGAGUUGGGAUGACUAGAGAUGAUGAUUUUAUGAGAUGAUGAGUGUUUUGUGAUGAAACAUGGGUUGGUCGCUUGAUGAGAUUGUUGACUAUCCUAUGUUUGAGAUGGACAAAAAGGUUGCACAAAGCAUUUGGAGUCAAUUUUCACAUGAUUAUAAAGGGGUUGGCAUGGCUGUGUUGGAUGGAUAUUGAUAUUUAGUGUUGACCAUGUGAGAUCAUGAGGGCAAGAUGUUUGAGGUUUUGGUCAAAGGAUGGGCCAUCGUUUCAUGAUCCUAUUUACUUGAUCACCCUUAUAUAUGGAGUUACCCGUUGCAAGCCCUUUGAGUCUCACACAAAUAUUAUAACAUUUUUUGUCUCAUCACCUGAUUUACCUUUUGCGUCGGGUUAGGGGCCCUAUAGUGCUUCCAUGCUUUGAUUAGAUAUCUCAUGAGUUCUAGACUUGAUAGACAUAUUUAGUCUUCAUCUAUCACUCUUCAUUGUGAUAUUUUCCACUUUGACAUCGUCUCAUCACUUUUUUCGAUAUCACAUAUCACCACUUGUGAUGUACAUCAUCUUUCUUUUCCCUUAUCAUUGCUUAUUUUGACAUUCUCUUUGCUUAACCUAGAGUGUUGGUUUUCCACACACCAUUGCAUGGAAGACGGUCACAUCCUUCCCCUAGUUCACCUCAUGGGCAGUGGUUUAGAGAUCUUAGUUUGAGAGGUUGUCUUGUUAGUAAGGAUUCAUGUUACAUUAGUAUGUGGGGAGAGUUUGAUCAUUUGUGGUAUGCGUUUUCAUUGAAGAUUGCCCAUUAUUGAUUAGAGUAUGCAAAAAAAAAAAAAAAAAAAAAAAAUAGAGUGCAUUGUUCAUUGUACCAUUCUCCAUUGAGCACAUGUAUAGACGUGUCGGUUUACUUCAUUAGGUUCAUAUGUCAGUGAGAGUUCAUAUGUGAGCUCUUAGAGAUUUUCCUUUUACUCAAUCCUAUCUUUGCAUGUAUUUCUAGGUGAGAGUAUGAGUCGCUUAUUCGAUUUUUUUGAGAGAGUUGAGCAACCUUUCUUUAGGAUCUCUGGAUCUUUGCCCUAUUCAUCACUACAUCCAUUAUUUUAUGUGACUUGUCUCCAUGCUUUGAUGUGGAUUGAUCGGUACUCAUAUAUAUAUAUAUAUAUAUAUAUAUAUUUUCUGAUUGAUUUCAUUUUGUUACUCUCUUUGACUCUGUUAUAUUUGCUUAUUCUUUCUUUUCUUAUCUCGCUUGAUGUUGGAUUUGGAUUUAACAUUCACAUACUUUUGUUCAUCUUGUGGAUAUUGAUGUUCAUUCCUUUAUCAUGUGAGAGCCUCUAGGUCCAUCACUCAUGAGGUUUUCUAUGCAUUACAUCUUAUGCAUAAGGGAUAUGGGGAUUGUAUCAUUAGGAUUAUUUGAGCCUAGUUUCCUCUCGUUUCUUUCACCCUAUUACCUUAGCCUACGUUAUGUCUCAUGUCUUAAGACCACCUUGAGAUUAUGACUUCACACAUUGUGUUUGAUUGCUCACACAUGGAUGAUUCUUGAGUUUGGUUGGAGAUUUUUGCUUGGAGCAUGAUGGAUGAGGAGCUAUGAUAUGAUUUACAUUAGAGCAUACCCUUCUUAUCAGUGGUGGAUAUUUGGGAUGAUGUGAUCUACACUAGGGCAUACCCCACUCAUCGGUGAUAAAUUUUUUGAGAUGAUGCCUUACAUUGGGGCAUAGCCAAUUUGCAUCUUCACUUGGAUUAUGACAGAUUAGUAGUUAUGGCAUGACCCUACAUUGGGGCAUAACCAUUUCAGAGAGCACUUUUAUUAAAGAUAUACUCAUUCUACUUGAUAUUCUACAUUGGAAUACAUUUCUCUCAUCAAUGGUUGAUUUUUGAGAUGACGGUUUAUUUUGAGACAGUUGCUUGAGAGAUUGUGCAUGGUAGACAUAACCACCUUAUUUCCUUCUUGUGGAGCAUGGGGUGAUUAGGGUCUGUUGAAAUUAUAUUGGUGUAUUCAUUUUCAGCAUUGAAGGAUGAGUUUAACUUUGUUCUGAUGACCCAUACUGAGACAUAACCCUCUCAUUGGCGAUGUAGUUUGAUUUGUCUUAAAGCAUAGCCACUUCAAAUAGUUUAUAUCGAGGCCGACUACUUCAUUCAUUCUCAUGGAGUAUGUGGAUCGGAAGUCUUUGGAUCAUGUUAAGAUGUUUUCAUUUUCAGCAGUGGGAGUUGAGAUUAAUUGAUUUGUUAACAAACACUAGAACAUGGUUUCUCUUAGUAGUUGUUGAUUUGGAUACACUACUUUAUACUAGGGCAUAGCCGUGAUGGAGAGUAUUUUUCAUUAAAGCAUAGCCACCCUAUUGAAUCCUUUACAUUAGGACAUAUCCAUCUUUUGGAGCGAGAUUAGAUUGAUUCUUUAUGUUAGAGCAUCUAGAAAGUGAUAUGGAGAUAUUUGGAUUGUUCCAUGUUGUCCUCAUUGUAUAUAGGGGCAUAGCCAUAUUAGAGGACAUCAUUUUAUAUUGGGGCAUAGCCACUUUGCUGUUCGACAUUGAGAUUUGACUUUCUGUUUAUGAUUACUACUUUCGAUGGAUUAUGGAGCUAUUGACACCUUAGGUUUUUUUCUUUUCGGCAUACUUGGAUGAACUCGGAACCUACCUACCUUUCAUUUCAUACUCAGAUAUUUCACCCUUGAUACUUUCAUGUUUUACUGUCUUACUAGAGCCUAAUCAUUACCUUCUUUUGGCUCACACAUUUCACCAUGACAUAUGACCUCACACCUUACUCUCUAGAUUAGAGGAGGAUGUAGAAUAGUCCUUGACUUCUCUAGUUGAGCUCUCAUACAUAUUUUGGACUUUAAGUUCAACAUCUUACAUGAUGGUAGGACCUGACAGAUUACCGAUUUAUUAGUGAUGAUGUUUUCAUUUCUGACAGUUGACAUGUUGAGUUUUGAUUUACUUACACUAUACAUGUUAAGUAUUAGCCACCAUUAUUUUUGUCCACCAAUCAGUUUCAUUUUUUUGGUGUGGUAUCAUCAUGCAUGACCCCAUUUGGCAUUCGCAUUUGAGGUUAGACAUCUUCAUUACAUGGUUGAUGAGCAUAUUCUAGAGUACAGUAGUUUUAUGGCAUUCAUAUCUUAGUUUGUUCACUAUCACAUGCUUGGGCAUACCCCCUUCUUUGAGAUCAUCAAACUUUUCACAAGCUUCAUUGCUUUUUGAUCUAGUUGUUAACCUUGUAAGUUGCAUACUGGGAACCUUUCAUAAGCUUCAUUACCUUUUGACUUAGUUGUUGACCCUGCGAGCUGCAUACUAGGGCAUACCCCUUUCUUUGAGAUUAUCAAACCUUUAGUAGAUUGCAUUGCCUUUUGACCUGGUUGUCAAUCCUUAUGAGUUGUCAUACUGAGGCAUAUCCCCUUAUGUCGAGUUUGUUUGCAUCGUUAUCUCAAUUAUGCUUUGCUUUUAAGCCACCUGAUUAGAUCAUUAUCAUAUCAGUAUUGUUUUGCUUUGGUGUAGACCACACCCAUAUUGAUCAACCAUCUUCUUAUUAGUCUAUGGCAGUUUAUGUUGGGACUGCACCUAUAUCGAUCAAUCAUUAUCUUGCUAGUUUGAGUUUUUAGAACUGUACCUACAUUGAUCAGUCAUUCUAUGCUAGUUUGAGUUGAGAUUACACCUAUAUUGAUCAGUCAUUGUCUUAUCAGUUUUAGUUUGACUUUUUGGGUUGCACUUAUAUCGAUUGAUCAUCUUCCUAUCAGUUUGAGUUUUUGAGACCGCACUUAUAUCAAUCAGUCAUUAUAUUGUCAGUUUGAGUUUUCAAGACCACACCUAUAUUGAUCAAUCAUUGUCUUGUCAAAUUGAAUUUGAGUUUUUGGGUUGCACCUAUAUUGAUCAACCAUCUUCUUAUCAAUUUGAGUUUAGUUUGAGUUUUUGGGACCAUACAUAUAUUGAUCGCUCAUUAUCUUGUCAGUUUGAGUUUUCAAGACCACACCUAUAUCGAUUAGUCAUUGCUAUGUCAGUUUGAGUUCAAUUUGAGUUUUUGGGACCUUACCUAUAUCGAUCGAUCAUUUUCUUAUCCAUUUGAAUUUUUAGGACUGCACUUAUAUUGAUCAGUCAUUUCUAUGUCAGUUUGAGUUAGGACUAUACUUAUAUCAAUUGGUCAUUUUCUUGUCAAUUUGAGUUUGAGUUUGAGUUUUGGGGCAGCACCUAUAUCGAUUGACCAUUUUCCGAUCAGUUUAAGUUCAGUUUGAGUUUUAGGUACAUCACCUAUAUCAAUUGGUCAUUUCUAUGUCAGUUGAGUUUGAGUUGGGAUCACACCUGUAUCGAUCAGUCAGCUUAGUUUUGAGUCUUGUUCGACUUUGAGCUGCGCCUAUCCUUUCAAGUUUCUUCGGCUUUGAAUCGCGCCUUAGUUUUGAGUCUGGUCAUCCUUAAGUAACACUUUCUUCUUCCUUUGAGUUCUUUUUUUGUUUGUUGAUCACUUCUUAUCUUGGUCAUCCUUGUGUUGUUCAUUGUAUCACAAUCUGGUGCUAUUCAUUGCAUAUGCACUCCUCACAUUAUCUGUAUCUUUAUGCUGAGCUUGUUCCCCCUUAUCUGACCUCGAUCUUGAGCUUAUUGUGUUGUGUCAGGAUCAAAAUUUGAGAUCUUUUCUAUUUUUUGGUACAGUUCACUUUGUUCCAUUCAUCUCUCACGUAUUCGUAAUCCAUUCAUUACACUUAUAAUCUUUAUCGAAGAGGAACAUAUUUAUAGACUCCUGAUUUUGGAUCUUGGGAGAGGCUUUUUUUUUUUAAAACACUUUUUUUUUACCACUUUCUAAAGGCUUCCAAAAGCCAACUGGAGAGUGUGAGCUGUCAAGAAAGUGAGUGGAGUAGUGGUGGUUUUCUUGGAGCCGCAGUUUGGCUAGGACAGGGGGAUAUUCUAUAGUAUGGUGACACGUAGCAGAGGUGCAGGAGGUUGCUUUUUGGUAGCUGUUUUUAGAGAGGCUUGGAGGAGCAACGAGAGUGAGGUGGGUUUUUUGGGAAAGAGAGCGAAGGAUGUUUUGGAGAGGGGAAGGAGUACAGAAGAAAACGAGCAGAGUGUAGAGGAGUAUUCGAGGGGACUGUCUCAGGUAGCAGAGACUGUUGGUUUGAGAUUGUGAGAGAUGGUGAGCUGAGCUUAGACAAAGAGAGCUGAGAAAAAGCUGUGAAAUAGAGGAAAAACUAAGAAGAAAGGUAGGGAGCUGUAGAGGGAGGUGGGCUGGGUGAAAUACGUUUGAGGAGAGGAAUACUAAGUAAGAGGGAGUUAGAGCAAAGGAGAAGAAGCUGAGAGAGAUCUUGCUGAUUCGUGGGAAGGAAAGUAGAGCUUGAAGCCAAGCAACUCUUUGCUUGAGGAAAGCUUUCCAGGUAUGCCUACUCUGAGCUUCUUGUCUCUCAUUUUCACGCUAUUUUUCUCUUAUUUUCUGCUGUUUUUCUGGACUUCUUCUUAUUGAUUGGUGUAGACAUGAAGAGUUAUUUGAUUGUUUUUGGCUGAAUUUGAUCCUUUGUAUACAUGCUCUGUUUUGGGUUUUCUUUGCUUUCCCCUGUACAAGACUAAUGCAUGGAUUUAUUUCUGAACUUGAUAUCAUGGCUCUUGUUCCCCGAUAAUUCCACCUGUUUUUAACCCAUGGAUGCUACCUGAAAUGAGGCUCUAUACGUUCAUGUUUUGCUUGAUUUCUUAUUUGCUCUUCCCUCAGUAUUUACUCUGGCUCCUAUCCUCGCUUUUUAUUCCUCUGUUUCUGGUAAGUUGGGGUGCUGGGCAUCUAAGCUUGGGUUGUCCAUCUUGAUUGGGAUUUUUUCUGGGAGAGCCUCUUGAGGGCAAAUUCUAUACAAAUGGGUAUUUCUGGAUACCUGUGAGCCAUGUGGUCCACAUUGAAAUGCCUAAGGAUGCAAUGGAGGGAUACAGAUGAGGAUAAGUAAAUCUCUACUUGAUGCUCUGGACACGGGUAAGGCAAUCAUGUAGAAUGGGGUACUGUCGUCUAUGAAUCUUUCACUGUGGGCAUGGGUGGAAUUCCUCAUGCACUAGGGUUACAGUGCUUGCAAGUUUGUGAUAGCAAGGUGGAUAAGGGUGUUUGCAGUUAUGCAGGGAAGUUGGAUGAGGAUCUAUCAUGCAUUCAUUCUUGUUAGAGAACUCUUGAAAGAUGGGAAUUGGAAAAAUGGAAAGUUUCAUGGGGAGUGGAUUUUUGUGUCUUGGAAGAUUAUGAUAGAUAGGUAUUUCAGAAAUGGAUGUAUCAAGGAGGCAUUAACAGUUUUUGGUUUAAUGGUGAAAAUGAUGAUAGUGAUUAUUGAAAAUCUGGGGUUCUUACCCCAAGGAACCCCAGAGAAGACAAAGACCCUACUUCUGCAGAGCUUGAGCAUAAUUUUCUUGACACCAACCUUAAUCCAGCAGUUUAGAAGCGGGUUCUCCAAAUAACAACUUAGGUUUGAGCUGAAUCAAUUGAAAGAGGAAUCAAUUAUGGUUGAAUGGUGGGGAUUAUAAUUUAAAAGAAGACCUCUCAGAAACACAAGCAUGCUUACCCAAAGUUUUAUUUAGUUCCAAUGGUGAAGAUCUCAUUCUGAAGGCUAACACUCAGCUUACGAGUGAGCCACAUAUGUCGCAUGACAAUCAGAGCACAGGGUUUUCAAAUUCCAAUGCAUUCUUUCGGGUUCGGGACGGAUAAUGGGCUUUCAGAAAUUACAAGGAAAAGACAAUAUUUUAUGGACGCUCUGCCUGUUUUGCUUGGCCUAGAUCCCUCUAUUUUCGUAUUGCCGAGGGGUCUUCCUCACACACCCAUCCGAAUGGUUUUCCAAUUGCCAAUCUUUAACCAUAGUAGGUUCAAAACCUUGCAUGCAUUCACCAAGAGGUUCCGGGUCUCCAUAUCCAUGGCCAAGAGCUCCAUGUGCAGGCCCUGUCAGUAGUGAAGUUCUGAUGAUUAUGAGUCAAGUAACCCUUGCUUAGAAUCAGUCACAUGGAAGUCAUACUCUCAUGAGUGCACAUCAACAAACAAGCAUGAUCACAACUGAUUGAAGGGAGAAUCAAUCGAAAUUUUUGUCUUAACAGAUGCUUAGUUUUUGAGGAAAGGCUAAAGGUGUCAAAAGAUGAACUAUUGAUUUCUGGAAGAAAGGGUCAUUCCGGUGGUGAUAGUGAAUCCCCUGAUAGCCAGAUGGAUGUGCAACAUACAGAAAUAGAUGGCAGGAGAAAUUAAUGGCUUUUGACAAUUCCAUGAGGGUCUUUCUUUGAUACAAUGGAAUUAACCUGGCUAUGCAUAGUGAAGAAGAAAGGCUCAACUGAUUCAAAUAGACUUAUAACAAAUAGACUAAUUAGAGUAUUAUUUUUUGAAGCUUUAUCACACAGCUUUCUAUAUAACAAAAAAGGAAGUAUUUUGAAAACUUGCUACAAAGCCUCCAUCCUCAUAAUUCGAUUCGGAAGGUUUAUUGAAUUAAACUCUCCCUAAAGCGUUUCGAGUGUGCCCACAAUUUCUGACGAUCAGGAAGAUUUUCUUUGAUCACUGGAACCUGCUUAAAAUUCUGAAUCCAUGCUUGCAAUCGAGGGAACGUGGUGGAAUUCAGCAAUUUUGUGCCUACGGCUUCUUCUAUGCCCUCAAACCAGUAAGCCAGCCAACCAAAUGCUAUGUCCACCAGUCCUAUAGCUUCCCCUCCGAAAAACUUCUUAUCCCCAAGGCUUUGCUCUUCUAUGAUUUUCAGUAUUUCCACUGUUUCUUUUAUGGCCUUCUCUUGCUCUUCCCCAGCAGCAGAUUUAAAGAAUUGAAAAAAAGUGGCAUUCUAGAAGAAAUUAAGCAACAAGUAUAUAUAUUUAGAAUGAACUGUUGAAAAACAACAGUAAGGUGAUCUCAAAUAUCAAUAAAAAUUGAAGUUAAUUAUUAAAUUAAUUAAAAGAGGAAAAAAAAAGAUUUAAAAAGCCUACAAAUUCUUUUCAUUUUAAUCAUAGGUAUUAAUCGAAGAUUUCAAUUUAAUUCAUCUUUCCCCUCCUAAUUCCUUACUGCAAGACCUAGACAGGGUUAGAGAAAUUUGAUAGAGUUAAAGAAUGCUUAAAAGUAUCAUGGCUUAUUUUGUCUGAUCACUUAAAUAAAAUUCUACAUAUAGCUUAGGAAUUUAUUAGUGAAUACUUUCACAAAUGACUGAAAACAAGAAAUGGGUUAUGAAAGCUAGAUGGAGAGCUUUCAAAUAUUUCAGGUCUGUAAAAGAUUCGGAAAUUAAAUCAUAGGAAUUGAUAAUGAAAGCAAGAUUAGUGAGUUAAACCUACCUUUGAUUCUCCAAAAUUGAUCCAAAACCGAGCCAUGGCUCUCUCAUAAGCAUCUGUCGGCAGCAGUGGAUUCUCCGGCCAUGUUUCUUCAAUGUAUUCGAGGAUUACAAGGGACUCGGCUACUGCUCUGUCACCAUGAAGAAGCACCGGAACCUUCUUGUGAACUGGAUUGUGGUGUAACAACAACUGGCUCUUGCUACGAAGGUCUUCCUCAAUAUACUCAUAGUUUAUGCCCUUGAGUUUUAGGGUCCAUAUCACCCUGUAAGCAAAAGAGCUUGCCCAAAACCCUAAUAGCUUCACUCCUGCCAUUGUUUUCUAUUAUGCCAGCUCAAUUUGCUUGGGGAUGAGUUUCAAAUCUUUAAACUUGGAGGAAGAUGUGAUCCUUUCUCUUCAACCAAGGAUUUCAGCCUGUGUAAGGAGGAUUAUUCAUUUAAUUAGAUCUGUAAUAAUAUUUAUGUAUGAAGGGGUAUUUUCAAAUUAAGAAUCUUCACAAUGCCCUUAGCUAAGACUAUAUUAAUUGUUAUUAUUUUCUAUUAACAUGAAAAAGAAAAAAGAUAUAUUGACUAGUGACUCUUAAAGGUCAAUGAGUUAGGUAGAUUUUUAUUUCUGCCACUAAUAUAACAUUGCAGGUAGGUCCAUUCCUGGUUAUAAAUAUCCAAUUAGAAGAAGCUCUACCUUUUUCAUGGAAACGACAAAAAGGAAGAUUGAAAAAUCAAAGAAGUAACAUCAAGUGUUUAUAAAGCAUCAAUCAUUUCACUUGGACAAGAUGUUAAUUGCCAGAGUCGGUCAAUAGAAGAUAAGAUCUAGGAUGAAGACCCCGAAUAAGAAAGAAAAGGUGUGAGAAAAUUUAUGUAACAAUUAUUUCGAAUUCUAAAGCAAGUUUAGCAAUGAAAUAACUCCCUUAUAACCAUCAAUAUAUAUAUAUAUCAAUCGGGUGGUACAUUAGGUCAGAGUACUCACCAGCUCACAUCACCCAAGUCAAUGAAAUCCAAUACCUCAAUCUUAGUUCAACUAAAUAUACCUUCAUGAUUGGCUUAAGUAUGGGUAGCAUAUUGUUAUGAACUUUAAUGUAUAUUCCUUUAUUAUCUCCUAAAGGUUAGGAUUAGAUAAUUAUUUUAAUCUCCUCUCAUUUAUUUCCUUCGUAUAUAUGUAACUACUCUUCAAAUGAAUAAGAUGAGCCAUUAUUCCAUACUUUGUUAUAUGGCAUUAGAGCUCUUUCUACUCUUAUUGAGUUUCUUAAUUUGCCAUGGCUAACAUUUCUAUCACUAAUACUUCAAACUCAUCUAAUUUAGAUUUGUUAGCUUUUGUACCCAAUGUUUCAACUUCCAUUAUUAGCUCCUCAACUAGUUUCAUUUCCAUCAAUGUCAAUGCCAAACUUCUUUAAAAUUAACUUUUCAUAAUUAUUCUUCAUGGCAUGUCUAAUUUUAUGCAAUUCUCUUUUGCUAUAACCUUUUCGGAUAUGUAGAUGACUCUCUAUUGUGUCUUCCUAUUUUUGAGGCUUCUUCUCAUUCUUUUAGGCCAUGCCAAGAUCAACUCAUUUUUCAUGCAUUUUUGCCCCACUUUCAAAAUCUAUCAUGCCGCUCAUAAUUGCCUCAACCAAAACUUCAUGAAGCAUAGUUAAAAUUUACCAAACUUUAUGUUGGUCACUCUUAAAGUCACAUCCUUCAAUCCAAAGGAAAAAUUUCCUCAAGCACCCCUAGAGAAAAAAUUUUCUUAGAGUUUUUACAAAUAUUCAAAAGCCUUUGCGAUCAACUCACCCUUUGUCAUUCAACUUUGGAUGAAGAAGAUUUGUUUGUACACUCUCCGAAUGGAAUGGGAAAAAGAAUAAAAGGAAGUUGUUGUUGCCAUUCAAUCUAAAGAAAUUCCCAUUUCAUUGGAAGAACUUUAUCAUCAACUCAUAGAUCAUGAAGAGUUUAUGCAACAAGACUCUCUUAGCUCUGAAUUUGUUCCUAUGUCUACAAACCUAACUUGCUAUCAUAAACAAUCUCAUAUGUACUAGAAACUUCUAUUCUCCUUUGUUUUGCCUUAUUGAAAAACCUAGUUCAUAUCCGAAUUAUCUCACCAAUCAACCAUCAAAAUGAAAGCAAUCCAACCUAAAUCCUAAUGUCUGCCAAUAUUGUGAAAACUGAGUUUAGAUUGCCAAGAAUUGUUUGAAGCUCUUCCCUAAUCAACAUCUUUUCCAUGCCAGUACCAACUAUAGUAUCCCAUACCUCAUGAAUACCUUUCCUUAACUUAUUGAUUCAAGCACUUCGCACCAUGUUAUUAUUGAUUUAAGUAAUUUGGCCUUGCAUUUUGAACGUGAGAGUUAUGAUGAUACAGUCCUUAGUGAUGGUGAAGAUCUCGAUGACACACACUGUUAUGCUAAUUUCUCAAUUCUUUAUUUUACCAAAACCUUCCCUUUACAAAUGAUCUUUGUAUCACAUCAAUGCAAUUGUUUCUAAAUUUUGUUUAUCUCAAAAUUCUUCCAUUGAAAAUUUUUCCUUCAUAUUUUUACGUUAAGUAUCUUCAAAUGAUAGCACUACUAUUGCAAGGGUUAGGAUAAAGAUGGUGUUUACGAAUGCCACAACUUACAUAUGCUCUUAGAAAUUGCAUUCAUGCUCUUGGCACACUCAAGGAACCUUAGGUUUUCCAUUAAUAAUUGGGUCAUCUAUAGAAGCUCUUUAGAAGAUGACAAGAAAAAUUGAAACCCUAACCCCUAAUAGGGGUAUUUAUAGGGCUCCUUAUGAGCUGAAGUGAUUUCAGCUUAAAAUGGGCUUAGGUCCUAAUUAAUUAAUUAACUUUAAUGGGAUCUAAUUAAUUAAUUAGUCCUUACCAGAAAGAUAAUUCAUAAGAUCUAGUGCAACCUUACAUUUUGAUUAAAACACCCUUAUACACACUUAUGAAUCAAAACUCAAAUCCCUUAAAAUAAACGUGUACCUUUAUAAAAUAGAAACUCAAGCGUGGACCAUUGGGACCCAUAGGAAAAUAUUAGUUCCUUUAUAAUUUAAUUCUAAAGUUGAUUCAAUACUCCACUAAAGAUCAUCAAUUGCACUCUAAUAUUAUAAUAGCAUAGCUCAGGUUCAUGCCUUACCAUCCAUAGCAUGCAGACUCCUUAUGACUUGGUGUCUAUAAUCUAACAUGGUAUUGCUAUCAUCUUUAAGAUUACCUCUCCAAUCCUUCUGUUAUAGAUCCCACUUAUUAUGUGAUCAAUUAACAUACUUUAACUCCAAGGAACAUAUGUCAAAUUUCUACUGAAGGAAAUGAUCUGACCAUAGGCUUCUAAAUCACAUGUUCUUUGGAUCACUUAAGAAGAGACACUAUCUCAAUUUAAUGAGAAAUUGUGGUGCCUCUAUUGAGAAUAUCUAUUGCCAUUAGGCUUCAUCAAUAGUAACCCAAUUCAUAGGGACAUAUGGUCACUUUAAGAUCUCACCCAUAAGUCAACGUCUCCUAUUGAUUUUGGCACAGACUUAACACCUUCUCAAGGUUGAGAGUCCAUGUAGUAUAAUAGCUUAGUGAAUUGUGAUAACCGAUAGCCUUAUGUCAUGAUUCACUAUAGGUCAUGUCCAAUGUGCAUCACAUACACUAUUGCACUCACUAUGAGAAAAUCAUCCCAAUGACCAAGAUAAGUCAUUCCUUUAAUUACGAGAUAGUGCAUUACAGUCUCAAAUGAAUUGCCUAAAUCUAUGAACCAACUGUGAAUUACUCAUCACUCUACAAGGUACCCAUGACUUGGAUCUUCAAUGCAGUUCCUAAUGCGCCCAAGUCAUGUGCAAUGCAAGUAAUGUGGGUAUGUAUGUUUAGAUAACCAAUUAAUGCUCAUGUAACUAAAAAACAUAGAUAAAUAAUUUUAUAAAUGAAUCUCAAUUUGUUAGAUCAUUUCAUUUUUUCUAAGGCUUAAUCCUAGCAAUAUAUUCCUUAUGAAUUUGGUCACUAAUGAUGGAGGUUAGUUGUAAUAGAUAUCUUCAAUAAAGACACCAUGAUAUCUCAUGGUAUUGAGACAAUGGGUCUUCUUAAAACUAAAGUUGCAGUAAUUUCUUAAGUGGAAUUUGACAUAUAUUCUUUAUGAGUUAAAGUAUGUUAAUUGAUCACAUAAUAGGGGGAUCUGUAACUCAAGAAUUGAAAAGGUAAUCUUGAGAGGUUGAUAGCACAUAUCUCCUUGAUUACAAAUACCAAUUCACACAGUCUAUGUGCAAUGGGUAGUAGGUUAAAGACCCAAGCUUUAUCUCAUUAUAAUAUCAUUGGAUACUAGAGUGUAGUUAGCUCUCUUUAGUAGAGUGUUUAGUAAUUUCAUAAUUAGAUUAUGAGGGAACCAAUAUUUUCUUAUGGGUCCCAAUGGUUCCUGUUUCAGCUCUUGAUUCAUGUUGGCAUGUUUGAUUGAGAGAAUUAUGGGUUUUUAAUUCCUAAGUGUGCAUAGGGGCAUUUUGAUAAAAAUAUAAGGUUGCACUAGAUCUUAUGAAUGAUCUUUCUAGAUUUGGCUAAUUAAUUAAUUGAAGUCUAAUUGAGUGAAUUAAUUAAUUAGGACUACAAUGGACUAGAUUAAGUGACCUAAGCCUAAUUUGGGGUAAAGUCACUUAAGCCCACAUGGAACCCUAUAUAAAUCCCCUUAAAGGUUUAGGAUUUCAUUUUUUGCAUCCUCGUCUUUCAAACUUUGGAAAAGAAAUACCUUGCCUCCUUUUAGAUAAGUCCAUCGUUAUCUUGUGCCAUAGAUAUGUGAAAUGAGUGAUAAAGUAGAAGAUCUUUAGAUCUACAAGAUCUACGAUGCCAACCUAGAUCUAUCCAUUAAGACUUAAUGAUCCACCACUAAACAUGAUUUAACUAAAAGCGAAUGAUGCAUACCUAACUUUUUCUUUAGGAAUUCAAGGCUCUCCUUUUUCUAGUGGCUUUUCUUUUCAGAAAGGAAACACUUGCCCUUCCCAUUGCUCUUCUUACUCAUUUUCUUAAACUUUUGCUUUUGUUUGAUGUUCUUUGAAUUGUUCUUCUUCUUCUUCUUCUUUUUAGAAGAACCUGAAAAACCCUUGAUUAUCAUAUGACUACCUUCUUAGUCGUUGAGAAUCCCCUCAGUCAUCCGAGUUCCCUUAUAAUUUUAGGUAAGCUCAUCACCAAUUUAUGCAUAGUAUAGUUGAACUUGAACUACCUGAAGGAAUCCAACAAGGUUCGAUCUAAAACUCAAACAUCAUCUUUAUGUUUCUGAGUUUAGAAAGAAUUUGAUUCCAGUUUCUAGUUACGUAAAUCGAAUUGUUCAAUGUUUUUUAAUAAACAAGUUAUUAUUAAAAUGAAUAAUUCAAUUAUAUGCUCAAGACCAUUGAUUAAUAAUCUUUAUCCUAUGACUGCAUUAUCAUUAUUGUUAAGUAAUGAGAAUAAUCAUAUCUCACUUAAAAGAAAGCAACCCAUCACUAAUCAAAAACACUUUUGACACUUAAACUUAGGUUAUACUAAUCUAAAUAGGAUCCAAAGGCUACUUAAAGUCUAGAAUAUUGCACUCUUUCAUUCCAAAGGAUCUUUUAGUCUGAAAAUCCUAUAUGGAAGGUAAAAUAACUAAGAAGCCAUUUACUACUAUAGGAUACAAAGUCAAAGAAUGUUUGGAGUUAAUGUAUAUUGAUAUGUGUGGACUUUUGAAUGUCGAUGCAUGGUGAGGGUAUGAGUACUUCAUCACCUUUACAAAUGAUUACUCUAUAUAUUUACCUAAUGCAUAGAAAAUCCAAUGCCUUAGAUAAAAUUCAUUAGAUUUAAGGUGGAAUAAAAAAACCAAUUAGGUAAACAUAUCAAGGCACUUCAGUCUAAUUGCGACGGUGAGUAUACAUCACCUGGUUCAAUUAUUUCCAUAAGGAGCAUGAGAUUAUAUCUUAAUUGAGUGCAACUAAAACUCCAUAGUAGAAUGGAGUAGUGGAAAUAAGAAAUCAAACUUUGAUGGACAUAGUGAGAUUUGUGAUGAGUUUUUCAUCACUUCUUGUAUCCUUGUGGGGAUAUGCCUUAUUUUCCUAUGGGUACUAGCCCAUUCAAGCUCCUGAUUCAUUGUGGCAUGUUUGUUUAAGGGAAUUAUGAGUUUGUAAUUCAUAAGUGUGCAAUGACAUUUUGGUAAAAACACAAGGUUGUUUUGGAUCUUACGAACGGUCUUUUUGGAUUUGCCUAGUUAAUUAAUUGGAGCAUGGUAGGUCUAAUUAAUUAAUUAAGAUCCAAAUGAGCUAUAUUAAGUGGCUUAAGCCCAAUUUAGACUCAAGUUACUUAAGUCUACAAGGAAGCCUAGCAUCCUUAGACUCAAUAGGGCUUUAGUUUUUACAUCAUUGUUUUCUAGUUUCUAGAAAAGAAACUCCUAGCAUCCCUUUAGAUAACCCACCCUUAUCUUGUGGUAGAGAUCUAUGAAAGUAGUGAUUCGAUGGAAGAUCCAUAGGUUUACAAGAUCUAUGAUACCAUCAUAGUUUAUUUCAUUGGAUUGGAUUUGUUCUGGGAAUAUCUAGAUCAUAGUAUGACAUCUAAUCGUAGAUCUAUGAUCAUUAUGGUGUUGUUUACCAUAUUUCUUCAUUGAGUUAGAUUUAGAGAAGGUUAGGCAUAGUUGCAUGCACUCUACAAGAUCCAGGGCUAGAGAAUAGAGUAAUUCAAGGUUCCUAGCAUCCUCUUAUUUCAAGAAUUUAAUAUAUAGAUAUUUAGGAUAAGAAAUGUUAAGAUAAAGCCCUUAAGAAUAUAUUAUCAUGUAACAAAAUAAGAUUCAUUAAUAUAUUUAAUUAUAAUUUUAGUUUCCACUUUUCUAUCCAUGAUUGUAUUAUUACUCAUGGGAGUAUUUAGGCUUGCAUCACUUGGAUUGCACAUGAAUUGAGUGCAUUAGAAGAUUGGUGGAAAAUUUAAGUCAUUGGUUCUUUACAAGUUGAUGAGUUGUUCACAACCAAUUCAUGGACUUAGGCAAUCCAUUAGAGAUAGUAGUGUGCUACCUCUUAAUUGAAGGGCUGACUUAUCUUGAUCAUCAACAUAGAUUUCCCAUGAUGAGUGCAAUAAUGUGUAUGGUUACACAUUGGAUAAAACCUAUGACAAAUCAUUACAUGGGAUAUCGUAUGGUUAUGACUUCACCAAGUUACAAUGUUGCAAGGACUAUCAACCUUGAGAGAAUAUUGAACUUGUGUUGAGCUCUGCAAUGACUUAAACUUAUGAGUGAAACUCUAAGGUUGUCAUAAAUUGUCUAAGAAUUGAGUCCCUGAUGUUUAAGGCAAGUGGUAAUAGGUGUACUCAAGGUAGACAUCAUGAUAUCUCAUGGGACUGAGAUAAUGUCCCUUGGGGUGAUCUUAGGGACUUGUGAUCAUUAAAUCUAUGGCUGCAACAAUUCCUUAAGUGGGAUUUAACAUAUGUCCUUUGUGUAUUAGAACAUGUUAAUUGAUCACAAAAAAUAAGGAUUUGAAAUUCAAGAAUUAUAGAGACAAUCUUGAUAUGUUGAUAGCUACUAUCUUAUUAGAUUGUGCACACUAGUUCAUAAGAAACUUGUAUGUAGUGGAUUUAAUAAAUGUUAUCUCAAUGUAAUAUCAUAGGGUAUUUAAGUGAAAUUGACUUUUUUCAGUGGAAUAUUGAGUUAACUUUAUUAUUGGAUUCUAAAAUAGUUAGUUUUUUCCAAUGUUCUUAAAAUCCAACCGGACUGACCAAUUUGACUGAUCGAACCAUAGACUGGAACUUGGUUCGGUUCAUUCCAACCUAUGGCCCAGAGUACAUAUUGAACCAGGCUUAAACUGAAUGGAUUGACAGUUGGACCAUUAAACCUGUGAAUUGAUCAUUCGGUUCUGGGUUGACAUUUUUUUUCCUCGCUAAAGGGUGGUUAGGAGCCCAACCUAGUUCACCCUACUUUAGCCUACCAUAUAAGGCUAGUGGGCCAAGGACCACAUAAAGCUACAAUACGAUACAUGGGACAAAGAAUUUAAAGGAGUGUUCAUCCUCCUCUGCUUCCACAACUCCCAAUGUGGGAUGAGAUAUAAAAUCCAUACAAUUUUCCACAACUUCUCAUGUGGGAUGAGAUAAAAUACAUAAGCUAUAAUGCAAUUGGCAAUUGACAACCAGAUGAUUUGAACCAAUUUGUUACUAAUAAUUGAUAUUUAAAAAUUGUAAACUAAAAAACCAAUAACAUAAUUAUUUAAAAAUUGUUUUGAUAAUAAAAAAAAUAUAAGUAAAAUAAUGUAAUAUAGGUAAAAUAAAUUAUAAAUAAAAGAAUUUUCUUCUAUUGUAAUACAUAUUUUAUUUAUAAAAUUUAAAAUAUUAAUAUUUUUAGAUUUACUCAUGAUUUAAGUUUGAUAAUAUUAAAGACAAUAUAUAUAUAUAUAUAUAUAUAUAUAUAUAUAUAUAUAUAUAUAUAUAUAUAUAUAUAUAUAUAUAUAUAUAUAUAUAUAUAUAUGCUUUAAAAUUUUAAAAUUUAUUUUUAAUUUUAAUAAUAAAUAAAUUAUAUAUUUAUGACAUCAUCGAUUCGAUUGCAGUUUGACCAUUGGUUUGACCAUUGAAUCGUGAACUGGUAACUUUUUUAGUUCAAUGACCGAUCCAAUUAUGAAAAAAUUGGUUUUUUCUUAUAAGCUUUAGUGGGCCUUGCUUGAACUCGUAAUCUUUGUUAGAACAAAGACUUGAGGGAAAUUGGGUUUAUUUAAUCAUAUGUCUGCAUAAGAGCAAUUUGAUAAGAAUGCAAGGUUGCACAAAAACUUAUAAUUAUUAUUUUAGGUUUCCUAAAUUAAGCUAAUUAAUUAAUCGGAGUCCAUCAGUGCUAAUUAAUUAAUUAAGAUCCAAUGGUCUAGAUUAAAUGAUCUAACCUCCAGUGGGCCUAAGUUACUUAAGCCCACAAGAGUGACUAUAACUUCUUAGGGUUUAGGGUAAGCUAACAAAGAAAUCCAUCUAUUCAUUCUUUAUUCUUCUAAAGAAAACCUUAUUCAUCUUUUCUCUCUCAAGGUUGUGUAGCCACUUUAGACACAUGACAAGGAUCAAAGACAAAUCUUUUGAGUGGAACACACCUAGUUUUUGAGAUCUCUACAUUAACUUGAAUUUGAUCUAGGAAAAUCCAUGUUGAAUUGUAUGUCUUUUAGCACCUAAAUCUAAGUGUAGACCCUUCAUUUUGUCUCCUUAGCACAUGCCCUAUGAGGUGUUCUUUCAAUAUUUCACAGUAGUUCUCUAGUUGCCCAUUGCUACUCAUGCAACUUUUCUUUUUUAACCACCUUGGAGACUUUGAAUGAGGGAUUUAUCUAGCCCCUCAUUGUGACCCUUGGCAACCUUGAGUUAGAUCUAAGUUUUUUUUUUCUUUUUAGGAUAACUCAUUUAGGUACACUUUCACUUAGACACAUCCUAGGUCACCUAGCCACUUUUCUUAUCACCCUAGGUCACUUAGGCACUUUUCUAAUCAUCCUAGGUCACUUAGACACUUUUUUUAAUCACCUUAAGUCACUUAGACACUUUUUUUUUUUUUUUUUUUUAUCACCUAGGUCCACUUAGAUUCAUUUAGGCCCACCUUAGACCCAUCUAAGCCCACUUAGCCCACUUAGGUUCACUCAAGCCUAUUUAGGCCCAUCAGAUCCACAUUAGGCCCAUCUAGGCCCACUUGACCCAUUCAGGUUCACUCAAGCCCAUUUAGGCAGAUUUAGGCCCACUUAGGUUCUCAUUUGGCCCAUCUAGGCACACCUAAGGCCAUUUAGGCCAUUUAGGUCAUUUAGGUCCAUCUAGGAUCACCUUAGCCCAUUUAGGUAACUUAGGCACAUUUUGGUACACCUUAGGCCCAUUUAGACUCACCCUAGCCCAUUUAGACACAUCUAAGCCCAUUUAGGUCAAUUAGGCCCACUUAAGCAUGCCUUGACCCAUUUAGGUCACUUAGGCCCAUUUAGGCAUCUCAACCCAUUUAAGCACACCUAGGCCCAUUUUGGAACCUUGGCCCAUAUCUGGCCCAUUUAGGCAUACCUAACCUAUUUAGGAAUACCUUGACACAUUUAGGCACACUUAGCCUAUUUAGGAACAACUUGGCCUAUUUAAGCACAUUUGACUCGUUUAGGCACACCUUGACCCUUUUAGGCAUACUUGGCUUAUUUAGGCACAUUUGACCCAUUUAGGAAUGUCUUGGCCUAUUCCAACCAAGGAUGAAAGUAUCAGUAAUUACGAAUAUAUUGGUAUUUCCGUUUAUGGAUAUAUCUGAUAUAUCGACGGAUAUUUUGACAUAAAAUAUCGGUGAACUUAAAAUUGAUCAGAAAUUAUAAAAAUGUAAGAAAAAACUAUUAAAAAUAAAAUUACAAGUAUAAUAGAUAUUUUAAAGUUGUUUUAUUCAAGAAAUUGAUAUAUGUAUGAUAUAAUUUAUCAUAUUUGAUAAUAAUAUUAUAUGUGCUAAUAAAAAAAAAUGAAUUUUAUAAGUAUACAUUUAUUAUUAAAUUAUAUCAAAUAUUAUUCGAUAAUAAUAUUUGUGAUAUUUGAUUAUAAUAUGUCUAAUUUAAAAAUGUAUUUAAUAUUAAAAUUAUAAUUCGUUUAAUUCAAUUGUAUUAAAUGAUAUAAAAUAAAUGAUGAUAUAUGUAUAAUUUUUAAUACUUAAUUAAUAUAUUAAUGAUAUUAAAAACACUAUGAAGAAAAUUAUCACAAUAAUUUUUAUAUUUUUAGUAUUCAAAUAGAUGAAAUUUUUUCAUUUAAUUAUAAUUAAUUUGUUCUUUAAAACAUUUUUAAAAAUUAUGUUUAUACGAUGAAUUUGAGUUUAUAUAUAUUUGGUGCAACUUAUAUAACAAGGGACAAACUUGCCCUACUGGUUGGCUUAAUGCAUAGUAAACCUUUUGGUUGGGGUUAACAUUCAAGUUCCAGCUCAUGUUAGCUCAUUUAGUCUCACUUAGAUCACUUAUGUUCACUUUAAGUACACUUAAGCUUAGUUUAUCUAGUUCAUUUUAAGAAGUUUUCUCUAAGUUGCACUUUAGAAUAAUUAUUUUAGAGGCAUAUUUAGUUCAUUCUAGUUUAGGUACACUUUAGGAUAGUUCUCUUAGAUGCAUAUUUAGUUCACCUUAGUUUAGAUGCACUUUUUCAUUUUAGUUGAACUAAUGUUCAUGCCAUUUAGGAACACUCUAAGUUAGUUCAUCCAUUUCUUAUUUAGGUAUAUUAUCUAGUUACAUUUUUUUAGAAUUCGUUUUAUAUACAUUUUAAAAAGGAGAGUGAGAAUUUUUUUAAGGAAUAUGAUAACUUUUUUUUUAUUUAUAUAAAAAAGGAAGAUAUGACAAUUUUUGAAGAUGGCAUCAAUUUUUUUUUUUUUUUAAAAAGAGAUGAAAAUUAUUUUGAAGAUGACAACAAUUUUUUUUAAAGGAGAAGGAAAAUAAUUAAAAGGAAUAGAAGAUAAGAUUUUUUUUUUUUUUUUCUUUUAAGAUGGUACCAUUUUAAAAAAAAAAAGGAUAGAAGAUAUGAAUUUUUUUUUUUAAAAGGAAAAGGAGAAUUUUUUUUAAAAGGAAUAUGAGUAUUUUGGAAGAGGAUAUCAUAAUUCUUUUAUAGAGGAUAUUUGAGUUUAGAAAAGAAGGACACAUAUAAGGAUUCAUGGACUAGAGGACCCGACCAUAUUGAGAAGAAUAGAGAUUCAUGCAUUUUAGAGAAGACUACUCACCAUCUUGGAUUAGGAAAAGUGUGGUGGUUGUCAUUGACUUGCCAAAACAGAUUUCAAGCAUGCAUUUGAGGAAAAGAUUGGGGGGACAUCAUUAAGGAAGAGAAAAACCUAGACAUGAAUGGAGAUUGAUUUUUUCUUUUUUCUUAUUUUUUUUUUAAGAAAAAAAAAGAAAAGAAAAGAAAGGAAAAGAGAUUUUGGGGAAGAAAACAUGAUGAACAGUCGAUGAAAGGAAGGGGACAUUUAGGAAGAAGAAGAGAUCGCCUUCUUUUGAGAGUAAAAUGAGACGUUUUGAGGGAUUCAGAGGGGUUUUAAGGGAUUUUUUUUUUUUUUUAGCAAUUUGGAGAGGGAUCAAUAGCCUUUCGUGGGGGUUCUCAAACUUUAUCUUCAUAUCAUAAUUUGAAGAAGAAGGUGAGUAAGUUUAGAAAAUGUUGGGAUUUAUUUUUUCUGGUUGUUAUGUAUUAUUCUGGGUUUUGUAUAUUGUUUUAUGUUAUUGAAGUUUUGAUUUUUAUUGAGUGCUUAGAAAAUUGUUAGCACUGUUGUGAAAUAAGGACAAAUACAAUGCAAAUCAAAGUAGUAAAGAUGGAAUAUAUUUUACUUUGAUAUAUAAUAGGGAAGAAGAAAUCAGAUACGAGAGUUGAGAAAGUUGAGAGAAUGAAAAACAGAGAUAAUGAGAUGAAGAAAAUUUCUUUCUUUUUCUCGGGAUGUAUAUUGCAGGAGAUGGGAAGCCCUUUUAUAGGCUUUCCAAAUGGCUUCCAUUAAUAUCCCCAUUAAUGAAACUCAUAAAUAACAUUAAUGGUUUCUAUUAAUGAGUAUUAAUGGAAGUCAUAAAUAAUACUUAAUUAACAUUACUGUGGUGACAUUCAUUACUUCAGUUAUAACACUCCCCCUUGGAUGUUCAUCACAUUGAAGAAUAUGCCUCAUUAAAACCUUACUAGUAAAAAACCCUAUAGGAAAAACCUAGCAAAGGAAAAAGAGUACAAUAUUCUUUUCUAGGUAUAUUAGGAUUGCCUCGUUAAAAACCUUACUAGUAAAACCCAGUAGGACAAAACUUGGACGAAGGAAAAAGAGUACAGUACACUAACACCCUUUUACAAGCAUACUUCCCUUAAGUCGAUAUCAUUGAGUUGACGUAUUCCAAUCAUGUGUAUUAACUUCUUGAAUAUUGAGGUUGGCAAUGAUUUUGUGGUAAAUCUGCUAGAUUAUCACUUGAGCAUAUUUGUUGCACAUCAAUUUCACCACUCUUCUGGAGUUCAUGUGUAUAAAAGAAUUUUGGUGAAAUGUGUUUAGUUCUAUCUCCUUAAUAUAACUCCCUGUUAUUUGUGCAAUGCAUGCUGCAUUAUCUUCAAAUAAUAUUGUCGGGUCACCUUUGAUAGAGGAGAGUCCACAUGAUUCCCGAAUAUGCUGGAUCAUAGAUCUUAGCCAUAUACAUUCACGACUUGCUUCAUGAAUUGCUAGUAUUUUUGAAUGAUUUGAUGAUGUGGCCACCAUUGUUUGUUUGACAGAUCUCCAUAAAAUAGCAAUACCAUUGCAAUUAAAUACAUACCCUGUUUGUGACCUACCUUUAUGUGGAUCUCAAAGAUAUCCUGCCUCUGCAUAUCAAGCAAUUGUUGCUUUGAUUCCCUUGAGUAAAAUAAAUCCAUAUCAGUAGUUCCACGAAGAUAACGCAAUAUAUGUUUGAUACCAUUCCAAUGUUUUUGAGUUAGAGCGGAACUGUAUCUUGCUAAUAAAUUGACAGAAAAAGCAAUGUCUGGAUGUGUACAAUUGGCAAGAUACAUAAGUGCACCAAUAGCACUAAGAUAUGGUACUUCAGGACUAAGUAACUCUUCAUCUUUUUCGCAAGGACGAAAUGGGUCAUUUUUCACAUCAAGUGAUCGGACAACCAUUGGAGAACUUAAAUGAUGCACUUUAUCCAUAUAAAAACGCUUCAAAACUUUCUUAAUGUAUGUUGAUUGAUGUACUAAAACUCCAUUUGAAAAAUGCUCGAUCUGUAGGCCAAGACAAAAUUUUGUUUUUCUAAGAUUUUUCAUCUCAGAUUCUUUUUUCAAGUAAUUUGUUGUUCUUGUGAGCUCUUCAGGAGUUCCAAUAAGAUUUAAGUCAUCAACAUACACUGCAAUAAUUGCAAAUCCGAUUUCUGAUUUCUUAAUGAAGAUGCAUGGGCAUAUAGGGUUAUUCACAUACCCUUCUUUUAGCAAGUAUUCGCUAAGGCGAUUGUACCACAUGCAUCUAGAUUGCUUUAAUCCAUACGAGGAUCGUUGUAACUUGAUUGAGUACAUGCUACGAGGCUUUGUACUAUUUGCUCAAGGAAAUUUAAAUCCUUUAGGGAUUUUCAUGUAUAUAUCAUUAUCCAUGGAUUCGUAUAAAUAUGUUGUAAUAACAUCCAUGAGACACAUAUCCAGUCCUUCUGAGACUGCCAAACUAAUUAAGAAAUGAAUUGUGAUUGCAUUCAUGACGGGAGAAUAUGUUUCCUUGUAGUCAAUACCAGGUCUCUGCGAGAAACCUUGUGCUACUAAUUGCACUUUAUAUCUUAUGAUCUCAUUUUUCUCAUUACGCUUUCGUACAAAUACCCAUUUGUACCCAACAGGCUAUACAUCUUUAGGUGUUUGGACUACAGGUCCAAAAACUUCUCGUUUUGUUAAUGAGUUUAACUCUGCCUGUAUAGCUUCUUUCCAUUUUGGCCAAUCAUUUUUAUGUCGAUAUUCUUCCAUAUUUCGUGGUUCGGGAUCUUCAUCAUUUCCUAUGAUAUCAGAGGCCACUUGGAAAGUAAAAAUAUUGUUAAUAACAAUAUUAUUUCGAUCCCAUUUUUCUCCUAUGUGUAUAUAACUUACUGAGAUCUCACAAUUUUCAAGUACCUAUGCCUCUUCAGGGGCUUCUUAUUCAAUAUGUGCCUCUUCGGGGGCUUCUUGUUCAAUAUAUGCUUCUUCAGGGGCUUUUUGCAUUAUUUGUGCCUCUUCUAGGGCUAUAGAUUUAUCAAUUUUAAACUGAUCAGUCAUUUUGAUGGCCUAUUUUAGAGUGCCAAGUUUUUCUUGGGUUCUCCUCUUUCGGGGAGUUACAUCCUUUGAGUCAACAGGUCUACCACGCUUCAGGCGUAUCUUAGAUUCAUUUGUUAACUGUCCUAUAGGGACAUCAAUCCUUGCUGGAGUAUUUGCAGCCGGGAUAUGUGACUUUGUCACUUUCUUUGUAUCAAUGAAUGCAUCUGGUAAUUGAUUUGCAAGAUUUUGCAAAUGAAUGAUCCUUUGAGCUUCUAGUUCAAAUUGAUUUGUACGAGGAUCAAGAUGAGUCAUAGUAGAUGCCUUCCAACUAAUUUCUCAUCGAUCUUCAUGAAUCGACUUUUCUCUCCCCUAAUGAUGGGAAAACACUCUCAUUAAAAUGACAAUCCGCAAAGCGGGCUGUAAAAACAUCGCCUGUCAAAGGUUCAAGAUAUCUCAUGAUAGAUGGAGAAUCAAAACCUACAUAAAUCCCAAGUCUUUGUUGGGGACCCAUUUUAGUGCGUUGUGUAGGUGCAAUUGGUACAUAUACUGCACAACCAAAGAUUCGUAAGUGAGAGAUAUUUGGUUAUUUUCCAAGCACAAGUUGUGAAGGGGAGUAUUCAUGGUAAGUUGUAGGUCGAAUACGGACUAAAGUUGCAACAUGCAUAAUAGCAUGUCCCCAGGUGGAAGUAUGUAAUUUGGUUUUCAUUAUUAAUGGUCGAGCUAUUAAUUGGAGACGUUUGAUGAAGGAUUCUGCUAAACCAUUUUGGGUAUGAGUAUGAGCAACAGGAUGCUCAAUAUUUAUCCCUACUGACAUGCAAUAGUCAAUGAAUGUUUGAGAAGUAAAUUUGCCAGCAUUAUUAAAACGUAUUGUCUUAAUUGGAUAAUCUGGAAAUUGUGCUCGUAAUCUGAUUAUUUGUGCAAGGAGUUUAGCAAAGGCAACGUUACGUGUAGAAAGGAGACAAACAUGUGACCACCUAGUAGAAGCAUCUAUUAAGAUCAUAAAAUAACAGAAUGGUCCACAUGGUGGAUGGAUAGACCCACAUAUGUCCCCAUGUAUUCUUUCUAAAAAGACUGGUGACUCAGAUAUGACUUUAGUAAAAGAUGGUCUGAUUAUCAAUUAACCUUUUGAGCAAGCAGCACAUGAGUAUUCAUUGGGCGUAAGAAUCUUCUGGUUCGUUAAUGGAUGACCAUGUGAGUGUUCGAUUAUUUGAUGCAUCAUUGAAGACCCUGGUUGACCUAGCCUGUCAUGCCAAAGGACAAAAACUUUUGGGUCGUUGAACUUCUGGUUCACGACAACAUAUGAUUCAAUAGACUUUAUGGUUGUAUGAUACAACCCAGAGGAGAAAGCCGGGAGUUUUUCCAUUAUAAGCUUCUGACCAGAUAUAAUGGAAGUAAUGUAAAGAUAUUCUACAUUAUCUUCAUUUAUAGUUUCAAUAUGAUAUCCAUUUCUGCGGAUAUCUGUAAAACCGAGCAAAUUUCUUCUAGAUUUGCUAGAAUAUAAAGCAUAAUUUAUAUGAAAUCUAGUUCCAUUUGGUAACAUUAUGUUUGCUCUUCCAGAACCUUCAACUAAGUUUGUAGUACCAGAUAUGAUACUUACAUUAGCUUUUAUUAAUGUCAAUUCGAGAAAAUAUAUUUUAUCUCGAAGAAUUGUGUGCGUGGUCGCACAGUCUGCGAGACAUACAUCAUUCUCAUUCAUCUUGAGACCAAAUAACACAUGGAUUUCAGAUAUAACAAAAAAAAACAAGGCAUAAUGUAAAUAACAAAAGAAAAUUAGAUGUAAAUAUAAGACAUAAUAAUAUAUUAUUUCAUAUACAAAGUAACAUCAAUCAAUGUUAAUUUUCUCAUCAUUUAUCAAAUGGUUUGUUUUUUCAUUGGGACCUCCAAAGAAAUCAAUGUCAUAGUAGGUUAGGUCCAAUCCAUCUCCAUCGGUAAAGUUCAUCUCUAUCUCUUUUCCUUUUACUUUUAUUGAUGCUUGGUAGAGGUCAACCAAAUGUUUGGGCGUACGACAGGUACGCGACCAAUGCCCCUUCAUAUCACAUCUAUAACAAUUAUUCUCAUGGUUCUUAGGAGGUUUAUCUUGUAAACGCUUCCCAUUUUCAUAUUUUGCCUCAGUAUUGUUCCAUUUCGUAUUGUUCCACUUCUGGUGGUGCAAUGAGGCUUUCAUUUUAUGAGAAUUAUUAUUACAAGAACCAUGGUAUCGGGGAUUUCUUCCAUGACCACAACCACGUCCUCAUCAACUCCACGAGUUUGGGACAAUAUUGCAUUCAUUUUAAGGAAUGAUUCAGAUCCAGUUGGAUGAGAUUAGUGAUUUCUUAUCAAAAACUCUUUUUUUUUUUUAAACCUUCAUGGAGAUGAUUGAUUCGUGCCCACUUGGUGUCUCAGCUGAUUCAUGUCCAGCUGGUGCUCCUUGAUUGAGGGAGUAAUCAACAAAAUUUAUAACCUAUUACACCAUGUACUAGGGCAGCAAAGACAAAACUACUAUAGCAUAGUGGCUCUAGGAUCGUUCACUGGGAUGAGUUUUCACUUCACAAAUGAUAUUAAUUCAAAGUUGAAUUGGUGCCUUUUCAUUUCAAGGUUAGCUUUAAAAGAAAACAUAAACUUGAGUUGGAAAAUGUUUGGUUUUAAACUAACCACAAAUAGUAACUGAUUUUACUUACAAAGAAAAGUGUUUCUUGGAGCUCAAAUCACUAGGCUCAGGUUCCUCAUACAAAAAGGGGAGUUCCGGUCACUUGUUUCUUUUCCUCGCAUUAGAGAAUUAACAUAUAGUUCCUUCUCUAACCGGUGUUGUACAGAUGCUUCCUAUUAAUGGGUUCAAACACUAAAUUCCUCUCACUGAUGCACCUUGCAAUGGCUCAUGCCUCUCACCUAGCACUUGCCAUUCAAGAUGAUCUUUAACCUUGGACUUCCCUUCAAAAGCUCGCAAGAGAUAACUAAUGGAUGUCUCCUUGGAGUCCAAAAGCUUACCAAGUGUUGGCUAUUCUAGAAAAUCCUACCUUCAAACCACCUCCCAAAGGCUCGCAAGAGAUAAACUAGUGAAUCUCCAUGGACGGAGAUCACUUGCCUUACCAAGUGUUGGCCCAGGUGAUUUAAAGGCGUUUUAAGUUAACUAAAAAGAUAAAAACCAUUAACGGGUCACACUUUCUCUUCAUUAAAAACUAAAACAACAAAACUUCCAAAUUAUGCAUGUGGAAACUUACCCGGAUUUCGUCACUCCAAGAGACGAAAAGCCUAGCCUCUCAUCCUCUGAGGAAAAAUCCUUAGAGUUUGGUUAGCAAGAAAAUGAAAAUGAAAGAGAAGGAAAAAAACAGAGCAAGGCUCUGUAUAUUCUAUAUAUUUAUAUAUCUAUAUAUCUAUAUAUUUUACAGUGGAUGCAAGGGAAUAUAUAUAGAGACGUUUUUCUAACCUUCCUAACUAAGAAAUCUUAUGGUUGGUGGAUUACAAGGAGAAGAAUGGAAAUUUAUACAAAAAUAUCUGAAGAAAAAUAUCCAAAAGUGUCGGUCGCAACUAUCAGGAAGCUUCAGGAGAACACCCGUGCACUGUGCAAAAUGGCUGCGAAAUUCUUGCAGCAAAAGGGUGAUUUCGCAGCCGUGCAAAAUUCUUCCUUCAGCUUGGAGUGAUUGGGUUCCAAUGGCUGUAACUCCUUCAUUUCAACUUCAAAUCGCGCACCGUUUGAAGCAUUGGAUUCUUGACUUCCUGAGCUUUGAAAUGGUAUAUAGCAUGUAGAAAAUGGACUUCAGGAAGUGCUCCAAAAGUGCGAAAGAAGACUGCAGCUGCUAUCCUCUAUUUUCUUCACUCUGUUUUUCCUCUCUCUGUUGUUCUUUCCUUGCAUACUUUGAACGACUUUGGCAAAGGGCUAUGGAGCUCCAAAGCUUGGUUCUUCAUGAAUUUGAGCUUCCAAAAGCUUUGCCAUGAACUAUAUACAACUCUCCCUCAUUCUUGGAUUGCUUUGGUGUAGCUAAAAGCUAUCAAAAACACCAAAACUUAACACAAUUUGAUUAGAAACGAUUGCAAGGGUCCUUAACAUGUCAAUUGAGUUAAAAGGUAAUAAUUACUACUCAAGAGUGUUUAAAAGAGUUAAUUACAAGCUAUGAAAUAACACUUUUUGAGUAGUAAUCAAUGAUGACGAAGGAAAAUCACUGUUUUUACGCGAUCCUGCAAGGAUGCUUGAUUUCCUUCUUUGAUCACAGCUCCAAGAUUCAUUGCAUUAAGAUGUAUUUUAGCAUCAAAGAUCCAAGAAUGAUAGUUAUUUCCCGAAAUGUCAAGUGCCACAAAUUCGAGUUUUGUGAUAUUCGACAUUGUCAAAUAACUUCAUAUAUAUGACAAAACAAUAUUAUUAAAAUCAAUUAUAAUAACUUGAUAGCAUUGGUAUAACUUUGAUUAUAAACAAAAUCAAAUAAUUUGUUUAUAACUUUUAAGAAUAUGUAACAAAACAAAUGAACAAUAAUAUAAAUAUGUAAAAUUUUAUUCUAUAUAAAUAACUUCAAGUUUAAGAUACGAGAAUUACCUUUAGAGCAAUUCGUGCUGAUAACGUGUUGUGAAAUAAGGACAAAUACAAUGCAAAUCAAAGUAGUAGAGAUGAAAUAUAUCUUACUUUGAUAUAUAAUAGGGAAGAAGAAAUCAGAUAAGAGAGUUGAGAAAGUUGAGAGAAUGAAAAACAGAGAGAAUGAGAGGAAGAGAAUUUCUUUCUUUUUCUCCGGAUGUAUAUUACAGGAGAUGGGAAGCCCUUUUAUAGGCUUUCCAAAUGGCUUCCAUUAAUAUCCCCAUUAAUGAAUAUUAAUGAAACUCAUAAAUAACAUUAAUGGUUUCCAUUAAUGAGCAUUAAUAGAAGUCAUAAAUAAUACUUAAUUAACAUUAAUGUGGUGGCAUUCAUUACUUCAAUUAUAACAAGCACUUAUUUUUCUAGUUAUGUAUUAUCCCUGAUUUUGUAUAUUGUCUUAUGUUAUUUAAGUUUUGAUUUCUAUUGAAUGCUUAGAAAGUUUUUAGGAUUUAGUUUUUUUUUUUUCUAUUGAAUUCUUAGAAAGUUCUCAGGAUUUAGUUUUUCUUUAUCUUCAUGUCAUUUAGCAUGUUGUACUAUUUAUCUAAUUUUAUUAAAAAUCAAAUUUUGAAAAGUUUUGGUUUAAUUUAAUUUUCUCAACACUAUUCAUUUCAUUAGAAUUUUAUUAAAAAUAAAUUUUGAAAAGUUUAGUUUGAGUUUUAAUUUUUCGGUAAAAUCAAAUUUUAAAAAGUUAGUUUGAGUUGUAAUUUUCUAGUACUAUUUAUUUCAUUAAAAUUUUAUUAAAAAUCAAAUGAAAGGUAGGUUUUGGGAUCCAAGUUCACCUUUUCUCUUUUUUUUUUUUAAAUACCUCUAGGAAAGAAAUAAAAAAUCCUUAUUUUGUCUAUAUUGAUUGAAAUUUACUAAUUCACAUGGUCUCUUUUUUGUUUGCCCUAAAAUUAUUUUCAAAAGUAUUUAAAUCAUCAAAAGGCUUUAAAAAAAAAUUAUCCAUUCAAGGUUUAAGCAAAGAACAUAUUUUCUUUUAAAAUCAUGCAACUCAUUUCAUCUAAGUUGCAUUCUUUAUUUUUCGGUUUUUUGAAACUUUGUUUUCAUUCACAUAAGUUUAAACUUGUGCUCUCAAGCUAAUGAGAAUACUAGGUUAAACUUAUGAAUAUUCAAUGGAGACUUGAUGGAACCCUUACAUCAAAGAUUUUUAAAACUCAUGUUUGCUAUCAGUUUCAACUCAGCCACCGACCCUUUAUUAAAAAAAAAAAUUUGUUCUUGAUUGCUUGGAGUGUUUUUUUUUUUUUUUCAAAAAUAGUAUGAUGUUCCUUAUUCUUUGUAGUUGAUUUUGGAAGAAUGUUUCAACCAAAAAGCUUUUCUCAAAGUUGAGUUAUGAUAUUUUCUUUCCACACAUUAUAUUUAGCUUGAUACUAUACACACCGUGCAUGCUAGGAUUUAGAAUUUUACUAUUUGAAAUUGUUAUUUACUCUAGCCUCAUUUAUCUUAUGGAAGCACUUUGUAAAUUACUUUUGCUAUUCAAGUACGCCUCCUCACCAUUGAUCUCUUAAUUUAACAGUUGUGUAUGAUUCAUGUGUGAACGUCCCUUGCUAACUCUACUUUAUGUUUGUGAUUAACAAAGCUUACAUGUUUGUUUAAUAUAUUAUUAUAAUUUAGGUUAACACCUUAGCCUUUCCUAGUGUCCCUAAUCAAUUAGCUCAUUGUUAUAAUUUCCUCAAUUUAGUAAGUAGAGACCUUUUUAGGGCCUAGAGGGGUGCUUCCUCUGUGAGGUACCUUCCCAAUAGGUAACUAGAUUCUCGGACCAAGACUUGGGUUUUUCAAAGACAUGCUUUUCCAAAACUUAAGGCGUCAUUUUUUUAAGGGCUAUAGUUUCUUAUUUUAUUUAUUUAUUUUUAAAAUAAUAAUAAUAAUAAUAAGCAACGAAUCCAAUUUUCAUACAAAUAAUAGUUUUUUCACAAAAAAAAAAAAACAAGUAUUGUUGACGAGUGGGGACACACAUGAGAAAUUUAGGUCCACAAUAAGACUUUUUUUUUUCCUUGAAAAUUGUAUUUACUUCAUCUUAUGCUUAGAUCUUGUAGCCAUAAGGUCUUAGAUGCAUGCACUCAUGAUCCCAUCCUAACAAGUGGUGUGAGAGCACUAGGAUAGGAUUGACCUACUCAUUAGGAUUGGGCCUCUAAAAGCAAGACAUGGUAUAACAAAAUUAGACUUAACCACCCCCUUGUUAUCCUUUUGGUGUAUUAACAUUGAUUUGAGCAUUCAACCUAUGUCUCUUACUUUGUACAUAACUUAUGCACAUUAGGAGUUGCAUAGAAGAUACAAGUUGUGGGUUCCUUAUAAGUAGAUAAGUUGUCCACAGUUGGUUCAUAGAUUUAGACAAUCUAGUAGAGACUGUAGUGCACCACAUUCUAAUUUGAGGGAUGAGUUAUCUUGACCGUUGGGAUGGGUUUCCCAUGGUGAGUGCACUAGUGUAUGUGAUGCAUACUAGACAGGACCUACAGUGAAUCAUGAUAUAAGGCUAUCAAGUGUCAUGAUUCACCAAACUACUAUACCACAUGGACUCUCAACCUUGAGAGGAUAUUGAGCAUGUGCUGAAAUCAAUAGGAGGCUUUAACCUAUGGGUGAGACCCUAAAGUGGUCAUAUAUCCCUAUGAAUUGGGUCACUGUUGAUAGAGGUUGGUGGCAAUAGGUAUCUUAAUAGAGGCACCAUAAUAUCUCAUGGGAUUGAGACAAUGUGUCCCCUUAGGUGAUCCAAAUGACAUGUGAACAUGAAAUAGAUGGCCAUAGUAAUUUCUUUAGUGGAAUUUGACAUAUGCUAGCUUCUAGGAGAUGGAGUAUGUUAGUUGAUUAGAUAAUAAGUGAGAUAUGUAACUCAAGGAUUUGAGAGAUAAUGUUGAUAGGUGAUAACACUACCUUGUUAGAUUACGAACACCAAUUCAUGAAGAGUCUUCAUGUAGUGGAUAGUAGGUCAUGGACCCAAGCCUCGUCUCAUUGUUAUUUACGUUGGGUACUAGAGUGCAGAUGAUUCUAUUUAGUGAAAUGUUGAAUCAACUUUAGAAUUAGAUUAUAAGGGAGCCAAUACUCCUAUGGGUCCUAGUGGUCCCUGUUUUAAGCUCAUAUACCAUGAUGAUAGGGCUUAUGAGGGUUAGAUUGACUCUAGGUUCAUUUUGGUGCAUAAGGGUGUUUUGAUAAUUAUGUCAAGUUGCAUAGGGGAUAGUGAACAAGAUCUUUGGUUUAGGUUAAUUGAUUAAUUAGAUUGCUCUAUGUGGUUAAUUAAUCAAGUAGGACUCGUUUUGGGCUAGAUAAAGUGGCCCAAGCCUUGAUGGACUUAAGUCACUUAAGCCCAAUGGGUAAUCCUAUAAAUACCCCUCUAUAGGUUAGGAUUUCCUAAUGACUUGUGGUGAGAGUUGUCUUCCAACCCUAGAGAGAGAGAUCCAUAACCUCCUCCCUUAUAAAUCCCACACUUUGGAAUGCCAAGAUCGUGGUUCAAGUCAUCAAGCAGAAUAUCUUGGGUGUACAAGACCUUGGAGGUAGGGCUACAACACUUGGACGUGCAUAGGCCGUGUGCACAAAAAGCGCAUGGGACACACACAAACCGUGUGCACGGGAAUCGCAUGGGACUCGCACAUGGGGAGCAACAUGAGGAAAGACUCUCUGGUUUUUCUAGACAUGUUUUUCACCACAAAAAUUUGAUUUGGGAACAUCCAAAUCUAGGUAUGAGUAUUUUUUUUCUCUAGAUUUUUAUUGUAAUAUGGUUUUUAUAGUCAUAUGUUUCUACUAUAAUAAAUUUAGAGAAGCCUAGAAUAGUUUACAUGCAUCCUACAAGAUUUAGGGUAUGGGAACAAAGUAAUUCAAGGUUCCCAACACUGUAAACUUUGUUUAUAGGAGUGUUGAUUUAUCCCAUGGCCCAUAAGGGUGAAUACAUGGACAUUUAUUUUUAAUAUGAAUGAAUGAAUGAAUGGAUGCAUGUAUUAUUAUUAUUAUUAUUAUUAUUAUUAUUAUUAUUAUUAUUAUUAUUAUUAUUAUUAUUAUUAUUUGUAUCUCUUGGGUUGUAAACUUUAUAAGGAGAAUAGAAUUUUAGAUUUCUCUAUAAAAUCUUUUUCUUUUAAUGGAUGGGUUGUAAACUCCAUUUUGAGAGCAUAAUGGCUUGUAUUCUUUGUAAAAAUUUUAACUUUGGUCCAUCUAUAGUGACCCAAAAGAAAGGAUCAAAGCUUGUGAUUCAUUUAGGGGCAUUCAUAUAGAAAAACCAAUCAAGAAAGGUGAGUUUUUUCGGGACAAAAAUGAAAAAAAAAUUGAGAAUCAAGCUCUCAGCAUAGUAGUCCAAGUGAUAAUGCUCAAGCGCUACAAGCCACACCUUAAGCACUUGAGUGCUUCUGAAGGUGGCUCGAGCACUCGUAUUAUGGUAGCUACAAUUUCUCCAACAUGGGUUUAUUUUUUAUUUUUUUUUAUUUUAAGGUUUUUCUAGAAUUUUAGGUCUUUUUGUUUCUGUAACUUAAUUUUGGUUGCAUGGGUAUUUAGGCAAUUUUUUGAAUAAAUUAAAUUUUAAAUAUUUUGCUAGCUACCAAAAUUUGGGACAAGAUCCCUAAGGCUGGGGGAAAUUAUUUUAAUUUUCCUUUUUAUAUUCUUAAGCUAUAUAUAUAUAUAUAUAUAUAUAUAUAUAUAUAUGGCAUGUUGUGCAUGAAAAUUGGAAUUUUAGUAAUUUUUGAUAGAAAUAAAUUUCCUUGGAAAUUAGAUUUCAAAAGUAUAUUUUUAUUAAAUUGGAAAAGUGGUGACUAAAGAAAGAACUUUUUAUGAAAAUAAAAUUUAAAUUAAAGAGAGCAAAAUUUCAUUUUAUAAAAUCAUUUUGAAGGAUUUUAAAAUUUAUUGACUUAAAUUUAUUUUAUGAGUAUUCCUGAAAAAUAAAAGUUUUCUCUCUAGAUAAGGUGCUCUCUAUAUUUUAUUUUAUUUUAUUUUUAGAAAUUUUCUUAUUUUGAGAAUUUUGAAUUAGAAUAAUAAACAAUUUUGGAAAAUUUUGAGAUAGACAAUAAUAAGAUAUUACUAAAAAGUUUUGGAAAUUUAGUAAUUUAAUGGGAAAUAAAUUUCUAUGAAAAUAUUAAUUUCAAGAUAGGACAUUUAUUAAAUUGGAGUAGUGUAUGAGAAAAGAGAAUUUUUAAAAUUUGAAAGCAAUUUUGCUAUCAAAUUAAUUUAGGAUAAAAUUCUCUUAUGAAAAUUUUAUCAUUUUCAAAGUUCCAUUCUCUUAUCUCCUUAUGUUUCUAAUUAGGAAAUUAAUAAUUUUGAAAAUUUUUAUAGAAGAUAAUUAUUUAUCAAGGGAAUUACCAAGGAAUUUAAAAGCUCCAAUUAACUCAAAAGAUAAAGUGGGCAAGGCCUUAGCAAAGCCCACAACCUUCAUUAUCAAGUCCAUCUUGAUUUUUUGUCAUUGUCACCCCAACGGUGAGUUGGCUAAGAAAUCAAAGGAUAUGAACUUUCCAAUUGGCGAGACUAGAUAUGUUAGUAGAGUAACCACCUCAACAAUGGUUUUUUUUUUUUUUUUUUAACUUGGUAACGUUAAUAUUAAAGACAAUAUUCAUACACUUAACUUAGAAGUGGUUGAAUAAUCCAAUAUGGUCCCACUUGCAUAAUAAAGGGUUAAAUAAAAGGAUAUGUUAAUCUUGCCUUAGAGUUUUAAAAUAGAAAGAUUAAUAUGAGAAGGUCUCUACCUAGUAAUAAGAUUAAAAUAUUAAAGACAUGUUGUUUAUUUUUGUUACAUUAAUCAUGUCUUUUAAUCCAAUUACUCCCAUUCUCACAACAAAAAUUAAUUAAACAUAAUUAUGUGGAUUAGAAGAGAAACUUGGAUAUAGUGCUUACAUCAAAGGAGCUUGAAUGGGUAACUCAGGAAUUUGCUCUAAAUAAUCCUAAUAAGUAGCCCUCAAAAGAACAUGGAGAGGCAUAUAAUAGAUGGCAUAAGGCGAGAUGAGAAUGCCAAGUGUCUUAUACUUAGGUCUUUGGAUAAUUUGUUGCAACAGCAACACAUGUCUCAUGCAAAAAGUUAUGAUAUUCUCUUUAUCUAGGAAGAGAUGUUUGGUAAUAAGAAGAGUUAUGAUAGACAAGCUACCCUAAUGACUAUCAUGAACACCAAAAUGAUAAAGUGAAUUCCCAUAAGAGAUUAUAUGCUAUGUAUAAUUACACUCUCAUAGAGUGGAGAUUUUUGGAUCUAGCAUUGUCAAGGAAACCAAGGUUAAUAUGAUCUUAGAGACCUUAUUAGAUUCCCUUAGGUAGUUCAAACUCAACUAUUUUAUGAAUAAGAUGUAGAUGAACUUGUCAGAACCUAUGAGGGAACUCUAAUUGACUAAGGAAAUUCUAAAGGAUUAAAAGGAUAUUCAUAUGGCAAUCAAUCAAAGGUUUUUCAAGUUCUUCUACCAAGAAGAAGAAGAACAAGAGUAGAAGUACCAAAUAGAAGGGAAAGUUCAAGGCUUGGGAAAAGAAGAGCAAAGGAAAGGGCACAUGCUUUGGUUGUGGUAAAAAAAUAAAAAAAUAAAAAAUAAAAAAUAACCAUUGAAAAAAGGAGGAUCCUAAAAUAUAGAACAAAAAACAAGGUAUGCAUCAUAUUCUCAACUAAAUCAUGUUUAGUAAAUUUCACCAAUUUUUGGUAAGAUUUUGAGGUUAAUGACUAUAUUUGUAAUUCUUUAAAAGGGUUUCACAUAAGGAAAAGGUUGAAUGAUGGGAACAUAUAUUUGACUCUAGAUUCUAAUGUAAGGAUAGUUGUGCAAGUAGUGAAAGAUGUUACCCUUCUUUUAAAGAAGAAAUGUCUUUUAUACUCAAAGAUUGUCUUUAUAUUCCUAACUAUAGAAAUAAUUUGAUUUCACUUUCUAGUUUAAAUAAAUGUGUCUCUUUGGUUUCUUUUAAUAAAGAUGUUAUUAUUAGAAAGACUGUUGUAUUGUAAAUAUUGACACUGACAUGAGAAGAAAUAGUGCAUCAUCAACAUUAGCACCAUAUUACAAUUGAGAUCAUGUACAACAAAAAGGUUCAUUACAACUUAAAAAAAGAUCCUAUAAUUAAAGUUGUUUUUUUUUUUUAAUUAUUGAUCAUGAGAAUGAACAUGAGGACAUUUUUAAUGAGAUGUGGAUGUAUCCAUGAUUUUACUUGGUUGGUUAAUAAAACUUUACGGGUCCUUCACAAAUUAAAAGAAUUUAAUUUUUAUUUAUGCCUUAUUUUUCACAAAUGCAUUCCUAAUUGUUUAUAUAAGGGUUUAAAUUUCAUUACUUUUAUUUGAAUAUUAUGAACACACUAGUUAAUUUAUUGGUCAUUUCUAGAAUAGCAUAAUUUACCUGAUGAGCAUAGAAAAGAAGUUAUAAUAUAUGUAUUAUGUGAAUAUCAAUAAUCAUAUUUUGGUGGUUCACUUAUGAUCCCUACUUUUCUCUACUUGUAAGUUGAGGCUAAUAUAUAAGAAUAGCUCAUCCAAUGUGUUUCUAAAUACUCACACUCAAAUGUGAAAUCAAGAUGUUCUCCUUUUGAAUUUGAUUGCUUGUUCUUCAUUUGUCAUUCUCUUUCCCUUUGAGAUUAAAAAAACAAAAGAAUAAAUGGAGUAGCAAAUUAAAAAGAGUGUCAAUUCAACUAGAUAAGAGUCUAAUCAAAAUUGGACAUUUCCUUGUAGCGUCUAACUAGCAUGAAUGAAUAAGGAUGUAUGAGUUGAUCAAUCAAGUUUUGGGCCUUUAAAUAAUCAUAUCAAAUUUUCACUUUCAAUUGCUUGAGAUAUUUCACUUGGAUAUCAAUCAAGCUUGGGGUUAAGAAAUUAAAUUAUGUAAUUUUCUAUAAUAAGCUAGUUUCACAAAAUGUUUAAUGCUUCAAAAGUAAUAACUUAGGAACUAAAGAAUCAAUCCCAACAUCAGCUUUAGUUAACAAAUGCAAUGCCCUAAUUUUAUAUUUUUGCUCAUUUGAAAUACAUAGGAACAAAUACCAACAUGCAUCUUAAAGUAUUCCAAAACAAAAUACUUGAAAUUGAAUUGUUCUUUCCCACCUAAUUUGAUUGCUCGUAGCUUGGAGAUUCUAUCUUUUAAGACCAAGAAUUAUGGAUAGUACAAAAGUGUGAGUUCAAAUUGGCAUGACUUUAAUCAAAAUUUAGAAAUUUGUUUGAAGUAUUUGACUUGCCUUGAUUAAUAUGGAUAACCAUGGUUUAACUGGUGGAGGUCGGGCAUUUGACAUUAUGUAUUUAGCAGCUUGGAAUAUCCCAUCAAAACUUGAUGUGCACUAACUUAUCCAACAAAUUGUUUGAUCUUCAAAAAAAAUUAACAAUGCAAUCAAGCUUAUCCUACAAAUUGUUUGGUCAACAUCAACAAUUCUCUUACUUGAAAUUAGCGUCUUGUACAGCAUAUCCAAUGGACAAAUUUGCAAAGAAGCUCCAGCCACCUGUGCAUAUGGUCCAUUUCAUGGUCUUGGGCAUCAACACCAUUACCAUCAAUAUUCUGCAUUGCGCCAUCACAGCUUCUCUGGGCAUCAGUAUUAGUAUCUUCUACUGCUGAUCUGGUAUCACAGCUUCUCUGAGAAUGAUUACUAUUGGUAUCUUGUACAGCUAAUCCCCAUGAGAACUGCUGCCUCGUACCAUUGUGAGAUUGUUGUGUUCUUAAUCAUGGGCAUACAGAAAGUGGAAGCCACACCUCUCCACUUUCCCUGGUUUAUUACUGGAGUGGCCAUAAAAUGAAGCUUUCAAGGUUCUCCAUUCAUUUGAGUGAUAUUUCUUUGGAAUAUUUGACUUAGAAUAAUAUAUCAACCACCCUUGAUUUGAUUCAUCUUCAUCGUAGCAGCAUUCACAAGAUUGUUUAAACCGGAUAACAUCCAACAGAAAAGAUGCACUGUCAUGAUCGAAAUUCAAUUUACAGUUGAAACUCCUAUGUUUUGCGGUCUCAGUAUCAAGUGGAACAUGAAGAGAGCACAGAACAAAGCCCAAGAAGUCAUCAUUUUCAUACCAACUCCAAGGAAGUUCCAUCGUUAUUUGGAACCCGCUUUUCUGAUGGCUUAUCCACUCGGGAAUCCCAUUACUUUCAGGAAUAAAAGUUUGGACAAUGGCUCCAACUUCAACCCCCUGCACAAAAAUUACCCUCUAAAUUUGUGUGUCCAUGAAAAGAAAUGUUAAAUGCUAUAUGAAAAUCAUACCUGAAUUUGGGAUUUUAAACAUUUGAAUAAAGAAGACCAGAGUAGACUUGAUUGACUGGAUAAAUUUUCCAGGGAUGUGCAGUGAUGGGCAUCUAGAUACGUUAAACCUGAUGGAAGUUCUGGAAUAUGUUGAAGCAUCUUGCAGUGACUCAAGUCAAAAUGUUUUAGGUUGUAAAGUUGACUGAUCCCAUCAGGUAUGCGACUAAAGUGGUUCCCUCCCAGAUAUAACAUUACCAGUGAUGAUAGGUAAUAAAUUUCACUGGGAAAUUCCCUUAGAUUGCAGGCUUGAAGCAUUAAUAUCCUCAAGGAGCAUAAACCGGACAAAGACGGCAAUUGAAAAUUCAUUGAAUCUAAAUACCCAACAAAAAGAUGUUCUAAAGAUUGCAGUCUCCCCAAGUUGUCUGGCAAUUUGUUGAAGUUUGGACAGCGACUGACAACGAGAGUUUUAAAAGAUGUCAAAUUACAAAUACUCUCAGGAAGAUUCACAAGAUUUUUGCAUUGUGAUAGAAACAAAGAUUGAAGCCCUCUUAGACGUUGAAUUGAUGAUGGUAUCUCUCUUAUGGCGGUUCCAUCUAAAUAAAGCUUUCUCAAUCUCUCCAUAUCUUGCACGAUUUCUGGAAAGCUCUCUAGUUGUGAACAGCCAGAGCAGGAGAGAGCUGCAAGGGAUUUGAAACCGAAAAUGCUACUGGGCAGACUCGUAAGAUUUUUGCAAUCCCGCAGACAUAAACUAUCAAGUUCCAAGGGAUUCUCCAUAAUGGGUACUUCAUUCAUAUCACUUCCCUUAAAACACCGCUUCCGUCGGCAUGUCACAUCCUGUUGGCAUUCACUGCAUAUUCUAACAUCUGCAUCCUCUGUCUGUAUCGUUAGUGGAUGGCUUUGUUGAAGGUCUUGGGAGUAUAUAAGGCGGACUCCGCACUCCUUUACUUUCAAGGCUUUCUCAGAAAUAUUGAAAAAGUCCUGAAAUGAAGUCCCAAUGAGAGUCCAUUGAUCAGAGUGAAACCACUCCUGAAUAGCCGCCUUGGAAUAGCAAACCACCCACAUUUGACCUGAUACACUCUCAUUGUCUUCGUCCUUGCCUUCUUUAUAGCAAAAACAAUUGGAUUCAAACAGGGAAAGAUCUAUCAUUCCAACUCCAUCACCAUGGACACUCAAAGAACACUUCAGGCUACAAGAAUGCGUAUGUUCAUAUUCAUUCUUACUAAAAGAUCCAGCCACAGAUUUAUCAUCUGUUUCAUUCUCCCAUGUAUGAGCAGAUUCAUCCUCAGAUUUAUCGUCUGAUUCACUCUCGGACCCAUGUGCAGAUUCCUUUCCGGGUAUGUCCUCAGAUUCAUCAUGAAGUGGAACAUGAACACAGUAUAUAGCAAAUCCCAAAAACUCAUUAUUUUGGUACCAAUUAGCUCUGUUGUCACCAAAUAUCCAUCUCUACGAUACAUCAUCCAUUCUGGAAUUCCAUCACUUCUGGGAAGAACAAUACAAAUUCCCUUCCCAUGGUAGGAAGAAUCGCUAAAACUAGUGCGUUCCCAAUCCUGCACCAAAACACCAUGUAAAUAUAGAGUCUGCAUAAAACAAGUCUGUGACAUGAAAAUUAUACCUUUGCCCAACUGAAGCAAUUGACCAGAGAAUGCAAUGGCAAAAACGGGGCUCUUGAUGAAGUGCAAUUUGAACCAUGGGCAUCUAAAAGCCGUAGACUUGAUGGAAGCUCUGGAAUUUGUUCAAGAUUGUUGCAGUGACUAAGUUAAGGGCUUUCAGCCUUGAAAGCUGAUUGAUGGUAGCAGGUAUGCAACUGAAAUGGCCCCCUUCCAGAUUUAGUUUCUGUAAUGAUGAUAAAUGGCAAAUAUCACUAGGAAUUCCUCCUUCCAUUAUGUUGCAGUUUCCUAGGUCCAAUACUUCCAAUGAUGAUAAGUGGCAAAUAUGAAUAGGGAUUUUGUGGAGCUUUGAACAGUCUUCAAGUAGGAGAGUUUGAAGACCAUUUAGAUGUGAAAUUGAUGAUGGUAAGUCC